CAAGCCAUGAUGGAAUUUCCCCAUUCAGACGGUUGUAGCUUAAUUGAAGGAUCCUCAAACGAUGCAAUUGGCCAAAUUCUUUAGGGAGAUGGCCAUAGAAAUGGUUGCUACUCAAGUCGAGAGAGAGUAGAAAUGAAAGAUUUCCAAGGUGUGGAGGGAUAGUACCCCUAAGAUUCAUGCUUGUAAGAUUCAAAGCUAUAACUCUUUUAUGGAGGAUGCCACAAGAAACACCAAUCCAAUUGCAAACAGAGGUUGAGGCUGUCCAAUUGUUUGCCAUGUCAUUUUGAGGACCGGCAACGCGAUCCUUGAACUUGAGAAGUGCAAACUGAUUGGAGUUGAGAUUCUUGACUGUCAUAGCCAAGCAAAGUACGGAACAUGGUAUAAAUAAAGCUAAAAGAAGAUGAAAGCAAGUGUUGUAGUCCAUGAUUGCAAGAUGGAAUAAGGCAAGAAAAUAAUAAAAAAAAGUAGGAAAAGGGAAGUUGAGUUGAUAAAAUAGUUUGGAUGAUGAAGAAAAGCCCAGAGAGCAUGCUUUAAUAUGUUUCAACCCUCGCACACUUGAUAAACUUGAUAAAUUUAAGACUACCCUAAAAAUUAAAAAGGAAAACAAAGUUUUGAUGAAAUUUCAAAAUAAAUGUCAAGUAUUCUUCUUUUAGAAAUACGUACAAAGAAGCGAAUUUUCAAAAUUUCUCCUAAAUUUUCUUCACAUUACUCCACAUAAUCCAUUAAAAAAACUUAAAAAAUAUAUUUUAUUAAUUACUAUAUAUUUUUUAUUUUCAGAAUAAUAAAUUGUUUAAAAUAUGCUAUUAGUCCCUGUAAUUUAAAAGUUAAAAAAAUCCAAUCCUCCUAUUUUUUUAAUUUAAAAAUUCUAGUCCAAUCAUUUUUAAUUCCAUUAAAAAAUUUCAACUUAAUAGAUUUUUUAUUGUCAAUCAUAUGCAACAUUAUAUGAAGGCAGUCUACUCAGUAUAUAUCCAAGUUUCCAGAUUUUAAUAGAAAAUACUUACAAUCCUAAUGAUAGGACUAAGUUUUUUAAACUAGAAAAGUAAAACAAACUUAAUUUUUAACUUUUUUAAGUACAAGGAUUAAAUUUUAAAUGUUGUCAAAGUACAAGCACUAACAAAAUAUUGUGAUCUAAUAAAUGUAAAAAGCAUUUUAAACAAAAGAAGGUUGAAAUAAUAUAUUUGUCCUUAUACUUUGAUAAAAUUUGUAUCUUUUUUCGAACUAUUUAAUGCCAUUUCAACAUUUUCAUUAAAAAAAACAUAUCAUUUUGAAUUUGAUCUUUUUCAAUAUGAAAAUAUUGAAAUGAUGUUAAAUUAUUGGAAAGAGAUACAAGUUUCAUGGUAUCUCUCUAAGAAAGCUGAUGUAAGAUAUUAAUGACAUCAUUUGAACAAAGUUUUAGGUCAAAUUAUUCAUCUAGUCCUUGUAAUUAUUCUUUAAGGUGAAUUUCAUUAUUAUUCUUUUAUUUUCUUUGGCUUAAAUACACAUUUACCCCUAAUUUUAUCACAUUCUCCUUAAUUGGUAUUUAUAGUUUAGAAAAUUUUACAAAUAUAUUAUUUUUUAAGAAAUUAUAAGAAGAUUACAAAAAUUCCAAAAUAAUGUAAAAAAGCUAAGAAAAACCUAGAAAUUCAAAAAAAAAAAUCAUGUUUUUACAAAUUGGGGUAUGCAAUAAAUUUUAAGAUGGUUUUUGGAGUUACAUCUCACUUUAGCAUUGACUUACUUUUCUACGGUUAGUCUUCUCCAACAAGUUAAAUAUUUCAAUUUUAACAACAUUGACAGGUCUUUGGGGUAGGGUCGAGCAAAACUCAAUAGAAAUAGAUGAUAUAGGUUGAGUUGGCUCGGCCAAGUCGAGUCGACUUGUUCAAAUUUGUUAAAUUAGUAAAUUUUAGGGUGCAGUUAGAAUUUUUUGUUUUGAGAUGCUAAGAUUAAAAAAUUUGAGUUUUGAAAACUUUGACUCCUUUUUGCUUUGAGAGUUGAUUUGAAGAGAAAAGAGCUUGAAGGUGCUUUUGUAGAAAUAGGACAAAUUUUAAAAUAAGGAGUAAAUUGGAAAAAAAAAUUUGGGUUGGGCUAAUUUGAAAAUUUGACACUUUUGUGGGAUAAAAAUAGAAAAAUAUUUUAGUUGAAUACACAUAAGGAGUUACGAACUUGAGACUUAUAGGUAGACUAAGGCCUUACCACUUAACCAACAAGCUUAUUAUUAUUAUCUUUUAACACAAAUAAAUUUUAAGGCAUACUAAGGGCUUGUUUAGCAUUGCUGUGAAGAAGCACUUUUGGCUUAGAAACACUUUUAAGAGAAAAGUGGUUCUAAGCUAGUAACUUUUGGCUAAGAUUUUGGCUUUUCAAAAGCACUUUUGGCCAAAUGGAGAAGCUAAAAUUAUUAGCUUUUCUUACCCAAAAGCACUUUUGAGUGCUUAAUUACUAAUUCAUCCCUCCAAAAACAUAUUUUAAAAUAAAAUAAUACAAAUAUGUUAAUAUUUAAUUACAAAUAUUUAAUGGUUAUAUUAAAUAUUUAAAAUAUAAUUUAUAUAUUCUAAUUAAAUUUUAUAAAUAAUUAAUAUUUGUUGCUUAAAAAUAUUUAAAAUUUAUAUUUUAUAUAUUAAAAUAUUAAAAAAAUAUAUAAUAAAUUAUUUUUAUAUUCUUACUAAAAUAUCAUAAUAUUAAAUAAUUUUAAUAUUAUUUAAAUGCAUAUUUGUUACUUUAUAAUAUCAUGUCUAAUAUUGACGUUUUAUUUCUUAAAAGCACUUUUUAACAUUAAUAUUAAACACUUAAAUCUUAAACUAAAUUUCUCAAAGAUAGUUUUCUACAACGCUUUUUAAAAGUACUUUCCAAAAUCAAUGCUCAACUAUCUCAAACUCUCUUACCUUAUACUUUAAAAGAGAAAUUUUUUUUUUAAAUUUUAUCCCUAUUUCUUUUAACCCAAUUUUUUGGAUGUCAAACAUUUAUAAAUAAAAUAAGAAAAAGGAAAAAAAAAAAGCAUAUACAUAUUGAUGGGUUUUUUUUAUUAUUAGACUUUAUUUUUUAUCUCAGGUAAAAGUUUUUAUGGAGAGGAUCAUGUAAAAUUAUGAUCUGAAUCAUUUUAAACAUUUCAUCAUUGCAAAAAUGAAAUAAUAGGAAAGAAUGACUAUACAAAUUUGCAUUUGUGUUCUUUCUUUCAAUAUUUGCUUUCAAAACUGUGGGAAAAUUUUAAAUUUGAUGAAAUUUUAAAAUUGCACUUCAGACGUAAAAUAUAAAAUUUAUGAAUAUGGACUACCCAUUUUAUUUAUAAUUUUCUGUGUUUUUCUUCUUUGCUGACUUUUUUUAAUGUCAUUUUCUAUCAUGAAAGAAACUUAAAGAUUCACUAUUUAUUUCUCAACCAUUAUGAAAUUACUUGACUAUGGGGGUAGAAUUUUCUCACCAAUUUUCUAACAUGAGAUUUUUUGAAUGAGACAAACAUUCAAUUUUAACACAUUUCCCAUAAUGAGUCACCCCUAUUUGUGAGUGAUUUGGGGAUAAAAGCUUAAACAUUUCUGGAUCACAUUGCAUUUAAGACGGGUGUUUGGAGUUAUAUGAUAUUUUAACAUAGACUGGCUUUUCUAUAAAGAGUACUCCUUGCUUUACUAUUGUCAUGAUACGAGGAGAUACUGAAAAUUAUUGUACUAUGAAAUUUUAAUUCACUCGAAAAAUAAGUGUUUUAUUUCAAGGGAUUAAUAUUAGCUUUCUCUUUUUUAAAUUUUGAAUUUUUUUUGAGAACUGCGUAAUUAAGAAUAUAUCAAUUUUGGGUGUUAUAGGGGUGUUUUAACCUUCCCUAUGUGUAAUCGACUACUAAACUUUUUUAUUCUUUAGAAUUCAACACAUACCUCAAAAUUUUCUUUUUAAAAGAUUUUUAAAAUCUCUUUAUAAAAGAUUAUCAUACUUAACAAAGAUGAUCAGUGACGACUUUUCUUUAAUAAAAUAUUAUGUUUUUGCAAAGACCAAAAUUUUCAUAUUUUUCAAGAAUUCCUCAAUCUAAUUUUCUUUUUGAAUUUUUAUUUUCAAUAGGAAAAUGAUCCCUACAAUUCAUAUUUAUUUUCUCCAUUUUUAAUGUUUUUUUAAGGGAAAUGAAUAGUGGAAUGAUAAUUUUUAGUUAAGGUAAAGUAAAUUUAAUUAUCCACAACCUUCAACUAUUAAUUUUUUGAUUUAAUUACACAAUUUUUUGAAAUUAAUACUCUUUUAUUAGUUGUCGCUAGUUGAGGGACGAAAAGUUGAUUUGGACUUUUUUAUUGACCUAAUAACAAAUUUAGAUAUUCAAAGUUUACUUAUUCUAUCAAUUUAAUGCUAAAUUUAAAAAAUUCAACAAAUCCUAUCAAAAAACAAUUGGACCUUGAGUACACAGGCUGUGAGAUUUUCACAUGGCUGUGUCUACGCUGCACUCUAUUUUAUCAAAUUCGGACAGAGAGUUACACAGGCUGUUCACACAGGCGUGUGCCUCCUUCACAUGGGGCGUGUAGACCUCCACACAGCUUAGGAACUUCCACAUGGUUGGGGCACACGGUCAUGUGGCCUUGUUUUGUAGAUUUUUGUUCUGUGUCAGAUUUUAACUCGUUUUGUGCCUGUGUGUAUUCUGACCCCAGUUAAGACUUAGUAAGAAUGUUUAGGACUUUGAUUAGUUUGAAUUUGUGCAUUUGUUCGUAAUUAAUGUGUUAAUUUAUUAGUUUGAUUAAAUGUUAUGUGAUAUUAUUAGUAAAUAGUUACAAACCUAAUUGAUUCUAAAUCUGAUUGAUUGAACUUGUGUGUUUUGUUUUCUGUAUGAAUGUUUGUAUGUUGUGUGCAUUUUGUAAUCGCAUAAAAAUUUUACGAUUGACUGACUGAAUAUGAGCUUCUAUAUCUAUGACACUAUUAGUGUUUGAUGUGCAUUCAUACACAUGCAUAAAAUUGGGGUUUUGGUUAUGAAGAGAAGGAAGCCUGUUUCGGUAGUUCAACUGUAAUAUUUUUGAACAGCGGUUUACCGUGUGAUUCUAUAUAUAUGUCAGCUCAGCUGCAUAUUAUGAUUUCGAGUGGCUUAGUUUCCACAUUGUAGUGUGUAGGGUGGAUGAACCUUUUAUAGUUCUUGUAAUAGGCCCAAUUUGUCCGAGCCCAACAAAAUAAGUUACAAACCCAAAAUAAACAUUACAAGCCCAAAAAUUUAAAAAAACCUAAUGGCCCAAGUGGCCCAAAACUUAACCUUCUUCAGCCGCCGCUCCUUCCACGCGUGCCAACCUCCUCAUGCGUGCCACCACCUCAGCACCUCCAUACCCUCCACGCUCUCUCUCUGCCACCAUAGCAUGCGUUCUUGCCCCGUACUUGCAGACCAAGCAAAAGAGAGCACAACAGUAAAGAGAAAAACAUUGUAUUUUUCGGCUAUAAAAGCCAUGAACAAAUCAAUGUAAAUUUUUUACAACAAAAAUAAAUACAAAAAAGGAAAUCGGAAACAAAAAAAGGUGGUUCUUUUGUUUUUUGUUUUUAUUUCUUUUCUACUUAUAUUUCUACUAGUUUUUAAGAAAAAUAAAAAAGAAUGGACUCAAAUCUUACCCUUUUCUCGCAUGUGCGCCGUCGUGGGGGGUCGAGGUUCGUCGUUUCCAAUGAAAAACAAUGUUUUUUUUGAGUCGAGGAAGUUGAAAAGUCAAAAAAUGGCCUUCUUUCGAUUUUUUGGCCACCGUGGAUGGCGGCACCGUCACUGGCAACCGGCGACCGGCGGCCUCUACGAUGGUCCGUCGGUUGGAGCCAUGGCCGGAGAGGGGAGUUGAGAGAGAGGGGGAGAGUGAUUUGAGUUUUUUUUUCAGAGAAUGGGGAGAAAUGAACAAUUUUAAAAAAAAUUGGUUUUUAUAGAGGAUUGAAACGGCGCCGUUUUGGGCCUUAAACCCAGUGGCCAAAACGACGUCGUUUCACCCCUUUAAUCCGCGCGUGGACCCGACCUGCAAGAGGAUCCGUGUGUUUUUGUGAAAGGGUCUAUUUGCGCGUUAGACCCUUUCGUAUUUUUCAAUUGUCUUAAUCCAGUCCUUUUUUAUUUUCUAAUUUGUACUUCAAAUUUUAUUUCAUUUUCGAUUUGGUCCUAGCAAAACGGUGCGUUUCAGAGGGCGGGGAUAUUUCCCCAGUUGGUCCCUCUUAGUUAUUCGCGCCUUUCAAAUGGGUCCUCUACCUUAUUUUCAUUCUCGAUUUUUACCCAGAUUUCUGAUUAAACUUCAAUUUAGUCCUUCUGCGUCUAUUAAUUUAUAAUUUUAGCCCCUCUUAUAUUCAUAAACUUAUUUUAUUAGGAUUGGACUCGUAAUUUUAUUUCAAUGUCAAUUUAAUCCCCUUUUAUCUCUGUCUAAGUUUUUUUUUCUUUUUUUUGUGUUUUAUUUAUUUGCUUACCAUUUCUUUUUUUAUUUUGAUUUUCGUAUUUAAUGAUGCUUUUAUUUUAUUUAUUUUAUUCUUGACUUUCAUUGUUAUUAUUGUUGUUGUUGUUGUUGUUGCUGCUGUUAUUUUUAUGGUUUUUUAUUAUUUCAUUUAUUUACAUAUUUUAUUCAAAAUUGUGUCUUUAAAUUUUGUUUACAUUUUAAUUCGGUUCUUUACUUUCAAUAUUUUUUAUAAACUAUUUUCCCUUACAUUAUUUAUGUAUUUAUUUAUUUAUUUCUUUUUAAAGUUGGUAUUGUCCUUUUAUGUGCAUACUUUGACAUUAUUACCAGUGUUAUUGUUUAUUUUAUUUAUCUUUUGAUUAUUAUUAUUAAUGUUAAAGUAGUGUAUAUUAUAUGAUUCUCUAAAUUGUCUUUAUUAUAUUCAUUAUUGUUAUUUAUUAAUGCAACAUUUCAUUAAUGUAUUAUUUUAAAUAUUACACAUUUUUACCCAAAUUUGUAAAAAAUAUAAAAAUUAGAAAAUAAGCAAUAUUUCGUAUUUUGGAAUUCAAAAAGUCGUUCCCUAACUUACGGGGUUUCAAUUUUUUUUUAUAAAUCCAAAUAUACAAACCAUUUUUCAAAAACACAUUUUUAAAAUUAUCUCAGGAAUUAAAAAGAUUGUUUUCCAACUUACGAAAUAUGAUUUCUUUUCUAAAACUGAGAUAAUAAAAAAUUUCUAAAAAUAAAUAAAAUUUUUGGUGUUUAUUCUCGUUUCGAGAUUUAAGGUUAACUCACAGGGUAUAAUUCUGUUUCUCAGUUGACGUAAAAUAUGCCCUUUUUAAAAUUCUUUUAGGUAAUUUUAAUAAAAGGAUCGUAUUUUAAGUCUCUUCAAAAUUUUCAACUUUCAACAUUAAGACAUUAAUUAAUCAAUUAGGUAUCAAUUUUAGGCGUCACGAGGGUGCUAAUCCUUCCUCGCACGUAACGGACUCCCGAAGCCAUUUUUCUCGAAUAUCGUAGACCAAAACCAUUGUUUUAGUAAAAUCGAAACGUUUUGUUAAAACGAUUGGAUUGCAAGGUGAUCCGAUCACACCUCAAAAAAAAUAUCGGUGGCGACUCCAAUUUUUUUUCGUUUUUAUUUUUAAAAUAAAAGUCGACCCCUUUUUUAUUAAAAAAAUGGCUUUGACAGUUCUAUGUGGUGUGCAGGGUAGACGGGCCUUCUAUAGCCCUAAUGUGGUGUGCAGGGUGGUCGAAGUGGUGUUCAAAUGGUUGGGUGGGUUUUUGACUUAUUGCAUACGGUUUGCAUUAGGCAUAUGUGUCUGAUUAUGAUUCUUUUUAAUAUUAUUUGCAAAUGUUUGUACUAAUUUGAUUAUUACAUGUGUUUGAGACAUUGCUUAUGCAGUUUGAUACUAUAUAUUGACUUAUCGAUGUAAGCUUUUCGUAAGUGACCAUCAUAUAGUGCUUGUCUGAAAUAUUUAUGGAGUUAUCCCCUCUUUUACCGACUGUUGUGUUUUGGACUCACACUGAGCUCGCGUAGCUCACCCCCUUAGUUUUCUUCCUUUUAGGUACUCUCGUGUUCUGUAGCUAGUCUCGACAUAUUAGAAGGCUCAGACGGAAGAGGUGAGAUUUGAUUUACUAAAGUGUUUCGAUUCAAUUUUAGUUUUUCUAUCUUCUUGGGACUAUAAGUGUUAAUAGGGACUGUGGUAUAAGUUUUACUUCUGGACUUUCGUAAAUUUUUAUUUUGGGACUGAACUUUUGAAACUGCGGAAUUAUACUUUCUAAUGUUUUUAACAUAAUUUAAAAUUUUUGUUUGAAUCCUGAAUGGUUAAACGACUUAGUUUGAUUUAGCAAAACUGAGUUAUAAAUGAGAUGUUAACAAUUCAUUUUGUAAAAUUAUUUUUCGAUCACUUCGGUGUUCAAAGUAACCUCUGAGAUUCGAUCCAUACUUUUAGGCCGAGUUUUGGGGUGUUACAUUAGUUUUCAAGAGGAGAUUGGUGAUCUACUUGAAGAUAGAUUGAUUUUGAAAACUUUGACUCCUUUUUGCUUUGAGAGUUGAUUUGAAGAGAAAAGAGCUUGAAGGUGCUUUUGUAGAAUUAGGACAAAUUUUAAAAUAAGGAGUAAAUUUGAAAAAAAAGUUUUUGGGUUGGGCUAAUUUGAAAAUUUGACACUUUUGUAGGAUAAAAAUAGAAAAAUAUUUUGGUUGAAUACACAUAAGGAGUUACGAACUUGAGACUUAUAGGUAAACUAAGACCUUACCACUGAACCAACAAGCUCAUUAUUAUUAUCUUUUAACACAAAUAAAUUUUAAGGGCUUACCACUAAGGGCUUGUUUAGCAUUGCUGUGAAGAAGCACUUUUGGCUUAAAAAAUACUUUGAGAGAAAAGUUGUUCUAAGCUAGUAACUUUUGGCUAAGAUUUUGGCUUUUUAAAAGCACUUUUGGCCAAAUGGAGAAGCUAAAAUUUUUAGCUUUUCUUACCCAAAAGCACUUUUGAGUGCUUAAUUACUAAUUCAUCCCUCCAAAAACACAUUUUAAAAUAAAAUAAUACAAAUAUGUUAAUAUUUAGUUACAAAUAUUUAAUGGUUAUAUUUAAAUAUUUAAAAUAUAAUUUAUAAAUUCUAAUUAAAUUUUAUAAAUAAUUAAUAUUUGUUGCUGAAAAAUAUUUAAAAUUUAUAUUUUAUAUAUUAAAAUAUUAACAAAAAAUUAUAAUAAAUUAUUUUUUAUAUUCGUACUAAAAUAUCAUAAUAUUAAUUAAUUUUAAUAUUAUUUAAAUGCAUAUUUGUUAAUUUAUAAUAUCAUGUCUAAGAUUGACGUUUUAUUUCUUAAAAGCACUUUUGAACAUUAAUGUUAAACACUCAAAUCUUAAACUAAACUUCUCAAAGAUACUUUUCUACAACACUUUUUAAAAGCACUUUCCAAAAUCAAUGCUCUUACCUUAUACUUUAAAAGAGAAAAAAAGAUUUUAAAUUUUAUCCCUAUUUCUUUUAACCCAAUUUUUAGGAUGUCAAACAUUUAUAAAUAAAAUAAGAAAAAGGAAAAAAAAGCAUCUACAUAUUGAUGGGUUUUUUUCAUUAGGAGACUUUAUUUUUAUCGCAGGUAAAAGUUUUUAUGGAGAGGAUCAUGUAAAAUUAUGAUCUGAAUAAUUUUAAACAUUUCAUCAUUGCAAAAAUGAAAUAAUAGAAAAGAAUGACUAUACGAAUUUGCAUUUGUGUUCUUUCUUUCAAUAUUUGCUUUCAAAACUGUGGGAAAAUUUUAAAUUUGAUGAAAUUUUAAAAUUGCACUUCAGUAAAAUAUAAAUUUUAUGAAUAUGGACUAGCCAUUUUAUUUAUAAUUUUCUGUGUUUUUCUUCUUUGCUGAAAUUUUUAAUGUCAUUUUCUAUCAUGAAAGAAAAUUGAAGAUUCACUAUUUAUUUCUCAACCACUAUGAAAUUACUUGACUCUGGGGGUAGAAUUUUCUCACCAAUUUUCUAACAUGAGAUUUUUUGAAUGAGACAAAUAUUCAAUUUUAACACAUUUCCCAUAAUGAGUCACCCCUAUUUGUGAGUGAUUUGGGGAUAAAAGCUUAAACAUUUCUGGAUCACAUUGCAUUUAAGAUGGGUGUUUGGAGUUAUAUGAUAUUUUAACAUUGACCGACAUUUCCAUAAAGAGUCCUUGCUUUACUUUGGGUGGUCGUUGGUAUUACUCUCCAACAAUUAUUGUACUGUCAUCCUUAUUCCUACCCCACCUAGCAGAGAAGUUUCAUAAGUGUUUUAUUUCAAGGGAUUAAUAUUAGCUCUCUCUUUUUAAAAAAUUUGAAUUUUUUUUGACAACUGCCUAAUUAAGAAUGUAUCAAUUUUGGGUGUUAUAGGGGUGUUUUAACCUUCCCUAUGUGUAAUCGACUCCUGAACCUUUUUUCCUUUAGAAUUCAACGCAUACCUCAAAUUUGUUUUUUUUAAAAGAUUUUUAAAAUCUCUUUAUAAAAUAUGAUCACGCUUAACAAAAAUAAUCAGUGACGACUUUUCUUUAAUAAAAUAUUAUGUUUUUGCAAAGACCAAAAUUUUCAUAUUUUUCAAGAAUUCUUCAAUCUAAUUUUCUUUUUGAAUUUUUAUUUUCAAGAGGAAAAUGAUCCCUACAAUUAAUAUUUAUUUUCCUUAUUUUUAAUUUAUUUUUAAGGGAGAUGAAUAGUGGAAUGAUAAUUUUUAGUUAAGGUAAAGUAAAUUUAAUUAUCCACAACCUUCAAAUAUUAAUUUUUUCGAUUUAAUUACACAAUUUUUUGAAAUUAACACUCUUUUAUUAGUUGUCGCUAGUUGAGGGACGAAAAGUUGAUUUGGACUUUUUUAUUGACCUAAUAACAAAUUUAGAUAUUCAAAGUUUACUUAUUCUAUCAAUUUAAUGCUAAAUUUAAAAAAUUCAACAAAUGCUAUCAAAAAACAAUUGGACCUUGAGUACACAGGUUGUGAGAUUUUCACAUGGUUGUGUCUACGCUGCACUCUAUUUUAUCAAAUUUGGAUAGAGAGUUACACAGGCUGUUCACACGGUCGUACACCUCCUUCACAUGGGGCGUGUAGACCUCCACACAGCUUAGGAACUUCCACAUGGCUGGGCCACACGGUCAUGUGGCCUUGUUUUGUAGAUUUUUGUUCUGUGUCAGAUUUUGACUCGUUUUGUGCCUCUGUGUAUUCUGACCCCAGUUAAGACUUGGUAAGAAUGUUUAGGACUCUGAUUAGUUUGUAUUUUUGCAUUUGUUCGUAACUAAUGUGUUAAUUUAUUAGUUUGAAAAUUUCACAUUAAACUAAUAAUAUUAGCAAUUAACUUUCAACAAAUCUGUAACAACCUCAAAUCCAGCCUAAACGUUAUGGUCAAAUCUAAAAGGUUACAUCAGUAUGUAGAAAAUUUUGUUCUUCUAAAUGUGUUUUGUUACGAAAUUGAAAACCAAAAUUUAUGUAAGUUCGUCAUGAUUCCUCAAUAGAAAAAUCUGUAAAUUAUCAAAACGUAAAUGUGAACAUAUUAAUUAUUAACUUAAAAAGAACCCAGCCUUAUACAAUCAAAAUGCUAAAUUAAUCAUUUGCCUUGUAAAACUUGUAAUUUUCACUAAAAUUUUUGCAGCGAAAACAUUUUAUUUAGCCUAUUGAGCAUAUUUUUAAAUUUACAUUAUUAACUUUCGUAAAAUCUCAAUCCGUAUUUUUGUGGCGGAAAAUUUUAUAAUUUUGAAAACCUAGCAUUGAUUGUUGGUUAACACAAAUCAUGUAGAAAAAAAAACUUUAACUAAGCCAAAUAAAUCCAAAGCCAAAUUAAAUAAUGAAAGAAUCAAUCCGAGCGCUCGCAAAUUCUAACUUACCGAUUACCUAAAACGUCAUAAAUAAAGCAAAGGGGAGAGCUAUAAAGCUCAAUGCAUAACUAAAACUCAAGCUGAGAUCACACACAAUACAAUAAACAAAUCAUAAAAUCAUAGAAAAAUUCAUAACAAUCAGUCAAACAGAAUUGAGUAUACAUGAUUAUGCCAAUGCGGUAUUUUUCAGAAAAUCUUAAUGCAGAUUUUUCAUGAAAUGUCCUAGCCAAAUCCUCUACACACUUGAAUAGAGUUCUCCAGAACUUAUCCAUAAAAAAAAAAAAAACACACCAAUUAAGUCAUCCUAGGUUGCCCAAAAACGAUGACUCACCACCAUGGGAUGCCCGACAACGAUAGCUUAUCAAUAUGCAAUUAAACUGUUAGAUCAGAUAUUUGUGUUCAAGCCAUUGAAUUGCAACUCAGCUACCGAAACAAAAAUAUGUGGUGAAGCCACUAUAUUGCAUCCAAGCUGCUAAAUAAAAAUAUGUGGAUAAACCACCAGAUAGUGCAGACCAUUAAACUGCCAAAACUUUUUCCCUUCCAUAUUAUCCCAAUCCCAUGCAAUGUGACAUGGCAUGCAUUUACAUAAUCAAAACGACAAGCAUCUAAGGCAUGUAGUCGUACCGUAACAGAAUUUAGAAAGCAUGGCAUUCCACACUUUUACAGAACAGAUGUAUCACAAAUUCAACAAAAGCAAGUUGGAAUGCUAUAAAGUCACAUGCAUGAUCACAUAGCAGAAUCAUAAACAUAAAAAUAACGUAACCAAACCUCAUAUAAUCAUAUACAAACAUAACAAUACAAAUCAUGCUACCAGAUUCAUUAGAAAACAGUUCACGCACACGAAUUUCACAUACCUUAUUCAUAUCACCUACAAUAUCAAAUUAUCAGAUAUUACAUUUUCAAAGUCAGUUUUACACAGUACGAAUCCUACAAAGUGGCUAAACAUGAUUCACGAAUCAAAACGGGCCUAAAGGAAAAUUUUUAGAAAAUGGGCCAACAUGGCCCAAUUAGCCUAGGUCGUAUGGCAUCAACAGUCUAAUUUUUGACUUUCAAUAGUUCAUUAUUUUUUGAGUUUUUCGAUAUACACCUUACUAUUUUCCGAAGCAAAAUCAUGGCAAGAAUUCCAAAACCUAAAAUCGAUAUUCAACCCACUCAAAUUAGCAAUGAAAUCCAAAACUAAAUCGUUAAACAACCAAAACUGCUACCAAUAAACCUUAUCAAACCAGGAAUCAACCUUUUGGAAUCUGACUACUAACCCAGAAUAGUAGCAGUAGUACUAAAAAUCUCUCAAUUCACCGGAAGACUAUUUGUUACAGAAAUGUCACCUAAACCAAAGAUUUCAGAGUAAUCAAAAUCGCGUCACACAAAGAAGGAAACAAAUUAACCCCAAGAUCGUGAAACUCAACAAAGUACGAAUCUUUUCUCAUAUUCCUUACCACCAACCGUCAAGAUUGCUCAAAAACCACUAAUGACACCGACCUUCGCAAGGUUAAAUUGAAACUAAAAGGUAACUAAAGAUGGAACAAAGGUUGUUAUAAAAAAAAUAUUAACAAAGACUUAUUGGAGCAAAAAUUGCGAAAAAUCAAGAAUAAGGAGAUUGGAAAAAAAACAAUGAAACAACAAAGAGAAGGAGUGGGAAAGUGACGACAGUUUGUGGAGAGAUUUUGGGUAAAUAAAAAGUAACUCACAACUCAACCCAUUAAAUCUCAUUACCCUCUAAACAGAUUCCCUUAGAGUUUAAAUUCAACCCAAAUACCACUACAUGGGCGGCAUAGUGUAAGGAAAUAAAAAUAUUUCUACUUUGCACACACAGGGUCUUAAACACGAAAUCUUAGGGUAAUUUGAAGCCUUACCACUAAAUUAGUAGGCUCAUCCUUGAAAUUAAUUGAAUGAAAAUAUUAUUUAUGUCAAAUGAUUAGGGAUAGAGGUUAAGACCAAAGAUGACAAAAAUUCAAAGGAAAGAUUUAAACCUAGAACCUCACGCACACAAGCAUAACACCUAUUCAUUGAACCAGAUUUACUCCGUUGACAUAAUUUUCAAAAUAUUAACUAAAAAUUUAGAAUAUGGUCACUCUUGGUUUCACUUACCCAAUUUCUUCUAACCCGAUUUUUGUGAUGUGACAACUCAUCCCUCCUUAAAAGAAUUUCAUCCUCGAAAUUCCUACUGCGACACCAUACACUUAACCAUAAAAUUUAAAAUUCCUUAGUCCGAAUCGACCACCAGGCUAUCAUUGUACAACUCUAAUCUCCAUUCAAGUCCGAUCCAGACAAUAUUUCAGAGGAAUUUCCUAUUCACUACCUUGAAUUACCUCAAUAAGUUUUCCACAAAAACAUCACUAAUGAUCUUUUACCCCAGACUCUAAAAAACAUCAUUUACCACAAAAUACAGGUACAAAAAAUUCUUAUCAAUGCACAGUACAUUUGGAACAUAUCAUAAAAGUACCUGUAUCAUUGUCAGAUGCAUCACGACUCGCUUGAUACCUAGUUGCAUAUCCACAUCUCAGAUUUUGUUUCUAUACUGAAGCUUGUAACCGACUAAAAUAGUGUCAUGAGCAAUCCUAAACUCGAUGCUCAACGGACCCACAUCUGAAACAUGCUCCCAUUUUCCUCCAACAAUCGUCCGAAUGGUGCCUAUCAUAAUAAGUACAAAUCAGAACCUCAACCGCAUUCACAAUUACCUCACCUCGCUGAAGCCUGUCUAUUUUAGCCUGUUUCCUUGGUCAUGGAUUCAAGUCAAUAGAAACAUCACUCAUCUUAUUUUGCACUUUAUUCAUUACUUAUUCUCUCCCUCCGAGCAAUUACUCUCUACCGCUAACUUGACUUGAUACGCUUGAGGUCACUCAAUCACAGACUCUUGUCCCAUAUAUCCAAAUUAGGUUCCAUCGACCCUUUGCAAAUCUCUAAACACCUCUUGGAACACUGAAACAUCCCCUACUUCUAAACUGCCCUCAGAUUUGGGCGUCAUAGCAAACUUAUUUAUUUUCAAAUUGGGCUUACGGCCCCAAGAAGAGAACUCAGCUCGAGUCACCCGGCUAUGUCCACCACGCCCUCGCACAUCAUGACCUCGAGUACUCAUUACACAAAUCUCCAGUUUGAGAAAUUUUAUGAAUUAGCUUAGGUUUAUUAAAAAUCAUAAGUCUAGAGUUUUAUCAAAGUUUCUUACAUAAUUACCAUAGUCUUUAGCUAGAGUAGAGUAAUCCUAGCACUUAAGUUUUGCUAGUUUGUCUAGUAUAGCUAAAGUAAAGAUACUUACAGGAUCGACGAUGUAGUUUUGGAUUCUAUUUUAUAGAAUCAAAUAUAAAAAUAAUCAAAAUCUAAAUACCCAUUUUAGAAACCCAAAGUAUCAAAAUUAAUCAGAAAUUCAAUUUAUUUAAUGGAGAUUUUCGAACCCAGAAAUCACAGCCCGAGUUUUGUUACCUUGCUCUGAUACUACUAAAUGUAACACCCCAAACUUGGCCUAGACGUUAUGGCUUACAUCAGUACGAAAAAAAUUAUUUUUCCAAAGUGUGUUUUGUUACGAAAUUGAAAACCAAAAUUUAUGUAAGUUCGUCAUGAUUCCCCGAUAGGGAAAUUUGUAAAUUAUCAAAACGUAAAUGUGAACAUAUUAAUUAUUAACUUAAAAAAAAAAACCUAGCCUUAUACAAUCAAGAUACUAAAAUCAUUUGCUUUGUAAAACUUGUAAUUUUGACUAAAAUUUUUGCAACGAAAAUUCCAAACUAAUAUUCGUAAAUUGUAAUUUCGUCAAGUAAAAACGAUUUAUUUUGCCGAUUGGGCAUAUUUUAAAUUUACGUUAUUAAAUUUUGUAAAAUAUCAAUUCGUAUUUUUGUGCUAAAAAAAUGUUAGCUCAUAUAAUUUUGAAAAUCCAACAUUGAUUGUUGAGUAACACAAAACAUACAGAACAAAAAACUUUAACUAAGCCAAAGAAACCCAAAGCAAAAUUAAAUUUGAGAAAUUAAACCAAAAUCCAAAAGUCCAGUAAAUCCAUUUAUUAACCAGAGUAAACCAUUUAAUUAGAGAAUCAAUUCGAGCUUCCGCACACAGCCCGAUUCUAACUUAUCGAUUAUCUGAAACAUCAGAAAUAAAACAAAUGGGUGAGCUAUAAAGCUUAGUGCAUAACUAAAACUCAAGCCGAGAUCACACACAAUACAUUAUACAAAUCAUAAAAUCAUAGGAAAUUUCAUAACAAUCAGUCAAACAAAAUUAAGCAUACAUGAUUAUGCCAAUGUGGUAGUUUUCAGAAAAUCAUAAUGCAAAUUUUUUCAGAAAACAUCCUACCCAACACCACUACACAGCCGAAUAUAGUUCCCUAAAACUCGUCCAUCUAAAAACACACCAAUUAAGUCAUCUUAGGUUUCCCGAAAACGAUGACCUACCACCUCGAGUUAGUCGGCAGUGAUGACUUAUCAAUAUGCAGUUAAACUACCAAAUCAAAUAUUUGUGGUCAAGCGAUUGUAUUGCAGCUAAGCUGCCAGAUCAAAUGUUCCUAGUAUAGUCCAUAACAUUAUCAGAUGUUCUCGGCUCAGUCCUUUGGACAUUAAAAAAAUAGAUUUGGAUAUCCAAUUAAUCAUAAAUUGCUAGGUGGUAUAUGCUGAAGUCACGAUAACAUCAUCAUCAAGAAAAAAACCAAAAAAUUCUUUAAAAAAUAUCAUAAAAUUCAAAUAAAUUUAUAUAAAAUUAACUACAUUAUAAAUAUAUAAUUGUUCAAAAAUAAAAAUUCUUAAUUUUUUUUAAAAUUUGUAAAAAUAAUAAAAUUAUUAGAAAUUGUUAAAUAUUGUAAAACAUUAUAAAAAUUAUUAGAAUCAUAAAAGACGGUAAAAAAUAAAAAGUUAAAAUACUAGUAAAAAUUGUCUAACUUGAAAUAAAGUAUACAUUUGGUAAUCAAAUUUAAAAUAUUGAAAAUUUGAUAUUAAAGUUGUAUAUAGUAAUACAAUCAAAUUUUAUAAAAAAAAUAUUUUAAAAUAUUUUAAUAAAAAUCAAAUAAAUUUUAUAUCAAUUUUUUGUACUUUACCAAUGUUACUGGCAGCAAGAUUUUUCUACUCGAAUCCCUAUUUAUUGUCUUAAAUAGCUUCCUGCAUCCACCAUUUUGCACAUGGUUUUUCUAUUUUAUACCAAAGCUCUUUAGAAUAGUUAAACAUUCAACAAUAGUUCUAAAGAUAUUAGUUUAGAGACAAAUAAUUAUCUUGAGAUAGUAAAAAAAAUUGAAAUAAUUAAAUAUAUUAUUUACUUGAAAUAAUAUUAUUUUUCAUUAUUUAAAUUAUUUGAAAAAAAAACUUAUUCAAGUUUAUCACGUAAAAAGAUCUACCAAUUAUAAAUUCUGAUUAGUUGAACCAUAAGACAAUUGUUAUAGGUAGUAUCCUUCCAAGAGACAAUUAUCACAUGUUCAAACUCUAGUCAAUAUGAUUUAUAAAAUUUUAAAAAUAUUAAAAUAUCUAAUAUAUAUUUGAAAAUUAUGUAAAUUUUUAUAUUUUACAUAGUUUUUUUUGUAUUUUUCUGAUUUUAGAUUUUUUCUAUUUUUAAAUAAUUUUGAUAAUUUUGUAAUUUUUCUUUUAUAAUUUUUGUCAUUUUUGAAGAUUUUUUAAGGGUUUUUGUUGAUGAUGUCAUUAUGAUAGCAUCAUAUGACAUGUGGUAGUAUAUGAUUUGUUGAAUAUCCCAACGAAUUUUUUAUUGUCCAAUGAACUAAACUGAAAAUUUUUAAUAACAUUAGGGACUGAAGUGGAUAAAAAUAUUUUAAAAACUAAAGUUAAAAAAGUGAUAUACUUCAGGGACACAGCAUUAACAUUUUCUAAAAGAUGGAAGUGUUUUUGUUUUUUAAGUGAAUAUAAUUUUUUUGAGUGAAUAUAGUUUUGUGAGGGAGUAGUAAUAUUAUUAUUAGAGACAAGGCAUUUGAUUUUUAUAUAACUUUUUAAUUAAGUCAAUAUCACUCAUUGAGUAAAACCCAACAUAUUAAGCACAUUACUGUACUAAUUUAGAUUAAUAGGAAUGAUCAAAUUUACAAUUAAGGAUUAUAAAUUUAUUUAAUUCCAAUCUUCUACCUUCCUUUAAAUUAUAAGAAUGGUUUUGCCUUAUAUUUUCUUCAAAUUGAGAUUUAAUUUAUAAUUUUAAAUUUUUGAUAUAAUUUAGUUUCUCAAUUUUAUAAUGCAAUUAAUUAGUUUAAAUACUUUAUUUUAAUCAAAAUAAUUAUGUUAAUUUUAAAGAAUUGUUAUCACCGUUAAAAUUCUUUACUAACAAUUAUUUAAAAUUAAGUUCUAUCAUGCUUUUGUUUUAGCUUACACAUAGAUGUUUACAAUAUAAAAUUCUUUAUAAUUUUCAAUACAUAUUACUUAAAUAAAUAGAAAAUAGAGUUUUAAUAAUGCACAACCAAAUAAUUUUUAUUGAUGUUAUAUUAUUUUGAUUUCUUAGACUUGUACAUAGGGAAAAUAAAGGACUAUUGCCAUUAAUUAAUCGCUUUAAAACAAUUUUAAUGAGCUCUAGUCAUGCAAGAUUACCAUUAAAUUGAAUACUCAUAUAGAAGGAUUUAAUAUUUUUGUUUCUCAAAUCACAACUAAUAAUUAUUCAUAAUUUCUUAUUCAGUGUCAUUUUUAAGAUUGAUUAGAUGACAAAUUUUCAUGCCAAAGUUUUAUUUUUAUUUGAUUUAAAUUUUUACAAUAUUUAAAAAAUUAUAUAUUUUGUAAAUUUGAUAUUCAAUCAAUUUUAGAUUUAAAAAGUAAUGAUGAUUUUAACCCAAGGCCUGAGCUAAGAAUAGUUAUAGUUAAAUAAAAUACUGGUAUGAAAUAGUUUAAUUAUUUGAUCACAUUUUUCCAUGCCAAAAUUUUAUUUUUAUUUUUGAUUUAAAAUUUUACAAUUUUUAUAUUGUGAAUUUGGUGUGCAAUGAAUAUGUGUACUAAAAGAUGUAAAUUUACAGGUAAUUUACCACCCAUCACCAGUGCUCCAAAGCUUGAGAUUCUUUUAUUGUGGGGAAAUAAACUUGGCGGAAACAUUCUCAAUUCUAUCUCCAAUGCUUCCAUGCUUAAGAAACUAGACUUGGCAGAUAACUUAUUCUCUGGCCCAAUCCCUAAAACAUUUGACAACUUAAGACACCUUGAAUGGUUCCAAAUUUCAAACAAUAAUUUGAUCAAAGGACCUGCUACUGAUCAUGAGUGGACCUUUCUUUCUUCUUUGGCAAAUUGCAAGCAUUUGAGAAUAAUAGAUGUUUCAAGAAAUCCAUUGAGUGACGUUCUUCCAACUUAUAUUGGGAACCUUUCAAAAUCCCUUCAAUACUUUUAUGCCUCUAAUUGUGAGAUUACAGACAAUAUUCCUAUGUAAAUAGGUAGCUUAAGCAACCUAUUGCUUUUACAACUUGGCUAUAAUAAAUUAAGCUUUAUUCCGACACCGAUAGGACUGCAAAAUUUGCAAGGUUUACAACUUUCCUCUAAUAAAUUAGAGGGGCCUAUAUCAGAAAGCCUUUGUGGUUUGGAGAGAUUAUACUACUUGUAUUUAAGGCUGAUUAGGUUGCAUGGAUCCAUACCCUCUUGUAUGGGUAAUAUUUCUUCUUUGAGAUAUCUUUACUUAGAUUCCAACACAUUGAGUUCUACAAUACCCUCAACUUUGUGGAAUCUUAAAGAUAUCUUAGAAAUAGAUUUAUCAUCAAAUUAUCUUUACAAUUCACAUGCUAUAUUGAUGUUGGAGAUUUGAGGAGUCUACUAAAACUAAAUUUACCAAGGAAUCUUCUCACGGGCAAUAUCUUAUCCACAUUUAGGGGUCUUCAAACUUUGAUUUCAAUAGAUUUAUUAAAUAAUAUACUACAUGGUCAUAUCCCUGGAUCAUUAGGUGGUUUGAUUAGUUUGGAAUUCUUGAAUUUAUGCAAUAACAAUCUCUCUGGAGCCAUUCCCAAAUCUUUGGAAAAGCUUUUAGAUCUCAAGUAUUUUAUUGUGCCUUUCAAUAGACUUGAAGAGGAAAUUCCCACCGAGGGAUGUUUUUCAAACUUCUCUAGCACAUCAUUCACGAAGAAUUUUGCACUUUGUGGUCCACCUAGAUUGCUACUCCCACCUUGCAAAAACGACAUCCAAGAAAACUCCCAAAUGAAUAUAUUGCAUGCUUUAAGGUAUGGUUUACCAACAAUUGGUAUCGUCGUAGUACUAAUAGUCUUAACUAUUAUGUACAGAAGAUGCCAAAGUAGGAGUACAACUCUACCAAUUAAGGAUGAUUUGUUGUCUUUGAAAACGCUGAGAAGAAUUUCACAUGCUGAACUUUCACAAGAAACUAAUGGAUUUGAGGAAAACAAUAUGCUUGGUUCAAGGAGUUUUGGAUAUGUAUAUAAAGAGAAGCUUUCAGAUGGAAUGGAAGUUGCAAUAAAAAUUUUCAAUUUGCAAACAGAAGAAGCAUUUAGGAGUUUUGACAUUGAAUGCGAUGCUAUGCGUAAUAUAGAUCAUUGUAAUAUUGUGAAGGUCACUACUUGCUGCUCAAGUGUUGACUUCAAAGCCUUGGUGCUUGAUUACAUGUCUAAUGGAAAUAUUGAGAAAUGGUUAUAUUAUUAAAACUAUUUCCUUGAUAUCAUACAAAGGGUUGACAAGAUGAUAGAUGUUGCGUCAGCGAUAGAACAUCUCCACAACGGGCAUCCAACACCUAUAAUUCAUUGUGACUUAAAACCAAGCAAUAUUUUACUAGAUGAAGACAUAGUUGCACAUGUGGGAGAUUUUGGCGUUGCCAAAUUGUUGGGAGAAUGUGAUGUAAUGAAGCAGACCAUGACUAUUGCAACAAUCGGGUAUACGGCACCAGGUGAAUUUUUUUAUUUGUGUAUUAUUAUUUUUCUAAUAUGGAUUUUAUAUUUUGUUUGGAUAUAUAUUUGAAUAAUCAUUUUAGAAACAAUUAAAGAUUAACGAUGCUCUAAUUAUACUUGAAAUGCAAAAUUUGGAUCAACAGGAAUUGUUUCUAUAAAGUGUGACAUCUAUAGUUAUGAGAUUGUCCUUAUACAAACUUUCACAAAGAAAAAGUCAACUGAUAAUUUUUUGCUGAAGAAGUGACUAUAAAGCAUUGGAUGGAAAGUUCAUUGCCAAAGGAGCAUGAAAAUCCCCAAAACCCUAAAUUCUUUCCUUCUAGCAAUGAAGAGAUGGUGAGAGGAAAGGAAAAAAAAUCACGUCAAAUGAAAAGAAAAGAAAAAGAAAUUGAACAAAAUUAAAUUUAUGUGGAAAUUGUUUUAAUACUUUUAAUUUGAGUUGGAAAAGGUUGAUGAUGUGGCAUAAAAUAAUUGGAUAGGACCAUAUUUGAGGUAGUGGGAAAGGUCCAAUAUGGAAUAAUUUUUCUAUGUUAUCAAAUAGAUGAAUGAUAGUAAUUGGGAUCAAACUAAUGAUUUGGAUGAUGUUAAUGGUUAAUUUGGUGCAGAGGGUGGAAAAGAAACAAAUAAUUCAUUAUAUGUAAUAUAUAGUAAGUUUCAUACAUAAAAGUUUCAUACAAGGUUCAAAGGCAACUAAAUGACUUGUAAGUUAGUUGAACUUCUUUGAAAGGCGCAAAGGCAAUUGAACAUUUACAAAAUAGUCUCUAAAUACUGUAGACACAAAUCAAAUCAUGGGAGCAUUACAAUUGGUUAAAUUGAGCACUGGCAGAAAUUCCAUCAUAGGAAAUAUUGGCAAAAUCGUCUAUUGAAUUAGAAAAACAACAUAAUCCAUGAAACAUAGAUAGCCCAAUACAAACAUCAUCGAGAAAAAAAAGUCUUUUUGUUUUAUAGCACAUGAUAGUAAAGCAUGCGAAGUUUCAUUCUUCUUAUUGGCCUCCUUUAGUUUUCCUUGAUCAACAACCACUAGCCAAAAACACAAUUAGAUUAGAUUAUAAAUGAAACAUUCAAUUAUGAUAAUUUAAAUAGAAAACACCCUAAAUAACUCUAAAUAAAUGAAAAGUAGCAAAUUACUUGGUGAGGCAAGCUAGCUCAAUUAAGAGCACCAUUGUGUUAGACUUGUCUAUGCAUUAAACAAUCUAAAAGAAAAUGAAGAAAAAGACUUAGAAAACACUUGAAAAUUGACAAAAUUUUUAUGCCAUUGACUGGUUAAACUAUGAUCACCCAUAACAGAUCUUGUAUUUGAGUUUUUGUUGAGGGAGAUCAAGUCCUUCAAGAAAAGUUUUCUAAGUGCUGUCUGUUAGGUAAUCGCUGCUAUUCUCAACAAAAGAUAUUGUCCCCAUGUCAAGAUUUUAUCCUCAGCCUUCAUGGAAUAAUCAUGGAGAUUACAUGUGCAAGGAUUCAAACCACCAACCAAUACAUAUGUAGCAUUUACCUUGGAACCAUCUCCGUGAAUCCACAAGGUUCUUCACGGAAUCAAGAGACAAAACCCCAACACAAGAAUAAUACCAUCUAUUGAGGGGUCCUUUAACACAACAAAUGAAAUUCAUACAUUUUUUUAAUCAAAGUAAAUAUCAUAUUUAAUUGGGGAAAAGCAACAAAAAAAUCCAACAAAAAAAUCCUUAGCAAAAGAUUAAAACACAUUUACAUCGUAAAUGACAUAAGAAACUCCAAUCUAACAAAGAAAAUAACUUGAUGCUCCAAAGCUACCAUAUACUGUAAUUCAUGGGAAGGUCUGAUGCUCAUUUUAUUGGUUUCCAUCUUGAUUUUGCAAAAGAAGUUUGAAUUCUGAAGAGAGCAAAUGAUUGAGCGAAAGAAAAAAAAUUAGUUUAUUAAUUUUCACAAUUUAUAAGACAAACCUUAUGGAGACAAAUAAUGACAUAUUAGAUAUUUGUGAUUAAAAUUCUAGAAUAGAUUAAAAAUGUUGAAUUAAUGAUAAAAUUAAUAGUGAAUUAAUAACAACAAGCGUACUGAUUACUUAGCUUCUUUGUUAAACAUGUUCGAUGUUGUUUAACAGCCUUCGUUUGAUUUUCUUUAGCUCAACGACAAAAUCUUUCAUAUCUUUUCUUUCUUCUGGUAACUCAGCUGAACAAUUCAAAGCCAACUCCAUGAUGGAUGAAAUACAAUUUGCUUUAACAACAAUGUACUCAUCCUCUCUUCUUAGUAAAUCAACAUCUGCAAUUUCUAUCGCUCCUUUAGGCAAUGAACUUUCCAUCCAAUGCCUUAUAGUCACUUCUUCAGCAAAAAAAAUUAUCAGUUGGCUUUUUCUUUGUAAAAGUUUCUAUAAGGAUGCUCCCAUAACUAUAGACGUCACAUUUUAUACAAACAAUUCCUGUUGAUCCAAAUUCUGCAUUUCAAGUAUAAUUAGAACAUCAUCAAUCCUUAAUUAUUUCUAAAAUGCUUAUUCAAAUAUAUAUCAAUAUACGCAUGAAACAAAAGUAUAAAAUGCAAAUUAGGAAAAUAAUCAUACAAAAAAAAAAUUCACCUGGUGCCAUAUAUCCGAUAGUUGCAAGAGUCAUGGUUUGCUUCAUUACAUCACCUUCUCCCAACAAUUUGGCAACAACAAAAUCUCCCACAUGUGCAACCAUGUCUUUAUCUAGUAAAAUAUUGCUUGGUUUUAAGUCGCAAUGAAUUAUAGAUGUUGGAUGUCCAUUGUGGAAAUGUUCUACAGCUACCGCAACAUCUAUCAUUAUGUCGACCCUUUGUAUGAUAUCAAGGAAACAAAUUUCGGAAUGUAACCAUUUCUCAAGGUUUCCAUUAGACAUGUAAUCAAGCACCAAGGCUUUAAAGUCAACACUUGAGCAGCAAGUAAUGACCUUCACAAUAUUACGAUGAACUAUAUUACGCAUAGCAUCACAUUCAAUGUCAAUACUCCUAAAUGCUCCCUCUGUUUGCAAAUUAAAAACUUUUAUUGCAACUUCCAUUCCAUCUGAAAGCCUCUCUUUAUAUACAUAUCCAAAACUCCUUGAACCAAGCAUAUUGUUUUCCUCAAAUCCAUUAGUUACUUGUGAAAGUUCAGCAUGUGAAAUUCUUCUCAGCGUUUUCAAAGACAACAAAUCAUCCUUAAUUGGUAGAGUUGUACUCCUACUUUGGCAUCUUCUAUACAUAAUAGUUAAGACUAUUGGUAAUACGACAAUACCAAUUGUUGGUAAACCAUACCUUAAAGCAUGCAAUAUAUUCAUUUGGGACUAGCAAUCUCGGUGGACCACAAAGUGCAAAAUUCUUCAUGAAUGAUGUGCUAGAAAAGUUUAAAAAACAUGCUUCGGUGGGAAUUUCCCCUUCAAGGCUAUUGAAAGACACAAUAAAAUACUUUAGAUCUAACAGCUUUUCCAAAGAUUUGGUAAUGGCUCCAGAGAGAUUGUUAUUGCAUAAAUUCAAGAAUUCUAAAUUAACUAAUCAAACCACCUAAUGAUCCAGGGAUAUGACCAUGUAGUUUAGUACUUAAUAAAUCUAAUGAAAUCAAAGUUUGAAGACUCCCAAAUGUGGAUAAGAUAUCGCCUGUGAGAAUAUUCCUUGAUAAAUUUAGUUUCAAUAAACUCCUCAAAUUUCCAACAUCAAUAACAUGUGAAUUGUGAAGAUGGUUUGAUGAUAAAUCUAUUUCUAAGAUAUCUUUAAGAUUCCACAAAGUUGAGGGUGUUGCAAAACUCAAUUUGUUGGAAUUUAAGUAAAGAUAUCUCAAAGAAGUAAUAUAACCCAAACAAGAGGGUAUGGAUCCAUGCAAGUUAUUCAACCCUAAAUACAUCUCGUAUAGUCUUUCCAAAUCACAAAGGCUUUUUGAGAUAGGUCCUCCUAAUUUAUUCGAGUGAAAAGUUAGACUUUGGAGAUUUCUCAUUCCUCUUAUUGAUGCUGGAAUAAAUCCACUUAAUUGAUUAUACCCAAGUUGUAAAAGCAAUAGGUUGUUUAAGUUACCUAUUUCCAUAGGAAUAUUGCCUUUAGGCUCACAAUUAUUGGCAAAAAAGUAUUGAAGGGGUUUUGAAAGGUUCCCGAUAUAAGUAGGAAGAACAUCACUCAAUGGAUUUCCUGAAACAACUAUUCUUCUCAAAUGCCUGCAAUUUGCCAAAGAAGAAAGAAAGGUCCACUCAUGAUCAAUAGCAGAUCCUGUGUGUUAGUCAUAUAGUUUAAUUUAAUUUUAGUUAGUUAGUUAGCAGUUAUGUUUCUAUUAUUUUCUUGCUGUUAUUUCGUUUCCAAUUUGUAUAUAACAACACCUUUACAUCAAAUAUAACUUAAGCAGUUUUCUUUUACUCUUAUUCUACAUGGUAUCAGAUGUAAAAUUCUUCUAUUCUAUUGCAUUUUCUUGCAGUUAUAAUUUUCCUACACUUUUUUGCUUCCCAAACACUCUGUCUCUUUGAUUUUUUUCCCUACGAUGUCACUCCAUGAUCCUAUGCUACCUUCUUGUCCUUAUUAUCUUCAUCCCAAUGAAAAUCCAGCCUUAGUUCUUGUUUCUCCUGUCCUAUCUAGCUCGAAUUAUCAUUCUUGGUCUCGAGCAAUGACAAUGGCGCUUUUAUCCAAGAACAAGCUUCAGGUCGUUGAUGGCACCAUCACAGUUCUGCUCCGAACAGAUCCUCUUUAUUUAGCCUGGGAACGGUGUAAUACUAUGGUGCUUUCUUGGCUGCAUCACUCUAUCUCGCCUUCGAUCAUGAACAGUAUUCUUUGGCUCGAUUUUGCUAUACUGUUUGGUGUGAUCUUCGUGAACGUUUUUCUCAAGGAGAUGUUUUUCGCAUUUCUAAUCUCCAAGAAGAGAUCAAUGCUUUCAAGCAAGAUGAUCACUCGGUCACUGAUUACUUUACUGAGUUGAAGAUUAUCUGGGAUGAGUUGAUGAAUUUUCGACUGAUUCUCGUCUGUUCUUGUCCAACAUCUUGUUCUUGUGGUGUUUUUGCUACUCUUCAAAAAUAUCAUGAUAAUGAUUAUGUUAUUCGAUUUCUUAGAGGCCUUCAUGAUCGUUUUGCUGCUAUCCACUCUCAAAUUAUGCUCAUUGAUCCGUUGCCUCCAAUCAAUAAAGCUUUUUCUUUGGUCAUUCAACAGGAACGCCAUCUUACUACUAGAUCUUCUCAAGUGUUUGUUAGUAGCACACUGCGCCAACACUUUUCUUCCAAGAAAUCUCAGGCAAAAUCGUUUCCUGACUCAUGGUAGUGCACCUUUCGUGGUAAAUCCAGGCAUACUGUUGAUACCUGCUAUGAGGAACAUGGUUAUCCACCUGGUUAUAAGUCUUGAGGUCGGGUUUCUUGUGCACACACAGUGCUUAAUGCAGGUGCUGCACAACCCUUGAACUCUUCACAGUCUAUUGCUAUCUUGCCAUCUGAUUCUUCUGUUACUUUGACACAAGACCAGUUACAACAGCUGCUUGCAUUACUUCCAUCUUCCAACUCUCCCUCCCCACCUCAUGUUACCAACACUGCCUCUUCCUUACAUCAAAUGCCUUCUACAUCCUCAGGUAACCUCUUUUCCUUUCAAUCCCACCAUUGGAUCAUAGACAUUGGUGCGACUGAUCACAUUACACACUCUUUAUCCUUCUUUUCCUCUUUUCAUUCAAUUAAACCUGUAUAUAUCACUCUUCCAAAUGGCACCAAAGUCUGUGCUCGAAUUUUUGAUACAGUCAUUUUCAGUGAUAGCCUUUAUAUUACAAAUGUUCUUUAUGUUCCUUAAUUUACUUUAAACCUCUUAUCUGUCACUAAACUUACUGCUACAUUACCUUGUUCAUUUACUUUUCACAAAACUUGUUGCUCCUUACAGGCCCUUCCCUCUUUGAAGAUGAUUGGUACAGCUAAAUUUUUUCAUGGUCUUUAUAUUUUGGAAUCCCCAGCUCAAACCUUCUCCAUUCCCGUUCCCACUACCUUGUCAGCUACCACCCCUUCAUGUUCCUUUUGGCAUCAUCAUCUCGGUCACCUUUCUGAUUCUAGAUUGAAGCUACUUUCCCCUUACAUUCCUUCUUUGUCCAUGACAAACAAUGCAAAUUGUAUAGCAUGUCAUCUGGCAAAGCAAAAGAAAAUACAUUUUCCUGUAAGCACUUCUGUUUCCAAUAAAAUAUUUGAACUUGUUCAUAUUGAUAUUUGGGGCCCGACUGAAGUUGUUUCUAUCACUGGUCAUCGUUAUUUUUUAACCAUUGUUGAUGAUUUCAGUAAUUUUACUUGGAUCAUUCUAUUGAAAACAAAAUCUGAAGUUCAUACUCAUAUUCAGAAUUUUUUCACACUUAUUGAAACUCAAUUUUCCUCCAAAAUUAAAGUCAUUCGAACUGAUAAUGGCUGUGAGUUUGUUAUUCCAGCUUUUUAUGCUUCUAAAGGAAUUAUUCUUCAAACCUCAUGUGUUGAAACUCCACAACAAAACAGUCUUGUUAAACGUAAGCACCAACACAUUCUUAAUGUGUCACGGGCUCUCUUAUUUCAUUCUGCUCUACUUAAGCAUUUUUGGGGACAUGUUGUUCUUCAUUCUAUUUUUCUUAUUAAUCGCACCCCAACUCCUCUUUCGACAAACUAUGCCAAACUAAACCUAAUUUUCAGCAUGUACGUGUCUUUGGUUGUCUUUGUUUUGCUACAACCCUUACUGCUCAUCGUCACAAAUUUGAUCCUUGAGCACGUGAGUGUGUUUUUCUUGGAUUUCCACCACAUGUUAAAGGUUAUAUUCUUUUUGACCUGUCAUCUCAUGCCAUCUUUGUCUCAAGAAAUGUCAUCUUUCGGGAGCCAGUCUUUCCUUUUUCUCAUCCACCAUCUCCUUCUUCCACCCCACAAUUGACCUUUGACCCCUCCAUUACUUAUGAUUUGCCACCUCAACCACAGGUCCCACCUCUUGCUCCCUUCGUCUUAGGAAACCACCUUCUUAUUUAGACCAAUAUCAUUAUUUUUUAAGCAAGGCUGCUACCAAUCAUCCUCGAUGCCCCACACCCUUUACUCUUGCCAUUAAUGCUUUUUCUAUACCUACUACAUAUUUACAAGCUAGUAAAAUUUCCCAUUGGCGAGAAGCAAUGCAAGCUAAAAUUUCUACUCUUGAACAAAAUAACACCUGGAUCAUUAUGGACUUACCUCCAGGCAAGACUGCAAUCGGUUGUAAAUGGGUUUAUCGAGUGAAAUACCGAGCUAAUGGUUCUAUUGAACGUUACAAGGCUCGUUUGGUUGCUAAGGGGUUCACACAAAUCGAGGGUGUCGAUUAUUUUGAUAAUUUUUCCCUGUCGUAAAGCUUACCACCGUUCGCUUGUUGCUUGCUAUUGCUGCUUCUAAAAAUUGGUUUUUGCACCACCUUGAUGUUAACAAUGUGUUUUUGCAUGGAGAUUUGAUUGAAGAGGUUUAUAUGCUUCUACUUCCUGGUUUUGAUUCAUCAACUCUCAAUAAGGUUUGUAAGUUGCAAAAAUCCUUAUAUGGUCUAAAGCAAGCAAGUUGACAGUGGUUUGAUAAACUCACAUCAGCUCUUACUUCUCUUGGUUAUAUUCAAUCCAGUUCUGAUUUCUCCUUGUUUGUUAAAAAGGAUGACAUUUAUUUUACUGCAUUAUUAGUUUAUGUUGAUGAUGUUCUUCUAGCUGGUGAUCAUUUCGAUGAAAUAUCAAGAGUUAAAGCCUUUUUGGAUUCUACAUUUAGCAUCAAAGACUUGGGUGAUCUAAAGUAUUUUCUUGGCCAUGAGGUUGCUCGCAGCUCUGCUAGUAUUCAUCUUUGUUAACAAAAAUAUGCCAUAGACAUACUGUUUGACUUUGGUUUCUCAGAUUGCAAGCCUGUUAAGACUCCAACGGCCACCAAAAUUCCUCGAGAUGCCUCUGCAGAUUUGCUUCCUAACAACACUCUUUUCAGGAAACUUAUUGGUCGCCUCUUGUAUCUGGUUUCCACUAGACCUGAUCUUGCUUUUGCAAUUCAACAGUUGAGUCAAUUCUUGGACUGACCUACAGUCAUUCAUCUCCAAGCUGCUCAUCGUGUUCUUCGCUAUCUGAAUGUGUGCCUUGAUUUUGGUCUUUUCUUUUCUGCUUCUUCAUCACCUGUACUGAAGGCUUUUAGUGAUUCUGACUGGGCUGGUUGUCCUCUCACACGCCGUUCUGUGACUGGUUAUUGCCUGUUUUAUGGUGAUUCCCUUGUUAGUUGGAAAGCCAAGAAGCAAAGCAGUGUGUCCCGUUCUUCCUUAGAAGCAGAAUAUCGUGCCCUUACCUCUACUGUUUGUGAAAUUCAGUGGCUUCGAUUUCUUUUAUGUGAUUUGCACUUGUCUAUUUCUGGUCCUACUGCCUUGUUUUGUGACAACAAUUCCGCUCUUCAGAUUGCUGCAAAUCCUACGUUUCAUGAAUGUACUAAACAUAUCGAAAUCGACUGUCAUCUUGUUCGUGAGAAGGUGCAGUCCAGUGUCGUUAAACUGCUUCCUUGUUCUUCCAAGGAUCAACUUGCUGAUAUCUUCACUAAAGCUCUUGCUGCUAUUCCUUUUCAGCUUAUAUUGUCCAAGUUGGGAUUGUUUCCCAUACACUCUCCAGCUUGAGGGGGGCUGUUAGUCAUAUAGUUUAAUUUAAUUUUAGUUAGUUAGUUAGCAGUUAUGUUUCUGUUAUUUUCUUGCUGUUAUUUCAUUUCUAAUUUGUAUAUAACAACACCUUGACAUCAAAUAUAAUUUGAGCAAUUUUCUUUUACUCUUAUUCUACAGUGAUCAAAUUAUUAUUUAUGAUUCGGAGCACUUCAAGGUGUCUUAAGUUGCCAAGCGUUUUAGGAAUUGGGCCAGAGAAUAAGUUAUCUUCCAAGGCUAGAUUCUUAAGCAUGGAAGCAUUGGAGAUAGAGCUGGUAAUGUUUCCGCUAAAUUUAUUUCCCCACAAUACAAGAUUCUCAAGUUUUGGAGCAUUGGUAAGGGUGGUAGAGUACCUGUAAAAUAGCAUCUUUUAAUAUACAUAGUUAUUGAAUACCGAAUUCACAAAAUAUAUAAUACAUUAAAAUACAUUUUUAAAAAUAAAAAUUGUAAAACAUUAAAUCAAAUAAAAAUAAAAUUUUGGCAUGGAAAAAUGUGAUCAAAUCAAUUAGUCCCUUUGUGAUUUGUAUAAACAAAAAAUAAAAUAAAACCAUUCCAUACCAGUAUUGUAUUUGAUCUAAUGAUAGGGUUGUAAGUUACUUGUAAAAAUUACAUGCUUUAGUAUAUAAAUUUGUACUCCAAACUAAAAAUGAACUCCUCACUAUUCUUAGCCUAAGCCUUGGGUUGAAAUCAUCAUUACUUUUUAGAUCUAAAAUUGAUUGAAUAUCAAAUUUGUAAAAUAUUGUAAAAUUUUGAAUCAAAUAAAAACAAAACUUUGGCAUGAAAAUGUGGCAUCUAAUCAAUUUUAAAAAUGACACUGACACUGAAUACGAAAUUAUGAAUACAAAUUAGUUAUGAUUUGGGAACCAAAAAUAUUAAAUUAUACUGUAUGAUUUGGUAUUAGUUAUUAUUUUAAAUAAUAUUGUUAAUUUUUAAUUACAUGAAGUAAAACUAUUGUAUGUUAAAUAUGGUUUUAAUUAUGUCUUGAAAUAUUAUUAUUAUAUUUCAACUACUCUAUAAUAUUUUAAUUAUGUUUAGCCAUUUGAAUAACAAACUAAAAAACUAAUUAAAAGCUAAUUACUUCUUUAAGUAUAAUGGAAAUUAAAAAUUUUAAAAAUAAAUCAAUUCAUAUAAAUUUUAAUGUUUAUUAUCAAAUUAAUACAUUUUAAUAGAUGAUAAAAUAUAUGAGCAAAAAAGAAGAAACAAAUUAAAGAGAAUGUUUUUGGAGUUUGGAAAAAAUUAAAGUGAAAAACAUACCUUCUAAUUUGUUGUCAUAUAGAUCUAUUUCUUCGAGCGUAGUUGAAUUAAAAACACUUUCCGUAAUCAGCCCACUGAAUUGAUUUGCUGCUAAGGCUCUGUUUGUUUCACUGAAAAUGGCUUACUUUUCUAAAAAAGCUAAUAUUUUCUGGUGUUUGAAUGAAUCUGUGUAAAAUAUUUUCUUUUGUUUGGCAGGUUCUUUAAAAAUAUUUCAUAAAAGUUGUUUUCAAUUAAACAAACAUACAUUUGAGAUUUUUUUUUAUUUUUCAUUGUUUAAUUGAGUUUAUUUUAUAUCUAUAAUUUUAUAUUUUACAUUGUUUUACAUAUAUUAAAAAUAUUUUGUUAAAUUUAGGUUUAUUGUAAUGAUUAGUUUUUAGUUACAUGACUACCAACUGAGUAUUUUUUUUAUUUAAAAAUGUGACAUUAACAAAAUUGACAAAAAAAAUCAACAAUGUCAGUAGUUGGACUUGAUUUUCAAAUCUGGAAAGUAGAGGGAUUAAAUUUUUGAAAAUAAAAGUACAGAAACUAAAUUGCAAAUUUUUGAAGAGUAUAUAGACUUAUGACAUAUUUUAACAUUUAUACUACAAAACAUUUAUUAUUAAUAUAUUUAUAAUUGUAAUAAAUUUUUGGUAUUAAAAUAUUAAUAUUGAUAUUUUUAUUGAUAUAUGAAUAAUAUUUUUUAAAAUUAUUAUUUUUAAAAUUUACUAUUAAAAUGAAAUUUAAAUAUUAAAUAAUUUAUUAAAAAUAAUAAAUUAGACUAAUUAUAUUAAUAAUUUAUUAUAUGACUAAAUAUAAAUAAUUGAAUACUUAUGUUUAAUAAUAUUAAAAAUAUAAUAUUUUAUAUUAAUAUUUUAAAUAUUUUAAAUAUUUUUAAAAAUAAAAAAUUUAUUAUCAAUACAAUAAUAUUAAACUUGGUUUAAGUUAAUUUUUAUAUAAAAGUAAAAUUAUCUAUUGAGGAGCUCUUUUUCAGAAAAUGACUUACGCUUUUCAAAGGGUAAGUCAUUUUACAAGGAAAAAGGCUUAUUUUCCGUUGACCUGUAAGUCAUUUUCCGUUGACCAAGCUGUUUUCUGUGAAACAAACACAGGAAAAUGCAGAAAAUAUUUUCCGUAAAACCUUUUACAUGAAAACAAACGGACCCUAAAUCCAAAUUCUAAAGCUUGUAACAUUCACUUACACUUGAUGGAAUAUUACCAGAUAAUUCAUUUGUAUCCAAGUAAAGCCCUUCAAACUUGGGAAGAUGUUGACACAUAUCAUUAGGUAAACUACCUAAUAGGCUAUUGCUGGAGAGAUCAAUAGUCUUCAGAGAAGAAACAUUGAAGAUAGAAGACGGAAUUUGACCUGUAAGGUAUUUAAUUACUGUAAUAAUAAGCAUUUUCAAACAUUACUAAUAUAAACAGUUCAUGGAAGUAAGAAAGUUUGCAUAAUAAAACCAAAUUGUUUAAAAAAUUAAAACAAUAUUUUGAUUAAUCGAUAAAUUUAAGAUUUUAUGUAUUGAAGUGGCUUCAAAUCUCACUAUUAUUUUUUUGUUUUGUUUUGUUUUGUUUUUUAAAUAAAAAUACUAAAGUACCUCAAAUAGUAUAACUUAUUUUAAAUACGAAAAGAUAUUUUUGAAAUUUCUCUAAUUGAGUUGGUGCUCAUUGACUCGUAACACCAACUUAAUUAGAUACUUAAAUAACAAUUAGUUAUUCACAUUCACCAAAAAAAGUAAAAAAAAAUGUUACUUUAGUUUCAAAUAACAAAUUUUAAUUAUUUAUAUAACAAAAAACUGUAUAAAUUUGAUAAAUAAUAUAUUUAUAUAAUCUAAUCUAUCAUAUUUAUAUUAAUUAUAUAUCAUUUACAAACUUUUAACAUAAAUUUAUUGACUAUUAAGAAAAGAAAAAAUGAAAUGAAAUAAUGAAUAAUUUAAUUGACAAUAUAUCAAUUUUUAUAUUUUCUACCUAUGCUUUAAUGAUGAUCGAUUUUUUUUUAUUAUCACUAUUUUUGAAUUAAAAGAAUUAUUAAUAUAAUUUAAUUAUAUUUUGAAUAAUGUUACUCUUUUUUAAUUACAUGAUGUAAAAUCAUAUUAUAUAUUAAAGAGGGUACAUAUGCUUUAAUUAUAGCUUGAAAUUUUAUUAUUACAUUUGAGUUAUUAAUAAAUUAAUAUAUUUUAAUUAUAUUCAACUAUUUCAAUAACUAAUUAGAAUAAUUUUAAAAAACAUUAUUUAAAAGCUAUGUAUAUAAAUGUAUAUGUAUAUAAAUAUAUUUUCAAUGUUGGUUUCUUUUCUUCCACACACAAAGUAUUUCUAAUGUUUUUUUUUUUAUAACUUUUACUUAUAUAAAAUAGAUUAGUUAAUACAAUAAAAAAUUAAUUACUCUUUUUUAAGCUUAAUGGAAAUUAAAAUAAAUAAAUUCAUAUAAAUCUUAUUGUUUAUUAUCAAAUUAAUAGAUGGUAAAGUAUAUGGCAAAAAGAAAAGGAAGAAUUAAAUUCAAUAGAAUGUUUUUGGACUUGUGGAAAAUUUUAAAGUGAAAAACAUACCUUCUAAAUUGUUGUCAAAUAGAUAUAUUUCUUCGAGCAUAGUUGAAUUAAAAAGGGUAAACUACAAAAAUAGUCACUUUUGUUUGCCUCAAGUUACAUUUUAGUCACUUACGUUUGAAAUGUUACGUUUUAGUCACUUAUGUUAUUAUUUUGUUACGAAGUGAUCACUCUUCCGUUAAGUUCCGUUAUCUUCCAAACGGUAAUCCUAUGUGGCAAUCCAACUAGAUUUUAAGUGUCAACUUAAAUUUCCUAAUAGAAUGAGAAUAAAUUUUUAAUUAAAUAAAUUUAAUUAAUUAAAAAUUUUAAACCCUAAAUCUUAAUUAAAAAACCCAUCUCCCUUUUUUUAGUUUUUUUUUCAGUUGACUAAGAAAACAGUCACGUCUUUGAGCAGGCCUCAGUAAUCAUCAAUAGCUUGACUCCAUAUAUUUAAGAACAUAAAGCUUCUGCCUAAAGAUAAAAGGAAAAAGAAGGAAAACCCCACACCAAAUUUCUCUGCAUUUUAUUUUUUGCUUCCACUUUACCCCAUUGAAGUGGACAUGUUGGCGACCUUAUGGAUGGAGGAGCUUUCACCAACCAAGAGUAAAUAGCUCUACCAAACAGCAGCAACAACAGUACCACCAGUUGAAGCUUUGUAUGCAUGCGCCAAAGCUAAAAGCUAAGAGCUUUUGGAUUUCAAAAUCUUUUAGAAGCUUGUGUUACAAAGCUAUAGAGUCCAAUGUGUAUUACUCAUAGAGGUUAGAGUAUAGUGGUAUGAUAGUAAAUCACUCUGUGUUUUGUCCUUCACCUAGUCCUUUUGAAGAACAGCAAACUGAAAUGGAGGGUUUGGUUGAGAAAGAAGGACUCUUUAAAGAGAAAAAUGAAAGCUUUAGUGAGAAUGGGGUUCAAAUGGGAACAUUGCCGAGUUGCUUGAAGACAAGGGUAGGGAAAGUAGUUCAAGUUCUGAUUUUUUAACAUCUGAAACAACCGGGCAUGAGGAGGAACACACAGUCACAGUAGUUCCGAGGAAGGGUAUGCUGAAAAAGAAAACUAAAAAAAAAGGGAGAUGAAUGGUUUUUUAAUUAAGAUUUAGGGUUUAAAAUUUUUAAUUAAUUAAAUUUAUUUAAUUAAAAAUCUAUUCUCAUUCUAUUAGGAAAUUUAAGUUGACACUUAAAAUCUAGUUGGACUGCCAUGUAGGAUUACCGUUAGGAAGAUAACGGAACUUAACGGAAGAGUGAUCACUUCGUAACAAAAUAAUAACAUAAGUGACUAAAACGUAGCAUUUCAAACAUAAGUGACUAAAAUGUACUUGAGAUAAACAAAAGUGACUAUUUUUGUAGUUUACCCAAUUAAAAAUACGUUUUGGAAUCAGCCCACUGAAUUGAGUUGUUACUAAAUUCAAAACCUGAAGCUUGUUACAUUCACCUAUGGAAAAAAUACUUUAUGGAAAUCUGACCUGCACACAUACUUAACAUAAGUCAAAGAGGUUUUCUUUUCUAUAAUUUGGAGAUGUUAUAUUUUAAUGUAUUUAAUCAUAUUUUUUCAUCAAAUUAACUAUUUUGAUUUUAAUGAAAUAAAAAGCUCUUACUUUUUUUUAUAAAAAAAAACUUUAAACUAAAGAAGCCAAAGAAAUUUAGUACCUUCUAGAUUAUUAAACCCCACAUAUAAAUGUCUAAGUCGUGUCAGGUUUCCAAUACUUCUUGGAAUGAUCCAUGUGAAUUGAUUAAUGGACAAUGACAAAAUUUGAAGGUUGUUGCAUUUGCCUAUACUUAAUGGAAUGUUACCAGAUAAUUCAUUCAAACUCAAGUGAAGUCCUUCAAGCUUAGGAAUUAUGUUGACACAUAUCAUCAGGUAAACUACCUGAUAGGAUUAAUAGCCUUCAGAGAAGAAAUGUUGAAGAUGGAAGAUGGAACCUGGACAGAUAAUUGAUUGAAUUCCAAGUUCAAGAUCUCUAGAUUGGACAUGUUAACAAGUGUUUGAUGGAUUGUGCCUAUAAAGUUAUUAUUUUUCAUUUCCAGCCUUUGGACUCUGCGUAAGUUCCCAAGCCAUGAUGGAAUUUCCCCAUUAAGACCAUUGUAGCUUAAUUGGAUGAUCCUCAAACGGUGCAAUUGGCCCAAUUCGGUGGGCAGAUGGCCAUAGAAAUUGUUGCUACUCAAGUCGAGAGAGAGUAGGAAUGAAAGUUUUCCAAGUUGUGAAGGGAUAGUACCUCGAAGAUUCAUGUUUGUAAGAUUCAAAGCUACAACUCUUUCAUGGAUGAUGCCACAAGAAACACCAAUCCACCUGCAAACAGAGCUAUAGGCUAUCCAAUUGUUUUCCAAGAUAUUGUGAGGAUCGAUUAUUCGAUCCUUAAACUCGAGGAAUGCAAACUAAUCGGUGGUGAGAUUCCUGGCUGUCAUAGCCAAACAAAGUACGGAACAUGGUACGAAUAGAGCUAAAAGAAGAUGAAAGCAAGUGGUGUAGUUUAUGAUUGCAAGACGGAAUAAGGGAAGAAAAUAAAAGAGUAGGAAAAGGGAAAUUGAAAUGAUAAAAUAGUUGGAUGAUGAAGAAAAGCCCAGAGAGCCUGCUUUAAUAUGUUUCAACCCUCCCACACUUCUCCUAAUUAAAUUCACUCGGGUAGGGUUACAACAUUAAUUUUCAAAAUAAAUGUCAAGUCUUCUUUUAAAACACAUACAAAGAAGCGAAUUUUCUCCAAAAUUUCUUCACAUUACUCCACAUAAUCCAUACAAAAUUAAUAAAAUAUAAUUUUUUAAUUACUAUAUAUUCUUUUAUUUUUUUCACAAUAAUAAGUUGGUUAAAUAUGCUAUUAAUCCCUGUACUUUUCAAAAUUUGAGAUUUAAUCCUUAUACUUUAAAAGUUAAAAAUUAAUUCAAAGAUAUUCUUUUUUCUAAACUGAGUGAAAUAAUAAGCUUUGUUUUCCUUUAACAAUUUUUUUUUGGUAUUUUCGCGGAUAUGAGGAGAUACUGAAAAUUAUUUUACUAUGAACUUUUAAUUCACUCAAAAAAAUAAAUGUUUUAUUUCAAGGGAACACAAUUCAACAUUAGAUUUCCCAUUUUUAUAUUUUAAAUUUUUUUGACAACUGCAUAAUUAACAAAGUAUCAAUUUUGAGCAUUGUGAGAGUUUUAUAACUUUCCAUAUGCGUAAUCGACUUUUGAACCCACUUUUUAUUUUAGAACUCAGGACAUACCUUAAAUUUUUAUUUUUAUAAGUUAUUUAUAAUCUAUUUGUAAAAAGUGAAUUUUUAAGUGACCGAUCACGCUUAACAAAAAUGAUUGGUGACGUUGAGUCCUUUUUGAUAAAAUCUUUUUGUUGGAAAGACCAAAGUUUUCAUUUUUUUUAAGAAGUCUUGAAUUUAAUUUUCUUUUUGAAUUUUUAUUUUUAACCAGAAAAUGGUCCUUACAGUUAUUAUUUAUUUUCCCCAUUUUUAAUGGUUUUUUUCAGGGAGAUGAAUAGUGGAAUGAUAAUUUUUGGUUAAGGUAAACUCAAUUAUGUAGUUGAUUCUAUUUUGAUCCUUCAAUUAUUAAUUUUUCGAUCUAAUUACAUAUUUUUUUAAAAAAAAUUAACACUCUCUUAGUUGCCUCUUAAUUGAGGGACAAAAAACUUAGACAUUUUCUAAUCACAUUUAAUUCAAUUGCGUUUAGGAUCACAUAAUUUUCUUUUAUUCUUUUUAAAUUAUAAACUGUUUCAAAAAUUCGGUCAAUAGCUUAAGUGAAAUUAUCCUUUUCGAAAUAUCAAUUUCACUUAAGCUAUUGACCGAAUUUUCAGCUAUUAGUCUUUUUUCCAAUCAAAUUGACUCUUAGGAGAAAUGCAAACUGCGCAAAAGAGUGUAAACAAAGAGGUUGAAUUUAAUUAGUUUCAAAAGACAUAAUUAAUAAUAAACUUAUUUAUUUAACAUGUUAAGAAACCUUUGCUUCAUUUUCUUGAACUCAACCACAACAUUCUUCCUAACUUUUCUUUUUUGAGGUAAUUCAGUUCAACAUUUCAAAAGAAAUUCCAUAAUCGAUGAAAUACAAUUUGCUUUAAUAAUAAAUCCGCAUCCUCGAAGUCUAGUAGUCCUUCAAACAAUGAGCUUUUCAACCACUGCCUUAUGGUGAUUUACAAUAUUAACUUCUUUUAUUAAAAUGUAGUGUGUGUGUGUGUGUGUUUUUUUAAUUAAAAUUCUUUAUAAACUUUUUUGUUUUCAAACAUAACUUUAUAUUUAUAUGUUGUUCAGUUGUAUAAUUUAAAUUAUGAGAUAUAUUUCUUUAAAAAAUAUUAAUGGAGGUGGGAACAUUUGCACUAUUAACGUUUUCUUUAGGAAGACCAUAAAAUAGAAAAUAAAUAGAAUUUUCUUGAAAAAAGAAAAUAAACAGAUUCUUUUAGUCCCAACUUAAAUGCUUUUCGAAACGAUAUUUAUUUGUUUUUUUUAUUAUUUGGGAGUAAAGCUCGUUCAUUCAGAAUUCAAUUGAGAGUUACGAAAUGAUUGUAAAAAUUUUAGUAAAAGACAAACGUGGAGAAAAUGAGGAUUAAUGCUGUAGCCUGUAAGAGAGAUGAUCUGAUAAAACUAAGACCAUUGGAAUAUUUAUAGGAAUUAUGUAACUAAUGUUGAAGGAAAUUUAAAAAUAAACUAAUGUUAUGUCUUAUGAAAUACCUUAAGUAGGCAAUAUGUAAGAUAUGGCAUUAAAAAAUAGAAAGGAACUAAUGCGCGUUACGAGAUUUAAAAGUCCUAGAAAUAAAUAAGAGGCAAAAAAGAUUAUAUAAUAAAAUGAAAACACAAACCUUAAUUGCAAUUGAGAAGGUAUUGAGUAGUUUAUGAUCUGAUGUGAUAUAUUUAUGUUAUUUGGUCAUUAAUAAAUACAUAUAGUGUUUCAGUAAUUACAAAUGAAAAAUUAUAAGUCACAAAAGUUAUGUUAUUUGGUUAUUAAUAAAUAGUCGUUAUUCAAGUAGAUAUCUAUUGAAUAAUUAUGUUUGUUGCUAAAAAUAUGACCAUCCAUUUCGGUAGUUAUGUCCCUAUGAAGAGACAUGAGGUCUCCUACAAAUAGGAGUGAAGUUUCAUUUGCAUAAAAACCCAAAAAUAUAGAAAAAGGAAGGUUUUUUUUUUCUGAUCUCGCACCAUUUUUUAUACUUCUAGAUUGUCCUAUAAAAAAUUACUGUAGAAAUUCUUUAUAGAAAUUGAUUUCCAUGCUAUGCUCCGCUUAGUGCUUAGCUGAUUGUUUUUGUCAGUGCCAAACGUAGACAUCCAUUGGGCUUUAUUGUAUCCUUGAGGUUCAUUUUCCAGUAACUCUUUUGCACACCAUAAUAUAGGUGGGGGAGACAUGCCUUAAAGCUUUUGUUAAUUUCUCUUAAGUUUAUUUUUAUCCCCACUCACCAACAAUUUCAAGGUUCUAAUUUCGCAAUUUAUGAGAAAUUAAAGAAGGCUUGUUUAUUCACCACGCAUUCACAUGCCGCUACAAGCAUGAUACUAUGAGGAUAGAUAUAGGCAAAUGUGGUUGCAUCAAGGCCAGAGAUCUUGUCAAAUUUUGUUUAAAAGAAAUAUUUAUCACAUUUAUUAUUUUACUCUUAUUGCAUGAUUUAGCUUCAAAUGUUAUGUGUUUAUUGAAUUACAUUAUGCAAAAUAUGUGGGUGUUUCAUGCACCAAUUACUUGACAAAAAAAAAAUCAAAUGCUAGUUCAUUUUAUGCAUAAUUUUUUGAGAUGCAUGAUUCUGAUCAGUAUAGAAUUAUAAUAUAUAUUAUAUAUCAUGCAAGAAAGAAAGAAAGAAGAUGGAAUGAAAAUGCACGUUUGGGAAAGGGUCUAUUAAUGGAUUGAAAAGUUACUUUCAUUUUGAAUGGUGAUGACAUUUUUUUUUCAAAAAUUAAUUGAACAUGCUUUUAUUCAAUAGAAGCAUUAUGAUCAUUCAGGUGAGCCUUCCCAAAUUACAAAGUUGCAUCACUAGGUCCAACAAAUACUUUUAAAAUGUUCGAUGAAUGGUUUCUUGAAACCAAAAAGUACCACUUAAAAAGUGAUAUCUUUUUGAAGAGUCACUUAGGCACCUAUGAAUGCUUUAUAAAUAGAAACUAAGUUAGGAUAAUUACAAUAUAACUCGUUCCAUCUAAUUUGUGAGUGAAACUCUCAUUCUUUCUUCUUAUUGAUACAUAUUGAACUUGUGAUAUGAAAUUAUUUGUUUAUUCAAAUCAUUCUUUCUUCUUAUUGAUACAUAUUGAACUUGUGAUAUGAAAUUAUUUGUUUAUUCAAAUCAUAAUAUUAGUAACUAGCAUUUGGAUGAUAUUGAUGAGGCAUCAUUUUCAUUGCUAAAAAUGAAAGUUUGCAAAUGAUUAUAUAAUAUAAAUGAUUUUGGUUGUUGUUUUUGCUAAAUAACCAUAAGUUAAAUGAGUUUUAUAUAUGAUUGCACAUUUUUUAUUCUAUGUUAUAAAGUUUGGACUAAAUGUGGUUUUGACUAUAAGUCAAAUACAUAUGCAUGGUUAAUUUUUCUAGUCAAUGUAGAAUAGUGAAAACCAUUAGCUUAUAUAAUAAGAUCACUAUCCUAGUAUGAAAUUGUAACAUCUUAAAAUUCGGGGUUAGGAGUUUUGAGGUUUGUGGUCAGGGCCUGUGAGUAGGGUGAGUAAUUGGGUUUGUAGUCGUGCUUUGAUGACAGAAUGAGCCUAUUGGUUCAAUGGUAAAGGGUGUGUUAGUUUAACUUUGGGUCCCGGGUUUUAGUCCUUAUGUGUGUUUUGGGGAAAUAAUUUUACUUUGGUGUUUUUUUAAGUUUUAAAUACUUAUCUAUUAUUUUUAUUUUUAUUUUGGAGAGAGAAAAGAUCCCAAUUUGUUUUUCCACAUUCUCCCCUUUUCGCACGCCUGUUUCUUCUUCAAUUUCUAUUUUCAAUUUUUGUUGCUUCUUCUUCUUCUGCCUUAUUCUUUUGUUAUUCGAGUAUUGAAGCGUUUUCAUUAGAAAAGUUAUUUGCUCAAUUGUUAGGUGUGGAACUGGGUAAGUAUUAGCAUUGUUUUGUUGAUGAUUCUCUGAAUUUUAGAUUAAUUGCUUAAGGUUUUGUGCUGAUUAAUAAGGUUUUGAAAAAUGGUGGAUUUCAGGCGUCGAUUGUUAGGGCAUUUUCAAUCAUGAAUUUAGGUGUGUGUUCUGCAAUUGACUGAUUUCGUUAUCAAUUGCAUGAUUUCGACAACCCCUUUGUGUGUCUCUUAACUAUCUAAAUCAGUUAGCGAAUUGUUGAUGGAUUUUGGGAAAAAUCUAUAGAAGUCUAAUGUGGUUUGAAUUGUUAACAACUGGGGUAUGUUUUGUUGUCAUACAACCUUGAUUUUAGCCUAUUUCGAGGUGGUUUUGUGACCACACAGGCGUGUGCCACACACAGGCGAUCCACACAGCCGUGUGCAAUUGAGAAAUUAGGUUUUAGGCAAUUUUUGGUGUCAUACGGCCGUGUGGCUAAAUUUUGGGAUUUUAGUCAAUAAUCACACAGGCGUGUGUUCUGGACAGACGGCGAUGUCCCAUGGGCACACGGAUGUGUGAGACUUUCACACAGCCGUGUCUGCUCUGCACUUUAUUUUAGCAAUUUCGGACAGAGAGUUACACAGGCUAUUCACACAGCCAUGUCUCUAGGUCACACAGGCGUAUGUCAUAACCAUACGACCAUGUGCCUCUUUUCACAAAGGUGUGUGCUUGUUUACACAGGUGUGUGCCUUCUUCUCAUGGGCAUGUAGGCAACCAUACAACUUAGGCACUUCCACACGGCCGGGGCCCUGUUUCUCAAAUUUUCGUUUGGUGUUGGAUCUUGACUUGUUUGUGGUUUUGUGUGUUUCGGCCCUUGGUUAGGCCCUAGAAAGGGUGGUUGGGACUCUAUUUCAUCUCAGUUUUGCACGUUUGUUUUUAAUUAUGGAAUUAAUAUAAUAGUUUUUUAAAAUGCUAUUGGUACAUACUGCUUGCAUUUAAUUGAUAUUAACUCUAAAAAUGGUCCACCGCUUAUGUAUUCUAUUAUACGAGUCUGUUAGCAUGUUGAGUGCAUUCUGGCAUUUGCAUAUAAAUUUGGGUUUUGGUUGUGAAGAGAAGGAUGUCUGAUCUGAUUUGGUAGUUUUAAUUGCAACACAGCUGUACAGUGGUUUACCGUAAUAUGCUGUACAUAUGAUAGCUCAGCUGCAUAUUGAUAUUUCAAUGGCUUAGUUCCACAUAUGUGGUGUGUAGGGUGGAUGGGACUUUUGACGUCCUAUAUGGUGUGCAUAGUUGGUUAGGCUUGAUUAGCUCAUAUGUGGUGUGCAGGGUGGUCGAAAUGGUGUUCAGUUGGUGGGGUGGGUUCAUUUUUAAUCUAUCUUGCAUCUUAUUUGUAUUCAGUUUGCAUUUUAACAUACAUCGGUUUGUAUGGAUAAAAUGUUAGUGUGUGUUCUAAUCAAUACAUGUGGUUUGUUUGACUUUUGGUUCAAGUUUCCUUUUAGUAUACACAGUCUGUGUACCAUAACUUGAAAUGUUUGUAUUUGAUAUUUUGUCUUUUAAUAUUCACUUACGUUUCGAACUCACACUAAGCUUGUGUAGCUCACCCCUUUAGUUUUCCCUUUUUAGGUAUUCUCAUUUUUUGUAGAUGGACUCGGCACACUGGAGGUCUCGAAGCAUUACGUUUUAAAUCAAGCUAAUAAAGUAUUUCUUUAACUCUAAUUUUAAAUAAAUUUUUUUGGAUUGUAAGUACUGUUUUUGAAAUUGUGGUACGAAUUUUGUGCCAUACACACGUAAAGUGUUAUUAGAACUGAAGUUUCGAAAAAGGGAGAUUUUUUUUUUAUUUUUGAACAUUUUCUGUCGUAUCCUAAUUACCAUUUUGACUUUGGCAUAUUUUGUUAAAUGAUUUAGCGUGAUUUAAGCAAUAGUUUUCUGACAAAGUUUCAAACAAUUGUUUGGUAAAUUUUCUAGAAUCACUUCAGUUGUCAAUGUGACCUCCAAGAUCCAGUCAAAACUUCUAGGCUGGGUUUUGGGGUGUUACAGAAAUCUUCUAGUGAGAAUAUAUAAUGUGAUAAUCAUAUAUUUGAAAUUGAGAUCAUACCAUGCAUAUUUACGAUUAUGCAUAUGGUUUUUUAUAAAUGGCUUGGAUAUGAUCUAUAAUCUCGUGGUUUUAUAAAAUUUUAAGAUGUAGUAACUUUUGAAAUUUACUAUGGAAGCCAUGAAUCAAAGAUCUUGCAAGUAUGAAAAUAGAAAUAUGAAUGCUAUUUGACCCAUUUAGAUGAUCGACAUGAUUUUGAUCAUAGUCAGAAAGUAAUUGAUAAUAUCCAUGGUGAAAGGUGAAUAAAUGUGUGAUUUUGUUGUCUCUCGAUUAGACAGAUAAUGAUCCUUUAAUAUGACAUAUAUGUUACACCCUUGUAUAUAUAAAGUGAUUUUAUUGUCACUAGACUGGACAGUUGAUGGUCCUUUAAUAUGACAUAUAUGUUACAUCCUUGUAUAUAUAAAGUGUGUUGAGAAAAACAAUGUUAUUUGACUAUAAAUGAAUUUUUUUUAAAGACAUGUACUGACUUAGAAAAGAAGCUAUGACAAACAACAAAUAUGUUGUCUAGUUUCACCAAGAGAUUUGAGGCUUCUUCACAACAACAUACUUGGUGAAAAAGACAUGAUGCAUGGUUUCAUAUAUUUGGUGAUUGUGAAAUUAAUUUCUUGGAUAUUAAGAAAUAAAUCAAGUAGACAAAUAUGAAAUCAUCAUGAUAAGAAAAGAUAAAGUGAUUAUUGUAAUUUGACAAUAGUAAAAAGGUUGUCCCUGAUAGCAUUCUUUUUCAAAAGAAUGGGUAAUUUAAAAUGGUAAAGAUGUUGGCCUUGUGAAUUUUCAAGACACAAAUAAAUAUAAAGUUUCACUUGUGGUAUGGAUAAUUAACAUAGCUAUGUUGAAAAUUUAGAAAUUUAGGGAUGAGGUACAUGCCUAUAAUAUUUAAGUCACCCAUGCUGGAAACUCAACUCAACGUUUGAUAUAACAUCAAGUCUUGAGUUCAAUGAGACAAAGUAUAUUAUCAAUAUGUGAUCGCUAACACUAUAAAAUAAUUUAUCAUCCCAAUGUAAAAAAGUUAGGUACCCGUAAUGAUAAGGGGAAGGAUAAGUAUUAUACUCUUAAUAGACCCAUAACAUAAAUAUGUCAGUGUUAUAAUUACAGGAGCACUCUUGAUGGGAUCUGCCUAUGUGAGCGGAAGUGUUGUGUAACUAGAUUUUUGUGCAAAUGUAUAAUUCAUUCAAGUAAUAAGUAAGUAAAAUGAGUUAUUGUCUCCCCAGGGGCUGUGUAAGUUAAUCAAUUAUCUGCAAAAUUAUAAGUUAACAAUUUAGUGAUAAAAACACAAUAAUUUGAGUGAUGAUGAUUAAACUAGAUUAAUUUAACUAAAUGCAAGAUUGAUCCCUGUCGAAACCACUUUUUGAAAACAAAAAUUAGUAGUUGACUUAAAAAUGAAAAUCAGAGUCGCCACCGAUAUUUUAUUGAGGUGUGAUCGGACCACCUUGAAAACAAUUAUAGGUCUACGAACUUUGAAAAAAUAGGUUUGGGAGUCGAUUACGCACGAGGAAAGGUUAGCACCCUCGUAACGCCCAAUAUUGGUACCGAAUGGAUUGUUUAAUGUCUUAGUGUCAAAAAUUUGAAAAGAUUUUAAAAUACGAUCCUUUUAACUUUAACUAAAUUGAAUUAAAUGAUAAGACACACUUAUUUCAAAGAAAUAAAAUGUCACACCCAAUGAGUUAGGGCGCAACAUUUUUAAUCUUCAAGAUUAAGUUUAUCUUUUGACUUUUUAAAACCUAUACAUUUUGAGAAGGAUAUCUAGUUAUUCGGGUCAAAUGAAAAAUCAAAACCCUGUAAGUUAGGGCUCAAUUUCCCAAAAUUUCUAAAUACCGAAUAUUGCCUUUAUUAUUUUUUUUAAAAUCUUUAAUUCGAGGUGGCAAAAAGUCAUAUCCAGUGAGUUAGGAUCCAACAUUUUGAAAUCCCGAAAAACUUUUAUUUAAAAUUUGUAUGGUUUUAUUGCAAAAGAAAUACUUUGCUAUCUAAAUUCAUCGAAAAAAAUUGAAGCCCGGUAAGUUAGGGCACAAUCUUCUCGAGAAUCGUGAAUACCGAGUAUUUUUAAAAAUUUAAGGAAUAGAAUGAUUUUAGUGCUCUAAUGAAACACAAUUUUUAAACAAAUGUAGUAUGAUUGAAUAGUAAUGUAUAAUGUAAAAGAUAUAAUUUAUAAUCUAAAUACACACUAUGGGAUAAUAAACAAGCAAUAGACAACAAUAAUAGCAACAACAAUUUUAAUCACAUUAUGCAAAUAUCAAUAUUAAUAUUCAAAAAACUAAACAAAUCCAUCAUCAAAUUUUUAAAAGAUACACCAAGAUAAUACAAAAAUAUAUCCUAUGUAUAAAAGUUUUAAAAUAAAAAUAUAUAAGAAUAUUCAAAAGGUGAAUUUUAAAACAAAAUAAAAAUAAAACAUCAAAAUAUAUAUAAAUUAUAUCAAAUUUUCAUAAGAAUAUAUAUAUAUAUAUAUUAAUAAAUGAUGAAUUAAAUAAGAAUAUGUAAAGUUUGAAAAUAAAAGUAUAUAAUGGAUUUUAAAAAAUAAUGUAUGAUAAUUUUAAAACAUGUUAGUAAUAAUUUAAAAUAAUAGUAUAUUAUAUCUUAAAAUCAUAAUAAUAAUAAGUUAAAAAUAAUGUCAAGCUAAAUAUUAAAAUAAUAUUAGAAAUAAUAUAUUAAGAUAAGUAUUAAUUUAUUUUAAAAUUAUACUAUUAGAGGCUAAAUUAGACAUGAAAUAUAAUUUAGAAUAUAAAAUAAUAAAAUAAUAAUAAUGGAUUAAAAAUAAAAUUGGAAUUUUAAUAAAAAUUUUAAAAAACACUACAAAUAGAAAUAAAAAGGAAAAUAAAGAUAAACUAAAUUUGUAAUCGACUUGAAAAAUGAGGGACUAAAAUAGCAAAUAAGAGCAAAAAUCUGAAUAUUCAAAGUCAAUCGUAGAAAACGACACCGUUUAAACAUGGAUCCAAAUGUAAUUAGAAUCAAAUAUGCGAUAUAAAUUAAAAAAAUGAAGAAAAUCAAAUUGAAACUAUAGAAAACAAAGGGGGACUUGUUACGCAAAUAGACCAAUAAACCAAAAUGAGCGGAUCCUGCCCUCGGGUCAGGUCACCGCAUGGGUCUGAGCUUCUAAACGGCAUCAUUUUUAAAGCAACUGAAGAAUGUUUAAAACGGGGUUGUUUUCUUCACAAUAUAUAACCUAGAAUAAAAUCUAAACUAACAGCCUCCCAUCAUUUUCUAAAAAACUUUAAAGAACCCUAAUGAUCUCUCUAUGCCCCGCUCCAUGCCUAAGCCAACCAAAGGCACUUUGAUUUCCAUCCAACUCCGAUUGCGACGGAGUAGAAGGAAAGUCGGCCACCAGGUAAGCUUUUAGUCCUUUUAUUUAUCUUUUCUUUCAUUUUAGCACACAAAUCAUCAAAUAGAAAAAAAGAAACCAAAGAAAGAAAAGAAAAAAUAAAUCUGCAAUUACCUUUCAAACAUUUUCUUUUGAUUUCUCUGAAUAUUUUUUGGUUUUUGUAUUCAAUAUGCGUAACCGUUUACAGAUUUGGUUGGCUCUUUUUAUAGUCGAGACAGAGUCAAAAGAAAAAGAAAAAAAGCUUGAACCUUUUUACAUUUUUCUCUAUUUUUUCUAUUAUUUACUGUCACUGUUUUGUUGCUCUGUUGUUGUUGUCUGUUUCUAUUGCAGGAGUGGCCGUACGAUGACGUGGCACAACGCGUGGCGAAUGCACAGAGGGUGGUGCUAGAAGCUGUUAGGCGCGCGACGGCUUAGGCAGAUAGAGCUUUAGGGUUUCUCUCAGGACUUAUUUAGGGUUAUUGGGUUUGUAAUCAGGCCUAGUAUUUGGGCUAGACAUUUAGGGUUUUAGUGAUUAGGCUUCAAUUUGAAUUUGGCCCAUUGUAAUUGACUUUAUUGACAUUGGACUUUUAAUAAUUUUUAUUUAUUUGGUUUUUUAUUGGUCCAGGCAAAAUGGGUAUUACAGCUGCCCCUCUUUGCUCGUUGUCGUGUAACGGGAACGGAGCAAAGACUUUAAAAUGGCCAAUUUUGCCUGGUCGUGCUGGACCUUGGUGCUCCUCUUCUUCAAGUAGCCUCAUUCAUUCUACUGCAUCUUUAGGGGUAUAGGAAUUGGUGCUUCGAUCGACUCCACUGUAACAUCAGGGAGAUAGGAUUUGUAACUCUUCGAAGGAACAUUUGCUAUCAUCAGUCAGCUUCACUACAACUUCGAGGAGACAAGACUUGUAGCUUCAACUUGUUCCACUGAGGUUUGAUGCGAUCUGCUCUACUGUAACUCAUAGAGAUGAGAUCUAUGAUUUUAAUCCGCUCCACUGCAACUUCAGGGAGAUAGGAUCUGUGGUUUUAACCUACUCCACUGCUGCCCAGGGAGAUAGGACUGGCGGCUUAAAUCUGCUUCCCUACUACCUUGGGAAGAUAAGAUUCACUGUUUUUUAUCUGCUCCACUACUGCUUAAGGAGACAGGAUCUACAAUUUUCAACCUAUUCCACUGUUGCCUAGGGAGAUAGGACUUACAAUCUUCAACCUAUUCCACUGCUGUGCAGGGAGAUAAGACUUACAAUCUUCAACCCAUUCCACUGCUGUCUAGGGAGAUAUGACUUACAAUCUUCAACCUAUUCCACUGCUGUCCACUGCUGUCCACUGCUGUCCAGGUCUCUGUUACCUUUGGCAUCCACUCAACAAGUUUAUUAUACUCACACUAGCGAUCUUGAAGAUCAAUCUCGUGUUUCAGAAUACUAGUUGUGACAUCGAUGUCUCGACCAUCCAACUAAACAUGUCUAGAGCGUGGUCUAAUCCUCUUGUAAUAAAAUUAUUCAUGAGAAUCAAGAAUGUUCUUUUUUGUGCUGCCUACCAUGUUGGCAAAAUUCACAAAUUAUUUUUUCUUCAUCAAACAUUGUGUAUCAGAAACUCAGUUUACAGAAACGAGGUUUCGAGGCCACUUUUUUUGACACUACUAAAAAUCGGGUCGUUAAAGAAAAUACAAAGGAAGAAAAAACAUGUUUAGACAAGCCAAGAGCCUUUGGCUUUGCUCCAACAAUAGGAGACAUAAGAGUUGUGUUAUCAAAUAGAUGAAUGCUAAUCAUUGCGAUCAAACCGGUGAUUUUGAUGAUGUUAAUGGUUAUUUUGGUGGAGAGGUAGGAAAUUAAUCAUCAUAUAUAAUAUAAUUAUGCAAUUCAAGCCUAUAUUGUAUGUUCAUACAUAAAAUUUUCAUGGGAGGUCCAAAGGCAAUUAAAUGACUUGUAUGCUUGCUAAAAUUUUUUGAAAGGACCAAAGGCAAUUGAACAUUCAUAAAAUAGUCUCCAAAUACUAUAAAGACAAAUAAAAUCCACAUGAGCAUUAGAGUUGAUUAAGCUGCGCAUUAGCAGAACUUCCAUCAUAGGAAAUAUUACUUGGCACUUGGUAGUAUAUAUGUAGACUUUGACUUUGCAUUCAAUAAUGGCAAAACCACCUCUUGAUUUAGAAAAACAACAUAAUCCAUGAAACAUUGAUAGCCCAAUACAAAUUUCAUGUAGAAAAAAGUCUUUGUUUUGUAGCGCAUAAUAGUAAAGCAUGCGAAGUUUUAUUCUUCUUAUUGGCCUCCUUUAGUUUUCCUUGAUCAACAACCACUAGCCAAAAACACAAUUAGAUUAGAUUAUAAAUGAUACAUUCAAUUAUGAUAAUAUUAAAUAGAACACACCCUAAAUAAAUCUAAAUAAAUGGAGAGUAGCAAAUUACCUGACAAGGCAAGGUAGCUUAGUUAAGACCAAUGUGUUAGACUUGUCCCUGCAUUGAACAAUCUAGAAGAAAAUGAAGAGAAACACUGAGACAACUCUUGAAAACAGAUUAAACUUAUAUGUCAUUGCUUGGAUAAACUAUGAUUACCCAUAACAGACCUUGUAUUUGACUUUUUGUUAAGGGAGAUCAACUCUUCAGGAGAAGUCUUCUGAGUGUUAUCUGCCAGGUAGUCAACAUUGCCCUCAACAACAAAAGGUAUUGUCCCCAUGUCGAGAUUUUAUUCCUAGCCUCUACAGAAAAAUCAUGAAGAAUACGUGCGAAAGGAUUCAAACCACCAACUAACGUAUAUGUAACAUUUACCUCGCAAUCAUCUCCGUAAACCCAUAGAGAUCUUUGCAGAAUCAAGAGACAAAACCCCAACUCAAGAAUAAUACCAUUUGUUGAAGAGUCUGUCAAAAUAACAAAUGAAAUUUAAAUACAUAGUUUUUCAGUGAAAGAAAAUAACAUAUUUAAUUAGAGAAAAACAACAAAAGAUCCAACAAUAAAGUCCGUAGUAAAAGAUUAAAACAAAAUUAUACCGUAAUGAAAUAAGAAACUAAGAAAACCAAAUCUAACAAAGAAAAUAACUUGAUGUCCCAAAGCUACCAUAAACCGUAAUUCAUGGGAAGGCCUGCUACUCAUUUUGAUUUUGCAAAAGAAGUUUGAAUUCCGAAGAGAGCAAAUGAUUGAGCAAAAGAAAGAAAUUAGUUUAUUAAUUUUCACAAUUUAUAAGACAAUCUUCAAGGAGACCGAUACCGACAUAUUUGAUAUCUAUAAUUAAACUGCUAGAAUAGAUUAAAAAUGUUAAUAAAAUUAAGUGUGAAUUAAUAACCACAAGUGUACUCAUUACUUACCAUCUUUGUUAAACAUGUUUGAUGUUGUUUAGCAACCUUUGUUUGAUUUUCUUUAGCUCAGCCACAACAUCUUUCAUAUCUUUUCUUUCUUCUGGUAAUUCAGUUGAACAAUUCAAAGCCAACUCCAUGAUGGAUGAAAUGCAAUUUGCUUUAACAAUAAAGUACUCAUCCUCUCUUUUUAAUAAAUCAACAUCUGCAAUUUCUAUCGCUCCUUUAGGCAAUGAACUUUCCAUCCAAUGCCUUAUAGUCCUUUCUUCAGCAAAAAAAUUAUCAGUUGGCUUCUUCUUUGUGAAAGUUUCUAUGAGGACAAUCCCAUAACUAUAGACGUCACAUUUUACAGAAACAAUUCCUGCAGAUCCAAAUUCUGCAUUUCAAGUAUAAUUAGAGCAUCGUUAAUCCUUAAUUAUUUCUAAAAUGAUUAUUCAAAUAUAUAUCCACCUACACACGAAACAAAAAUAUAAAAUGCAAAUUAGAAAAAUAAUAAUACAAAAAUAAAAAAUUCACCUGGUGCCAUAUACCCAAUAGUUGCAAGAGUCAUGGUAUGCUUCAUUAAGUCACCUUCUCCCAACAAUUUGGCAAUGCCAAAAUCUCCCACAUGUGCAACCAUGUCUUCAUCUAGUAAAAUAUUGUUUGGUUUUAAGUCACAAUGAAUUAUAGGUGUUGGAUGUCCAUUGUGGAGAUGUUCUAUAGCUGAUGCAACAUCAAUCAUUAUGUCAACCCUUUGUAUGAUAUCGAGGAAAUGGUUUUUAGAAUGUAACAAUUUCUCAAGAUUUCCGUUAGACAUGUAACCAAGCACCAAGGCUUUGAAGUCAACACUUGAGCAGCAGGUAAUGACCUUCACAAUAUUACGAUGAACUAUAUUACUCAUAGCAUCACAUUCAAUGUCAAAACUCCUAAAUGCUCCCUCUGUUUGCAAAUUGAAAACUUUUAUUGCAACUUCCAUUCCAUCUGAAAGCCUCCCUUUAUAUACAUAUCCAAAACUCCCUGAACCAAGCAUAUUGCUUUCCUCAAAUCCAUUAGUUGCUCGUGAAAGUUCAGCAUGUGAAAUUCUUCUCGGUGUUUUCAAAGACAACAAAUCAUCUUUAAUUGGUAGAGUUGUACUCCUUCUUUGGCAUCUUCUAUACAUAAUAGUUAACACUAUUAGUAGUACGACAACACCAAUUGUUGGUAAACCAUACCUUAAAGCAUGCAAUAUAAUCUUUUCGGAGUUUUCGUGAAUGUCGUUUUUGCAAGGUGGGACUAGCAAUCUAGGUGGACCACAAAGUGCAUAAUUCUUCAUGAAUGAUGUGCUAGAAAAGUUUGAAAAACUUCCUUCAGUAGGAAUUUCCCCUUCAAGUCUGUUGAAAGACACAUUAAAAUACUUUAGAUGUAAAAGCUUUUCCAACGAUUUAGAAAUGACUCCAGAGAGAUUGUUCUUACAUAAAUCCAGGGAUUCCAAAUUAAUCAAACCACCAAAUGAUUCAGGGAUAUGACCAUGUAGUUUAUUAUUUGAUAAAUCUAAUGUAACCAAAGUUUGAAGACUCCCAAAUGUGGAUAAAAUAUCGCCCAUGAGAAGAUUCCUUGAUAAAUUUAGUUUCCCUAGACUCCUCAAAUUUCCAACAUCAAUAGCAUGAGAAUUGUGAAGAUGGUUUGAUGAUAAAUCUAUUUCUAAGAUAUCUUUAAGAUUCCACAAAGUUGAGGGUAUUGCCGAACUCAAUUUGUUGGAAUUUAAGUAAAGAUAUCCCAAAGAAUAAAUAUUACCCAGACAAGAGGGUAUAGAUCCGUACAGCUUAUUCAACCCUAAAAACAAUUUGUAUAGACUCUCCAAAUCACAAAGGCUCUCUGAGAUAGGCCCUUCUAAUUUAUUAGAGGAAAGAUCUAGACCUUGGAGUUUUUGCAGUCCUCUUAUUGAUGUUGGAAUAAAUCCACUUAACUUAUUAUAGUCAAGUUCUAAACGCAACAUGUUGCUUAAGUUACCUAUUUCCGUAGGAAUAUUGCCCAUAAUCUCACAAUUAGAGGCCACAAAGUCUCGAAGGGAGUUUGAAAGGUUCCCGAUAUAAGUAGGAAGAACACCACUCAAUGGAUUUCCUGAAACAAUUAUUCUUUUCAGAUGCUUGCAAUUCGCCAAAGAAUAAAGAAAGGUCCAGUCAUGAUCAAUAGCAGAUCCUGCAAUCAAUUUAUUGUUUUGGAUAUGAAGGCAUUCAAGGUAUCUUAAGUUGCCAAGCGUUUUAGGGAUUGGGCCAGAAAAUAAGUUAUUUCCCAAGUCUAGUUCCUUAAGCAUGGAAACAUUGGAGAUAGAGUUGGGAAUGUUUCCGCUAAGAUUAUUUCCCCACAAUAAAAGAUUCUCAAGCUUUGGAGCAUUGGUAAUGGGUGGUAAAUUACCUGUAAAAUAGCAUCUUUUAGUAUACAUAUUCACAAAAUAUAUAAUACAUUAAAAAUGAACUCCUAAGUAUUGUUAGCCCAAGCCUUGUGUUGAAAUCAUCUUUACUUUCUAGAUUUAAAAUUGAUUGAAUAUCAAAUUUAAAAAUAUAUAAUACAUUAAUAAUUUUUUUAAAUAUUGUAAAUCUUUAAAUCAAAGAAAAAUAAAAGUUUAAGAUGAGAAUGUGGCAUCUAAUCAAUAUUCCUUUAUUUUCCUUAUAUACAACUUUUCUCUAAUUUUUAAUUAAUAUGUAUUGAAAAUAAAAAAUAAUUUUAUAUUGUGCAGGUCAUUAAAAAAUUAAAAAAUCAGAUUUUUUUAAUAAAAAUGUAGGAAAUGUUUUAAAAAAUUUAAAAAUAAGAAAAAAACAUAAAUUGUAAAAUAAUUAUAAAGAAUACUAAAAAAUGUAAACAAAAAAAAUUCUCAGCUUUAUAAUAAUGCAGUUUUUAGAAAAUAAAAUGCAAAAAGAAAACCCGAAAAAAUAGGGAAAAUCAGAAAAACUUAAAAAGAAUCAACAAACCGCGAAGAAGGUGAGUUGUGGACUGAUAAGAUCAAUUAGAAAAAGGUUUCGGGCUUUCGGCUUAAUUAAAUAAAGUAAAUUAAAAUGCCAAAAAGAAGAGAAAGGAAAACACUAUUCAUUGUUUAAAGUCCAUGUUGGUAUAAUUAAUAUCUACGUUUCGUGUUGGAUUAAUUAAUUAUUUUUAAUUAAAUUAUAUUGUAAAAUUUAAAAGCUGGAAUUUACUUAAAAUUUUUGAACUCUUCAUGUAUUAGAAAUUUAAUUUCUAUACUUCUAUCUUUUAGAAUUUAGUCUCUUUACUCUUUGAAUUUAAAAAAUUAGGUUCAUUUGUUAAUAAUGUUAAAUAGUUUUUGUAUUGGUAUGACAUUUUGAAAAGCUAAAAUGAAAAUAGAAAAAACAAUAUAAAAUAUUUACAAAAUUAUUAAAAUUUGUAAAAAUAGAAAAAAUCUAAAAUUAUAAAAAUUAAAAGAAUAUACUAAAAAAUAAAAAAAUAUAUUAGAUAUUUUAACAUUUUUGAAAUUUUUUAAAUGGCUGAGAGUUUGAACUUGUGAUCAUUGUGUCUUGGAAGGAUACCACCUAUAACAAUUGUUUUUAAAUUCAAUUACUCAAAAUUAAUAAUCGGUACAUCUUAUUAGGUGAUAAAUUUGGAUAAGUCUUUUAUUUUCAAUUUAUUUAAAUAAUAAAUAAAUAAUAUUUUAAAUUAUUCCAAAUAUUUUUUACUAGUUGAAGAUAGAUUGUUUCUCUCUAAACCAAUAUCUUAAGAACCAUUAUUGAAUGCUUGACUAAUCUAAAGAAUUUUGGUACAAAACAGAAAAAGCAUGUACACGAUGAUGGAUGAAGAAAGCUUGCUCUGGAUAUUAAAUAGGGAGUCAAAUCAAAUAAACAUGUUACUAGUAACACUAGUAAAACGCUAAAACUUGAUGUAUUUUAAAAUAUUAAAAUGUUGAUAUAAGAAUUUAUUAAAAUUUUUUUUAUAAAAAUUGGUUGUAUUAUAAUAAAAAAUUAUAAUAUCAAAUUUUUUAAUAUUUUAAAUGUGAUUAACGAAUGUAUACUUUAUUUCAAGAUACAUAAUUUUUACUAGUUUUUAAUUUUUUUAUUUUUUUAUAAUAUUUAACAAUUUCUAAUAAUUUUAUUAUUUUUUACAAUUUUUUUAGAAAAAUUAAAAAAUUUGUAAAUUUUAAAAAAUUAUAGAUUUAUAAUUUAGUUACUUUUUUAUAAUUUUAUUUGAAUUUAUAUAUAUUUAAAAUUUUUAUUUUUUAUUUCUAAAUGAUGAUGCCACCGUGACGUCGGGACGUGUAUCACAUGGCAAUUUAUGAUUGGUUGGAUAUCCCAACUGAAUUUUUUAAGGACCAUAGGAUUGUGUCGGAAACACCUGGUAAUGUUGGGGACUACAUUAGAAACGUUUGAUAACGUUAGGGACUAAAGUGAGUCAAAAGACUUUAAGGAUCAAAGUGAGAAAAGCAGUAUACUUUAGAGACUAAAGUGUGCAUUAAGCCUUUAAAAAUAUAUCUAUAAUAUGUAUAAAUGUAUGAGUUUUGAGAAGCUUUUGAUAUGAUAAUUAUAUAGUCUUUGUUAUUUAUUAUAUUACUGAUAUUUUUAACAUUUUUUUAUUUAUCAAAUUUAUAAAUAAGAAUUUUGGUUUUACUAAAAUAUUUGAUUAAAUAAAUUCAUGAAAAAUUUAGCAUCUUUAUAAAUAAAAAUUUCCAUUCUAUUAAAAAAUUAUUAAAAUAAUUUAUAUAAUAAAAAUUUAAAAUUCAUAUUGAAUUACUUUAUACUUAAAUUAUUACUAGAAACUCUAUCAUAAGUAUAUGCGUGUAGGAACAACGUGUUUAGAAAACAUAUUUGUGUUUUAAAAUAAUAUACAAUAAGUAAUCAAAUCACUGAUUAAUACUAAUAAUAAAUGACAUAUGUAAGAUAUUAAAAUAAAAAAAAUAGAUUAAAUUGCAAGUAAAAUAAAAUUUAAACAUAUGAAUACGUCAUAUUAAUAAUACUAAUUGAAUACAAUUAUUUAUUAUGGUGUUGUUGUCAAUACUAAGUUGGUGUCUAGUUAAUUUGUGACAGAACUUUAAUCAACAACAUUAUUAAUAUAUAUAAUUCAUGGAGGUAAUAAAAUGUAUAAAAAUUUAAAAUAAAAUUUUGGUUUUACGUAUUGAUGUGGGUUCAAACCCCACCAUAAACAUUUUUAUUUUGUUCUUUAAAUAAAAAGACUUAAGUACCCUCAAACAAUAUAACUUAUUUUAAAUAAAAAAUGAUAUUUUUUCAAUUUCUCUAACCCAAUUGAUACUUGAUUGACUUAUGACACCAACUCAAUCAGAAGCUUAAAUAAUAGUAUAGAUGUUCAUUACUUUAAUUUUAAAGAGCAAAUUUUAAUUAUUUAUAUAACAAAUAACUUUAUAAUUCAUAUAUAAAUUUUAUAAGUAAUAUAUUUAUAUAGUUUAAUCUAAUCUAUUAUAUUUAUAUUAAGUAUAUAUCAUCUACAAAUUUUUAAGAUCAAUUUAUUGCCUAUCAAGAAAAGAAAAAAAAUGAAAUUACAAAUAUAUCGAUUUUUAUAUUUUGUCCGGAUGGUUUAAUGAUGAUAAAAAAAAUUAUUAGCACUGGUUUUGAAUUAACAAAAAUAAAUUAUAUUUUUUAACUAUAUUUACCAGUUAUUAUUUUGAAUAAUAUUACUAUUUUUAAUUACAUAAACUAAAAUUAUAUUAGAUAUUAAAUAUGGUGCAUAUGCUUUAAUUAUGGCUUGAAAUUUUAUUAUUAUAUUUGAAAUAUUAAAUAAAUUAAUAUUUUUUAAUUAUGUUCAACCAUUUGAAUAAGAAAUUAAAAAUAAUAAUUAGAAUAAUUUAAAAUUAAUUAAAAAUUAAAUGGUUAAAAUCAAGUGUCAAUCUAUAUAAAUGGGAAUUAAAAAUUUUAAGAUAAAUCAAUUCAUAUAAAACUUAUUGUUUAUUAUGAAAUUAAAAUGAUAAAGUAUAUGACGAAAAAGGCAGAAACAAAUUAAACAGAAUGCAUUUUGGACUUUGGAAAAAGAUAAAGUGAAACACAUACCUUCUAAACUGUUGUCAUUUAGAUAUAUUCCUUGGAGCAUAGUUGAAUUAAAAAUACUUUUUGGAAUCAGCCCACUGAAUUGAUUUGCUGCUAAAUUCAGACUCUGAAGCUUGUAACAUUCACCCAUACUUGAUGGAAUAUCACCAGAUAAUUCAUUAUGUUCCAAGAAAAGCCAUUCAAGCAUGGGACAAUGGUGACACAAAGCAUUAGGUAAACUACUUGAUAGACUAUUGUUGGAGAGAAAAAUAGUCUUCAGAGAAGAAAUGUUGAAGAUAGCAGUCGGAAUCUGACCUGCAGACAUAAUCGAAAAAUCAAGGUGUUAAAACUGCCUAUUUUGUUAGCAUAAAUUAAAGAGGUUUUCUUUUUCUGUUCUACAGUAAUUUGGAGAUGUUAGAUUUUAAUAUAAUUAAGCAUAUUUUUUUAUCAAAUUAACUAUUUUGCUUUGAAUGAAAUAAAAAAUCUCACUUCUGUAAUCCAUUACAAAUCUAACUCUUUUAUAUAUAAAAAAAUACUUUAAACUAAAGAAACCAAAGAAAUUCAGUACCUUCUAGAUUAUUCAUCCUCAAAUAUAAUUCUUCGAGUCGUGUCAGAUUUCCAAUACCUCUUGGAAUGAUUCCCGUAAAUUGAUUAUAGGACAAUGCCAAAAUUUGAAGGUUGUUGCAUUUGCCAAUACUUGAUGGAACGUUUCCAGAUAAUUCAUUCCGACUCAAGUAAAGCACUUCAAGCUUGGGUAAAUGUUGACACAUAUCAUUAGGCAAACUACCUGAUAGGCUAUUGCUGAAGAGACUAAUAAUUUUCAUGGAAGAAAUUCUGAAGAUUGAAUAUGGAACCUGGCCAGAUAAUUGAUUGAAUUGCAAGUUCAAGAUCUCUAGAUUGGACAUGUUAACAAGUGUUUGAGGGAUUGUGCCUGUAAAGCUAUUGUUUUCCAUUUCCAGCCUUUGAACUCUUUGUAAGUUCCCAAGCCAUGCUGGAAUUUCCCCAUUAAGACCGUUGUAGCUUAACUGAAUGAUCCUCAAACGAUGCAAUUGGCCCAAUUCUUUAGGCAGAUGGCCAGAUAAAUUGUUGCUACUCAAGUCGAGAGAAAGUAGAAAUGAAAGAUUUCCAAGGUGUGGAGGGAUAGUACCCCUAAGAUUCAUGCUUGUAAGAUUCAAAGCUAUAACUCUUUUAUGGAGGAUACCACAAGAAACACCAAUCCAAUUGCAAACAGAGGUAGAGGCCGUCCAAUUGUUUGCCAAGACAUUUUGAGGAUCGGCAAUGCGAUCCUUAAACUCGAGAAGCACAAACUGAUCGGAGUUGAGAUUCCUGGUUGUCAUAGCCAAGCAAACUACGGAACAUGGUAUGAAUAAACCUAAAAGAAGAUGGAAGCAAGUGUUGUAAUUCAUUAUUGCAAGACGAAAUGAGCCAAGAAAAUAAAAAAGUAGGGAAAGGGAACUUGAAUUGAUAAAAAGAAAAGUUGGAUGAUGAAGAAAAGCACUAAGAGCAUGCUUUAAUAUGCUUUAAUAUGAUGGAGACAACUACAAGCACUAAUAACAUAUUUUCACCUAAUAAAUUAUAAAAAAAUUAAAAAAAUAAGGUUAAAAUUUUAACAUAUCUGUUAGAUAAAAUUUAAGAUUUAAUUAUUAAACUUGACAACUUAAAUAUUAAAUCUUAUUGUUUGAAUUUUAAAAUUUUAGUCCUAUCAUAAAUAUUGUGAGCCUUUUUUUUUUAAUCAAAUUUUGUCAAGUUGACUUAUUAAUUAGGUUUCCCUCAUAUGAUGUGGUAUAUGAUUGAUAAAAAAUAAACAUGUUAAGUUGAUAUAUUUUGACAAAAAACUACCAAUGAUGAUAAUGAUUGGAUUAAAAUUUUUAAAUUAAAAAUUGUAGGGAUUAAAUUUAUAACUUUUAAAGUAUAAAGACUGAAUCUCAAAUUUUAUAGAAAUACAGGGGCUAACAACAUAUUUUAGCCACCAAAUAAUAUCUACAAUUUUCACUUAAAACUACAUUGGACUUAAUUGGCUAAGGGUUAACAUAUCAAUUGAUUUAUGAGUUUCACACUUUUUUUUAUAAUGUUGUACUUUUGGUUUUUGUGCAAUGUGAUAUACAUAUUUGGUAAAAAGUUAUAUAUUUUAAUACUUAAAAGGAAUUUUAGAGUUGAUUUAAUGAACAUUAAUUGUUAAUAUUAUUUUGAUAUUUAUAUGUAUUUUCAUUUUUAUAAAUACUAUUAAAAAUAUUUUUUUAAAUGAAUGCUAUUUAAAAACAUUAUUAAAAAAUAAAAUAUUAUAUGAAAGUUAAAAUGAUCUAAAAAAAUAUUUUAAAAUUUUAAAUACUUUAUACAAUAUUUAAAACUGUUUAAAAAUUUCUAAACCCUAAAAAUAAAUAAAAUAUAAUUUUGUCUAAAAAUUCAAAAAGAUAUAUAUUUAAAAUUUUAUAUGAAAUUUAAAUGAUUUUAACAGUAAUAUAUUUUAAAAAUGAUAGUAAUGUUAUAAACUUGAAAAAAUUUGUAAUUUAAUUACAUACAUUUUUAUAUAUUUUUUCUAACAUAUCAUUAUUUGCAUCUUGUUACAUUAAAGAAUUGAAGAUAUAUUUGAGUAGUUAGCCUUUUUUAUAAAAAAGAACUAUACUUAGAGCAAUGCUUAUUAUUGAACUGUAUUAUAUCACUUGUUCAAGUAUUUAUUUAUAAAAUAAAAUAAUUAUAGCCUCUUAUAUUAAAUUCAUGUAUCUAUUUUGCAUCUUUUAUUAUAAUAUGAUUUAAUAAUUUUAAUAUUUUUAUAGAAUAAUAUGCUUUAAAAUUUUUUUAUCAUUUAUAAAAAUUAUAAUAAACUUACAAAAUUAUUUAAUGAUAUUUAAUUAUCAACGGAAAAAAAUUAUAUCAUAUAUGUAAUAGGUCAAUUUAGCUCGGGCUCACAAAAAAAAUAAUAAACCCAAAAUAAUAAAACAAAGUCCAAGUCCAAUCCAAAAUUAUAUCAUUUGGCCCAAUCGGGAUGGCCCAUUACUUGAAAAGGUUGAAAGUCUAUCUACAAGCUUGACGCAUAUGGAAACAUAAUCUUCAAGGAUAUGCAAUCUUAGAUAUGAUAUGCAAUCUUAGAAGAUAUGAUUUUGUAAUCUUAGAGAUUUAAUUUGUAGAUACCCUUUAAUCUUAGCCGUUGAUGCAAUUGAUCUAUACUGUUGGAUUUGGGAAGGCUCAACUAUAAAUAGAGGCCUCUCCCUUCAUUGUAAAACACUUCAUUGUAAAACACUUGAGUUUGGAGCAAUAAUAAUUCUUAAGAGCAUUCACUCGAAUUUCUCCCUCUUACGUUCUUAUUUUCUGCGGCUUGUUCUUAUUUUGUUCUUUGUUCAUCUUCUUUUCUUUUUAAGUUGCUUUCAUUUGAGUUGGAUUUUGGUGGAGGAAUUUCGUUGAGUCUUCAUAUUGUGAGAGUUAGGUUGACUUAAGCGCUUUUUUAACCUUUUUUUUAUUUAUCCAUUUAACUUCUUAAUCAUUAAUUAUUCUUUUACUUUUAUUCAUUUAUUUAUCCAUCAACUUUCUUAUUUACAUAUUGUUCAUUCAUUUAAUCAUUCUUAUCAUUCUUUUAUUUUCUUCCAUUAAUUAUAUACUUUAUUUGUUUUUCAUAUUGCCCUUUUUUAUCAAAGUUUUUAUACAUCGUUUUAAUAUUGCGUCAAUUUUCCCCAAUUUUAAAAAAGAAAACUUUUAAAAAUAAGACAAUAUUCGGUACUUUGGAGCUUUGAGAAAAUCGUGCCCUAACUUAUUGGGUUUUAAUUUUUUUCCAAAUAACCGAAUAUCCUUUUUAAACUUUAAUGCAUGAGACAAGCUUAGUUUUGAGGGUUAAAAUGUCGUAUCCUAACUUACUGGAUGUGACAUCUUAUUACUUCGAGACAUGGAGGUCUUAACAUCAAAUUCGAUUUAUUCAGGUUUUUAAAGAGGAUUGUAUUUUAAAAUCUUUUCAAAUUUUUGACAUUAGGACGUUAAUUAAUCAAUUAGGUACCAAUUUUUGGGCGUUACGAGGGUGCUAAUCCUUCCUCGUGCGUAAUCGACUCCCGAGCCCGUUUUCUCGAAUUUUGUAGACCAAAAUUAUUAUUUUAAUAAAUCAAAAUUGUAAGCACUAAAUUUUUUCCGGGUUUUGUAGUGUUUAAUUUUUUUAAUAAUUCAAAAAAUACAAAAAAUAAAAAAUUACAUUUUGACCCCUAAACUUUUUGAAAUUGCAUUUUGGUCCCUAAAUUUUCCUAAAAUUAUAUUUUGACCUCUAAUUUUUUUUAAAAUUACAUUUUGACCCAUCAACUUUUUAAAUUACAUUUUGACCCCUAAAUUUUCUCAAAUUACAUUUUAGCCCCAAAAGUUUUGUUACAAUUGCAUUUUGGUCCUUCUGGCAGCAACUUGCACACCAACCCCUGUGAUUUCCGGCCACCGGCCUAAGGCAUGGCCUCCUUCUCCCCUAGGCACCUAAUCCCUACAAGAAAGAAGAGAAAAAUAACUAUAAAAUGGGUUUAAAACCCCAAAAUCGAACCCCCAUAAAAGAUUUCAGAAAAAAAAAAGAGAAAAGAGAGAAAGCUUUGCUAAAAAGAGAGAAAGAAAGGAGAAAGGAGAAGAAGGAGGAGACGACAGCGGCACCUUGGCGACGGCAGCGCAAGUGAUGGUGGAGGCUAGAUUAUGAAGAAGAAGAAGAAGAAGAAGAAGAAGAAAGAAAAAAAAGAAAAGAAAAAUAAUAAAAAAUAUUUUUUUGAAUAAACGGGCCGACUCGACCCGAUUUGUCUGACCCGCUAACCCGACCCGACAGCAAGCCACCAGCAGCCCCAGGCCCAAAAAAAAGAGAAAAAAAAGGUGUAGCAUGCCAAUAGCAGACCCAUUUGCGCACCAGCCCAGGCCCAGCGCAGCCCAGCAGGCCAGCCCAACAGAAAGAAAAAAAGGGGAAGAAAAAAAAAAGAGAAAGAAAAAAGAGAAAAAAAGGAAAAAAAAGGGAAAAAAGGAAAAAAGAAAACAAAGCAAAAAAAGAAGAAGGAAAAAGCCCAAGUCGUGUAAACUCGUUCAAUCAAGCUCGUAUUUUCGGGCUCUUCAGUAAUUUCUUUUUUAUGCACUUUUAAAUAAAUUUAUAUAUUUAUAUGACAUUUCAUAUUUAAUACUCUUGUUUUUUUAAGCAUUUUUUUAUAUUUCGUAUUAGGUUUUUUUAAGCAUUUUUUAUAUUUCGUAUUUAAUUUAAUUUCAUUAAUUUUAAUUUUCAUAAAUAAGGUGACGAACCGAUUUAACAUUAAGCCUUAUAUUUUCAUCGCUAUGUUGGGUGAAUAUAUUUGGCUCGUGUUUAAUUCUGGAUGCCUUUUAAAAAUUGAAAAAGUUAAAAAUUCUCGUGUUUUGAAAUAAAAUAUGUAUUUUUGUAAUUAUCGAUAAAUUAUCAAAAAUUUGUCUUUAAAAAUGUAUAUAGUACGAUAACAUGUAAUUUAUCAAAAUUUUCAUGUUUUAAAUUUUUUUUCGUGUUUUCAUAUUUUCAAAAAAUUUUCGUGUUUCAAAAAUUUUUGUAUUUUUAAUAAAUUCUUGUGUUUUAAAACUUUUUCGUGUUUUCUUAUUUUCAAAAAUGUUCGUAUUUUCAACAAAUUCUCGUGUUUUAAACAAUUUUCGUGUUAUCUUAUUUUCAAAAAUUUUCGUGUUUCAAAAUUUUUCAUGUUUUCGUAUUUUCAACAAAUUCUCUUGUUUUAAAAAAAUUUUCGUGUUUUCAACAAUUUUCGUGUUUCAAAAAUUUUCAUGUUUUCUAAAAUUAUCGUGUUUCUAAAAUUCUUGUGUUUCAAAAAAAAUUUUCGUGUUUUCAAAAAAAUAUUAUUGUGUUUCAAAAUUCUCACGUUUUCAAAACAAAAAAAUUCUCGUAUUUCAAUCGGAUCAUGAUUAAAUAUUAAAUUGAGCUCGUUUUUUUUAAAAUUAAGACAACGUGUGCUGAACGAGAUACCAAUUUUGGGCGUCGCGAGGGUGCUAAUACCUUCCUCGCGCGUAACCGACUCCCGAACUCUAAUUUUCUCUGGAUUUUGACGUGGACCUAAAAUCGACUAUUUUUUAGAAAAUUUGAAAAAUAAUUUUUCUUUUAAAAAGAGAAUUGAUUAGGCGUCCGAUCACACCUAGAAAAAAGAUCGGUGGCGACUCCUUUUUUCCAAUAAAAUCAAAAUUCUGUUUUUAAAUUUGCAAUAAUCACUUCAAUUAGCACCCGUACUGAAAUUUUUAGGUCGCUACAAAUAUGUUUUAUUAAAAUGAUUAAUCUCAAGGUGACCCAAUCACACCUAGAAAAAAGAUUGGUGGCGACUCCAUUUUCGUUUUAAAAGUCGACCACAUUUUUCAAAAUAAAAAAAUGGUUUCGACAGCUUGGCGACUCCGCUGGGGAUUGGUUUUGAGAGUCAAGCCAUAAAUUGAUUAAUUUUUGUCUUUUUAUUGAAAAAUCAAAUUUUGUUUUAAAUUCAUGAUUUCUCCUUUUGCAUUUUAUCUGUUAUUUUCAUGGUUUUAACCAUAUUGUCAUCUAAAUCUGUCAAUGUGUAUUUGCAUUUUGCAUUGCAUUGGUUGGUCAAUUUUACCCCUCUAAGUGUGAGUGAGAAACUAGUCCUUCUUGAGGUUUUCACCUCCGUGCAGGAUAGUGGAUCGCUUUCGGAAUACAUCUGUACCUAUGUCUUCAUGAGAUUUUCAUCUCCGUGCUGCCAUAGGGAAAUGUAUCCCCCUGAACUGAACUCAGUCUAUAUGAGCCUAUAAUGGGUGAGGAUCAAGGAAUCUGUUGGUUCGGGUACCUUUGCCUUAGAAGCCAAACCUCAUAUAGUGAACUCUAGGAACUCACCUUAGGUAGAAUUACAUUGACCCUUAGUAGCUACCUGAGUAGGUACUUGAUUGUUUUCUGUUUUUUUAUACCUGAUACUGACUUGUUGUGUUUUGUUUUGAUUGCAUGACAUUUUGACUGCACAACAUUUUGACUGCAUGACAUGCUCAUCAUAUGCAUAAAAAAGGUGUCGAUUCACAUUCGAUUACUAAAUAGGGAGCUUGCCAUGAAAAAUGAAUUUCUUGAUAAAAUAGAGGAUAAUAAGACUCCCCUAAUAUGUUUUGAGAAAGCACAACAUGAGAAAGAUGAUAGUCUAACGAAAGAGCAUACGACUUUGGUUUGUUGCGUGAGGAUUCAAGUUGGUAAAAGUCGUUAAUGUCCCGACCCUUUUCUUAUAAGAAGCUAACAAGUAUUACAAUGAUGAGUGAGCAAUUAGUCGUGGCCCAGUUCGAGCAAAAAGAGCCAGUGAAGCAUCCGUUGGAAAAUUCGUAAGAUUUAUUUUAACAUUCGGAUGAAGAAAAAGGAUCAAUGUCCUCGCUUGGAGUAUGAGGGCAAAGCCGUAUAUAUAUAUAUAUAUCUGUUUUAUGUAAAGAAAAUUUUUUUCUAGUAAAGUUUUCUAAAUGGAAUUGAAUCAGAAUUGAUGCCUUUUUGUAUUCAUUUCAUGCAUUUGCAUUACAUGCAUUAAAGUCCACUAAAAGAGCCUAACUGAUCAAAAUUAUCUCAGUUAACCUGGAAACCAACCAACCAACCAAACACUGUUACAGUACUUGAGCAAGAACUAAAGACAUGGACCAGAGAUUGGACAAACUUGAAUAGUUCCCAAAGGAAAUGCAAGACCGACUUCAGCUACAAGUGCAAGAGCGGUUAGAUAAAAUUCAGCAAGAUAUGAUGAAAAAGAUGCUAGAGUCCUAAAGAAACAUGAUGACUCAAUUGACUCAACUGUUAGCUGGGGAAACGAUAAGGGAAAGGGCCCUAUGGCUAAUGCUGAAGAAGGAGACGAUGAUGAAUCUCUCUAUCAUUCAGGCUUUACUCCUCCAUAUGUGCAGACCCAAGCUGAGGUGUACCCACGCAAAUCCUCUGUCACAAUCAGGCCUCAAUAGUUUCAGGCUGGCGCCUCAAUGCCAAUGAACUUCCAAGUCAGAUCAGGCUCUAACCCCAGAGAGAACGCUAAUAAUCCUGCUAUCCCUGAUCUCGAUGAAAUGGCUGAAAAAGAAAAAACAAAGGAGGAAUUACCAAAACAGUUAGAGGAAAUGUGUAAACGGCUUGAGGAAAAAUUCAGGGCAAUGAAAAGCACUGAGAACUACCAUGGGAUUAAUGCUAAAGACCUGAGCUUAGUCCUAGAUUUGGUACUCCCCUACAAGUUUAAAAUGCCAGAAUUUGAAAAGUACAAUGGGACUAAUUGCCCUGAAGUUCAUAUUACCAUGUUUUGUAGGCAGAUGGCUGGAUAUGUUAACAAUGACCAACUACUAAUACAUUGCUUCGAUGAUAGCCUUGCAGGGGCAGCAUCUAAGUGGUACAAUCAAUUGAACCGUACCAGGAUUAGUUCAUGGAGGGAUUUAGCACAAGUAUUCAUGAAGCAGUACAGUCAUGUACAAGAUAUGGGUCCUGGUAAAAUCACCCUACAAAACAUGAAAAAGAAGCCGAACGAAAGUUUUAGGCAAUAUGCACAAAGGUGGAGGGAGGUUGCCGUCCAGGUUCAGCCACCGCUCCUAGAAAAAGAAACUACGAUGCUCUUUAUUAACACACAAAAGUCUCGUUCAUCACACACAUAUUAGGAUGUGCCACAAAAAGUUUCUCAAAUAUAAUCAUGAAUGGCGAAAUGAUUGAAAAUGCCAUCAGAGGUGGAAGAAUAAACGGAGGAGAGAGUAACAAGAAGUCAGCAUCAGAGAGAAAAAGAAAAUAAGGUGAAUAACACAAGUUACUCAAGAUCAGUUACUGUAAGUCAACCAAGAAAGGUGGUUGCUAGUCAGCAAGCUCCAUCAAGGCAAGAUCUCGAGACAAAGACCAAGAAGUUUUAGUUUACACCAAUCUUAAUAUCGUAUAGGGAACUAUAUCAGAGUUUGUUUGAUGCACACGUUGUUUUUCCUUUUCACGUGAAACCUCUACAACCCCCAUACCCCAAAUAGUAUGAUACAAACGCCCAGUGCAAAUACCAUGCAGGAACCACAGGGCACUCGAUAGAAAAUUGCACUGGCUUCAAAAAGUUAGUUGAAAGAUUCAUCAAUAUGGGUAUAGUCAAGUUCGAUGACUCAUCUAAUACAAAAAAUCUGCUACCCAAUCAUAUGGAUAAUGGGGUGAAUGCGAUGUAUGAAGAAAUGUUGGGAAACAUUCACAUCAAUGCCAUAUAUGAAGACACAUUUGAAAAGGGGCCUUGUUAGAUAUUCACCCUUAUAAACUUGGGAAUGUUCUAAAUAAUUGGACUGCAGAAGAAAUUCCUGUAGUAUUUAGAGCUUACUUAGAGUAAUAUUCAAAACACACUUGUUGCUUUAAAGCCUAGAGGCAAUAAGAACCUUUUCAUGAAAUAGGCUUCUGUCUAAAAUCAUUAUUUCAAUAAAAUGCAUCUUUUUGAGCAAACAUUCAUUCAUUCUUUUCAUUUAUAUAUUCUUUUGUUCCUUGGACUCUCUUUUAAAUAUUAUUUUAUUCUUCAUUCAUACAAAUAAUUGUCUUUAGACUUAUUUAUUCUAUAGAAUCCACCUUUGUACCUACAAUAGGUCUUUAGAUAUUAACGACAUGAGCGAUAUUGCUAUUGACUUAAAAUCUCCUUUUGAGUAAGAUAUGUGUCUAGGGGGAUCUCAGGACUUUGAAUAUGACUAAGAUUGUAACCUAUCUCAUGAUUUGUUAAGGAUGAUAGAAAAAGAUGAAAAAUAGAUCCUACCUUACAAAAGUCAGUGGACAGUGAGCGUAGUAGAAGAGAAAGAGAUUAGAGCUUGUCUUACCACUGAAACAAAGCGAAACAUCACUAAAUUACUCCAAGAUUUCAAAGAUAUUUUUGUACGAUCAUAUCAAGAUAUGUCUAGCUUACUAAAAACUAUGGAUGCUGUUAAGGCUAAAAGGUCCACAAGUGUGUCAGAAGGACACAUACUAAUGGUUUUACGAUAGCCAAGUUAAUCACGGGGUUUCAGUACUGCUAGUCCACCAUGGAAGGGGAUCACAUCAGUUAUACCAUAAAUACCAAUUUGAGGAAGAUAAAACCUAUGUGUCUCUUCCAUUUCUUCACAAAUUUUCUAUAUGUGGGGUAUGGAUGUGAUGGGGCUAAUCUCAUCAAAAGUUCUUAGUCAAGAUCAAUUCAUCUUUGUGGUCUUUGAUUAUUUCGCUAAGAGGGUGAAAAUAGCUUCAUAUGGCAAUGUUACAAUGUCGAAGUCAUUAAAUUCCAAUUUUUAAAAAAAAUCUGAUGCCGAUAAAGAAUGCCAAAAAGGACAAUGUCAAAAGUUUGUAGUUUGUUCAAAGAUCAAAUGCCAUAGGCAGCCAAAAAAGAAAAAUAAAACAAGGAUUGUGGGAAAGAUGACCGAGACUUGUAAAUAUUGGCAAAAAGAAGUUACCAUCUACGCUCAUCAAAGUAGGCCAGGACCUUUGCUCGGGCAACACCUAGCCCAUUGGUUUGUGUAAUGUUGAACCCAAUCAAAGAAAAAAGGGUUAAAAGCUAUCCGUUACAGUCAGAUGAUGUGAGCUUACGGCAAAGAGAUUCAUCUUAGAGAAUUCCACGAGGGGGACCUAAUGUUGAAAAAGAUCCUUCUUAUACAAAUGGAUUUUAAAGGAAAGUGGGUUCCAAAUUGUGCAGGUCCUUGUGUUGUAAAGAAGGCCUGUUUUGGAGGACUAUUGAUAUUAACCGAGAUGGAUGCCAAAGACUUGCCCAAUUUGGUGAAUUCAGAUUCAGUCAAGAAGUAUUUUACCUGAAAAGGGGGAAGCCAAUGUGAAAACCCACAAAUGACGCCUUGAGAAAAAAAUAAAAAAUCAAAAAAAGAGAAGAAAGAAAAAGAGGAGAGGCCAAGACGAAAACCCACAAAGGGUACUUUGAGACCAAAGGGGUUUUGAGUUGAAACCCGAAAAGGGCGGCUCAAAUUUUGAUCAAAAGUGGGGCAUGAGGUAGUCUUGCUAUGCCUGAAUUAACAAUGAGGAAGUAUGCUACAUCUUAGGGCAUUGACAAAGUACUCUAGAUCCCCUAAACACAUAUUAAGCUCAAAAUGGUCCUCAAAAAGUUCGUACAGAGAAGCUCAGGCUGCAAUAUGUGCGACACCUAGUUUUCCAUCUUACCCAUUUUUGAAUUUGCUAUCUUUGAUUACCUUGUUCUUUUCAAGAUACGCCCAAAUCAAUUUCUUUUUAUUGCCUUGGCUAUCUUUGAUUAAUUUAAUUAUUUCGAGCUAUGCUCCUUAUUAAUUUCCUUCUUGUCUAUUAUUAUAAUAUUUUUUAAGCAUUUUAUAUUGAAAUAAUGAUUAAUGGACUAAUAAUACUUUCAUAAAAGGAGUUUUGCAUAUUACUUUGGAAGCUUCUAAAUAAUAUGAGAAUCUGAAAUAGGGCUAUUGUUUAGAACUCACCAAGCCUAAGGGUUGGAAAUAUUGAAAGAUGAUUAUCUCUUCAAAUUUUUUUUUUGUUGAACAAAAAGACAAGACAUUUCGUCGGUGAUACCAUCUCGACAAAUAACGAGCAAUGUCAACUCAAGUGUAAAAGGGGAUCAUUCUCGGGAAAAGAAAAAUGAUACUCUGUAUUCAUGCAAAUUUCAAGCAUAUACAUCUGGUCAUUACACCCAAGAAAUGGUGUAACAGAUCAAAUUGAUUGAAAAUGAUACAAAUUCUAUACCUCUGAGUGGCAGCAGGAUCGAUGGAAGAAACCAAAUAUUAUUCCUUUGAAGUUGUAGUGGGAGAUACAAACUUUAUGUCCCAGACGGUAUAGUGGAAGAGACUCUGAAAUUACAACAGGGCAAGCUUGCUGAGCAGAACGUGAUUGUUUCUUCGAGUUUUCUAUUGAAAAAUACCAGUCGAAUAAGAUAGUAGUGCAAUAUGUUAGUGAUAAGACUCCUAAUGAACAACGAAUGAUGACACCCUAAGUAUUAAAAAAAGGGAUCAUUCUCAUUUUGCAUUCAUAUAUCAUCCAUAGCAUAUCUAAUUAGGAGCAUUUGACUCAUUUCAAUCAUGGCAUCCUAAUCAUUCGACAUAAGCACAGACCCAUUCUAUAGGUUAUGUCCUCUAGAGGAUGAUAUAGUAAGGUAGAUUGAAGCUAUCAGUCUUGCCUCCCUGAGUUUGCAGUAGAGCAGAUUGAAAAUAACAGACCUUAUCUUCCUGUACUGGCAGUGAAGCAUGUCAAAAACAUCAGCCUUGCCUCUCUGAGGUUACAGUGGAGUAGGUUAAAGAUUGUAGAUCAUGUCUCCCUAAGCAGUAGUGGAGCAAAUCAAAGACGGCGAAUCUUAUCUUCCCAAGGUAGUAGGGAAGCAUAUUUAAGCCAUCAGUCCUAUCUCUGUGAGUAGUAGUGUAAUAGGUUGAAGAUUGUAAAUCCUGUCUCCCUAAGCAAUAGUAGAGCAGAUAAAAAAUGGAGAAUCUUAUUUUCCCAAUGUAGUAGGGAAGUAGAUUUAAGCCACCAGUCCUAUCUCCCUGAGUAGCAGUGGGGUAGGUUAAAAAUUAUAGAUCCUGUCUCCCUAAGCAGUAGUGGAGCAGAUUGAAGAUGGCGAAUCUUAUCUUCUCGAGAUAGUAGGAAGCAGAUUUAAGCCACCAGUCUUAUCUCCCUAAACAGUAGUGGAGUAGGUUGAAGAUUGUAUAUCCUGUCUCCCUAAGCAGUAGUGGAGCAGAUCAAAGACGGCGAGUCUUAUCUUUCCGAGGUAGUAGGGAAGCAGAUUUAAGCCACCAGCCUUAUCUCCCUGAAGUUGCAGCAGAGCAGAAUGAAGAUAGCAAAUCUUAUUUCCCUGAAGUUGCAGUGGAACAGAUUAAAUCUAUAAUCACAAAUCUUAUCUCUUUGAAAUUGCAGUAGAGUAGAUUAUGGCGAAUCUUAUCCCCCUGAAGUUGCAGUAAAGUAUAUUAAAGCCAAUAAUCCUAUCUCCCUAAAGUUGCAGUGGAGCGGAUUGAAACCACAAAUCUUAUCUCCCUAAAGUUAUAGUGGAGUGGAUUAAAGACACCAGUCUUAUCUCCUUUGCAUUACAGUGGAACAGAUUAAAGAUAAAUGUAGCAAAUCUUGUUUCCCUGGCGUUGUAGCAAUGCAGAUUAAAGCUAAAGGCAGCGAAUCUUAUCUCCCUAGUGUUAAGACUGAAAGAAGCGAAUCUUAUUUCCCUGGCAUUGCAGUGGAACAGAUUAAAGCUAAAGGUAGCGAGUCUUGUUUCCCUGGCAUUGCAGUGGAAUAGAUUAAAGCUGAAAUGAAGCUAAUUAAAGCUGAAGGCAGCAAAUCCUAUCUCUUUGGAGUUACAGUGGAAUAGAUUAAAACUAAAGGUAGUGAAUAUUGUUUCCCUGGUGUUAUAGCGGAGCAUAUUAAAGCUGAAGGUAGCAAAUCUUAUUUCUCUAGCGUUAAAGUUGUAGAAAGCAAGUCUUAUCCCACUGAAGUUGCAGUGGGGCAGACUGAAGAUGGCAAAUCUUAUCCCUCUGAAUUUGCAGUGGAGCAGAUUAAAGCCAAUAAUCCUAUCUCCCUGAAGUUGCAGUGGAGUGGAUUAAAAUUAGGUAUUAUCUCCCUAAAGGUGCAACGAAGCAAACUGAAUAAACCAAUCUUAUCUCCCUGAAGUUGCAGUGGAGCAGAUUGAAGAAACCAAUUCUAUCUCCCUAAAGUUACAGUGGAGUGGAUUAAAAUGAUGGAUCUUAUCUCUCUGAAGUUGCAGUAGAGCAGAUCUCAUCAGGUCUUAUCUCCUUGAAGUUGCAGUGGAGCAUACUGAAUAAAACAAUCUUAUCUCCCUGAAGUUGCAGUGGAGUAGAUUGAAGUUAUAAAUCCUGUCUCCCUGAAGUUGCAGCAGAGCGGAUUAAAAUGAUAGAUCUUAUCUCUCUAAAGUUGCGGUAGAGUAGAUCGCAUCAGACCUUAUUUCCUAGAAAUUACAAUGAAACAAGUUGAAGCUACAAGUUUUAUCUCCUUGAAGUUACAGUGGAGCAGACUGAAGAUAACAAAUGUUCCCUCGAAGAGCUACAAAUCUUAUCUCCCUGACAUUACAGUGGAGUGGUUGAAGCACUGAUUCUUAUGCCCCUAAAGAUGCAAUGGGAUGGAAUGAGAUUACUUGAAGAAGACGAGCACUCAAAGAAGUCAGAACUCGGCAAGACCGAGCAAAAUUGGCCCUUUUAUAGUCUUUGCUCCAUUCUCGUUACACGACAAUGAGCAAAGAGGGACAACUGUAAUAGGCCAAUUUAGCCUGGGCUCACAAAAAAAAAACCCAAAAUAAUAAAACAAAGUCCAAGUGCAGUCCAAAAUUAUAUCAUUUGGCCCGAUCGGGAUGGCCCAUUACUUGAAAAGGUUGAAGGUCUAUCUACAAGCUUGACGCAUAUGGAAACAUAAUCUUCAAGGAUAUGUAAUCUUAGAUAUGAUAUGCAAUCUUAGAAGAUAUGAUUUUGUAAUCUUAGAGAUUUAAUUUGUAGAUACCCUUUAAUCUUAGCCGUUGAUGUAAUUGAUCUGUACCAUUGGAUUUGGGGAGGCUCAACUAUAAAUAGAGGCCUCUCCCUUCAUUGUAAAACACUUGAGUUUGGAGCAAUAAUAAUUCUUAAGAGCAUUCACUCAAAUUUCUCCCUCUCUUGCGUUCUUAUUUUCUGUGGCUUGUUCUUAUUUUGUUCUUUGUCCAUCUUCUUUUCUUUUUAAGUUGCUUUCAUUUGAGUUGGAUUUUGGUGGAGGAAUUUCGUUGGGUCUUUAUAUUGUGAGAGUUAGGCUGACUUAAGCAUUUUUUUAACUUUUUUUUUAUUUAUCCAUUUAAUUUUUGAAUCAUUAAUUAUUCUUUUACUUUUAUUCAUUUAUUUAUCCAUCAACUUUCUUAUUUACAUAUUGUUCAUUCAUUUAACCAUUCUUAUCAUUCUUUUAUUUUCUUCCAUUAAUUAUAUACUUUAUUUGUUUUUCAUAUUGCCCUUUUUUUAUCAAAGUUUUUAUGCAUCGUUUUAAUAUUACGUCAAUUUCCCCAAUUUUAAAAAAGAAAACUUUUAAAAAUAAGGCAAUAUUCGGUACUUUUGAGCUUUGAGAAAAUUGUGCCCUAACUUACUGGGUUUCGAUUUUUUUUCAAAUAACCGAAUAUCCUUUUUAAACUUUAAUGCAUGACACAAGCUUAGUUUCGAGGGUUAAAAUGUCGUAUCCUAACUUACUGGAUGUGACAUCUUAUUACUUCAAGACAAGGAGGUCUUAACAUCAAAUUCGAUUUAUUCAGGUUUUUAAAGUGGAUCGUAUUUUAAAAUCUUUUUAAAAUUUUGAGAUUAGGAUGUUAAUUAAUCAAUUAGGUGCCAAUUUUUUGGUUACGAGGGUGCUAAUCCUUCCUCGUGCGUAACCGACUCUCGAGCCUAUUUUCUCGAAUUUUGUAGACCAAAAUUAUUAUUUUAAUAAAUCAAAAUGUUUUAUUAAAAUGAUUAAUCUCAAGGUGACCUGAUCACACCUCGAAAAAAGAUUGGUGGCGACUCCAUUUUCAUUUUAAAAGUCGACCCCGUUUUUUCAAAAUAAAAAAAAGGUUUCGACAAUAUAUAUUUUGAAUAUUUUAAGAUUCUGAAUCCUUAAUUAUAUAUAUAUAUAUUAUAAUAAUUUUAUAAUAUUAUAAAUAUAUUAUAUCAUAAAUAUUCUUUCAAAUAUUUUUUAAUGUUUAAUAAUAAGUUAAUUUAUAAAAUAUUCUUUCAAUAAAUUAACGUGAUGAGAUCGUUAGGUGCUUGGAUUUGGUGAUGGGGGAUGAAGAGAAAAGGGAUGGAAGUGAAGACAUAUGUUGAGAAAUGGAAAGGGUUAGCGAGGGAAGCCGCCAUGAAAGGUGGCUCUAUGGAUAUGAACCUUCAAGCUUUUGUGGAUGAUGUUACUCAAGGUUGUUGCAAGUAAAUUUAAAAAUGUAUUGUUAAAUUAUUUUUUUGUUAAAAAAUAUUUUUUAUUUUUUAUGUGGCAUGCCACAUUAUCAUACUAUCAUGUGACAACUUCUGGUGAUUUCUGUCCGUAACAUUAGUCAAAUCAACAGAUAAAUUCUUCAACUCACAAUUUUUGUUAAAUGAAGAGGUCAAUUAAUUUUUUUUGGAAUCAUUGAGAACUCAAUUGGUGCAGUUUUUUCAUAAAGGCUAAAUUAUUUUUUUAAAUUUGUUAUUGUUGAGGGCUAUAGCAAUAAAAAUUUUUGAGGUAAAAUGAAAAAAUUGUUAAAACUAAACUUGUGAUUAUGCCUAAAAUGUAAAACCAAAAAAUUUUGAAAAUGAAAAAAAAAAAGAAAAUCACAAAUUCUGUCACUUAUGUUUGCUUAAAAUUAUAGUUUUGGUCACCAAUCUUUUGAAGUAAAUAUAUGGUCACUAAUAUUAUCCAUUUGUUACUUUGUAAUGACAUUGGGAUACAAUAAAACUUGUAUUUUUUUUAUUCAUCUAAUGCUAUUUCAACAUUUUCAUCUAAAAAAUUGACAUAUCAUUUUGAAUUUGAUCUUUUCAAGAUAAAAUUAUUGAAAUAAUAUUAAAUUAUUAGAAAGAGAUACGAGUUUCAUGGUAUCUCAAAUUCAUUUAAUCUUUAUCUCUCUAAGAUAGCUGAUGUGACACAUUAAUGACAUCAUUUCAAACAAAGUUUUAGGUCAAAUUGUUCAUCUAGUCCUUGUAAUUGUUUUUAGGUGAAUUUCAUUAUUAUUCUUUUAUUUUCUUUGGCUUAAAUACACAUUUACCCCUAAUUUUAUCACAUUCUCCUUCAUUGGUAUUUAUGGUUUAGAAAAUUUUACAAAUAUAUUAUUUUUUAAGAAAUUAUAAGAAGAUUACAAAAAUUCCAAAAAUAUAUAAAAAAAAGCUAAGAAAAACCUAGAAAUUAAAAAAAAAAAUCAUGUUUUUACAAAUUGGGAAAUACCUAAAUUUGUUUUCACCAAUUAAAAAAUUGAAAAAAUUGUUGGGAAAUAUCUUUUUAGAAAUAUCAUAAUUGCAUUUAAGACCUCAUGAUUAUCUUUUAUAAUUUCAGGGUUAUCAACUAUUUUGAAAACAAAGAAAUGCCUUACACCAAAAAAAAAAAAACACAAAAACUAAAACGUCAACAUAUCACUUUAGCAUUGACUUGCGUUUCUACUGUUAGUCUUCUCCAACAAGUUAAAUAUUUCAAUUUGUCUUUGGGGUAGGGUCGAGCAAAACUCAAUAGAAACAGAUGAUAUAGGUUGAGUUGGCUCGGUCAAGCCCAUGUCCCUAGCUAUACGCCCCUCGUAAAAUCAAUUUUAAAAUUAAUUAUAAUAGUUUAAGCGAAUUGAUUAUUGAGUAAUGAAAUACUUAAUUCAACCAAUUGAUGUAAUCAAAUUAUAAUAAUUAUAUAUUUACUUUUAUGGUAUCCUUCAUCUCCUUUUUAGAGUUUGUGGCAAUAUUAUUUUUAAGCUCCGAAUUUAUUUUUUAUUUAUGAGUACAAUGUGUCUUACAAUUACAUCUGCAGUUUAUUUUUUUUAUUUGAAAAUAAAUAUUAUAAUAUAUGAAAACCAUAUAUAUAUAUAACCAAAUUUUGUCACACCCAUUUUAUGUUAAAAAUAUUUUCUUUUAAAUUGAGUAUAGGUUGGGUGGUAAAGUACUUAUAUUUUAAUACUAGUAAAUACAUGUUCAAUCUUUAGAUUUAUAAUUUAUAAUUCUUUUAACUAAAGAUGAUAUACAAGUAUGAAAAGACAAAAGUGACAUAGUAAUAAUAUUAAUUAUAAAUUUUAUAAUUUCAUAAUUGAAUUGAUGAUUGAAUUGAUGACGUAGUUGAAGGUGGCACUAACUCUAAAACACUUAAAUAUAGUAAUAGCUUAAAAAUGAGGGGCUUUUGGUAACCUGGUUGAGAGUAACACCAACUCAAUAAAACUCUUACAUAUUGACUACAAAUCCGAUCACACACUUAUGUGUAUGAAAACCACAAAUUUAGAAUGGAAAGAUGUGUUUAAAAAUAACAUACAAUAAAGAAUGAAAUUUAUGGUUUGAAACUAAUUAAUAAUAACACAUGAAAUAUGUACGAUAUCAAAAUGAAAAAAAAUAAAAGAUUAAAUUGUGCAUAAAACAAAAUUUUAUCCUAUUACAUCAAUAAAGUUAUAUUUAUUACCCUCGCCAAUUGUUUGUCAUUAAGAACAUUAAAGUAUCCUUGAAUGAUAUAACUUAUUCUAAAUAGAGUUGAUUGGUUGGCUUGGAUACCAACUCAGUCAGGGGCUUAAAAUUAUUAAAAUAUUAUUAUUUUAAAGAGAAAUUAAUAUUAUUAUAAGUGUAUUUUCACCUUUUCAUACUUUUAUAUAAUCUUCAAGUAAAACGAUUGAAAAAUAUUAUUUGAGAAUCAAACACAAGACUAAAAAAUUCAUAUAGAAAAUGCUUACUACUCCACUAAUAAUCAUUUGUCGAUGUAUUUUUUGUAAAAGACCUCUCCAAUCCCUCUUAAUUUCACAAUUGCACAAAUUAGUCCCUCUCAAAAAAAUUGGAGCAAUUUAAUCCCUAUCAAUUUUGAAAGUGAGUAACUAAGGACAAUUAAUUAUGGUAUUAAAUUCUUCCAUCAAUCGUAGAUAAUUUUGAUUGGUAUAGUUAUAAAUUUAGCCUUCAAUGUUUAUAUAUUUUGUCAUUUUUGCCUUAAUUUUAAAAAAAAAAUUCAAGAAAUUCAAUCUCAACAUUUACAUAUUUACAUAAACAUUGCGGGAAAUUUUUGUUAAACUAAGACCAAAUUGCAAAGUGUGCAAAUUUUGAAGGCUAAAUUUAUUAAUAUACCAACAAAAACCAUGUACAUUUUAUGGAAAAUUAACGUCCUGAUUAAUUAUUCUUAGUUGCUCACUUUCAAAAUUAAUAGGGACUAAAUUGCUCUGAAUUUUUUUAGGGUGACCAAUUUCCUCAAUUUGGAAAUUGAGAGAGACUAUUGAGAUCUUUUACAUAUUUUUUUUAUAAAUAUAUUUUUUAAUAUAAAAUAUAUUUGUUCACCCACAUCGUGUGUAUGGUAAAAUAUUUUUAUUGUUGAUUAAGUUGGUGUCAAAAAUUAACUCGACACCAACUCAAGAUUAAUAAUAACAGUAUGAUAAAUAAUUUCUUUAUUUAAUAUUCUUAAUUUAACAUAUUGAUGUAAAUUUUAAGACAUGCUUGUCUUGUAGAAUUGAGAUUAUACUUAUUGAGUAUUGAGUCAGUUUUCCACAAUUGUGGGUCUCUAUUUGAGCAACACAAUUUCAACAUUUCUUCAUCUCGCUUAAUCCAAAUGCAUUUAGGAUUUUUUUUUAUAUCAUUGUUUCAAAAACGAUAAAAAAAAACGUGGACAUUGAAUUUUCUGUUUCACAUUCAAUUUUUGGAUAAGUAGAAUUUUCUAACUUAUUUUCCAUCAACUUCACUUCAAUUUUCAAUCACAAUCUAUUGCAUUCAAGAGCAUCACAUCUUUUUGGAUGAAACAAACCUCUCAAUUUUAAGAUAAACGGAAUCUAUUGCAUUCAGGAGCACCACAUCUUUUUGGAUGAAACAAAGCUCUCAAUUUUAAGAUAAACGGGUCUUUAGGGUUAUUAAUUGAGGGCAUUUUCCACAAUUGACAUCAUUAUUUGCGGGUGAUUCGGGGAUAAUAACAUCAACAUUUCUGUAUCACAUUUAAUUCAAUUCCACAUUUAACUUUUAAUUUUUAGAGAGAUGAUUGGGUUACAACAAUGGUUUGAAGUGAAGAUAUUUCAAAAGAAGGCAAAUAUAUCAAUUUUUUAAGGGGUCUUUGGAGUUAUAUGUGACUUUAGCAUUAUUGACCGACUUUUUUAUAGUUAAUCUUUUAUAAUAAGGUAAAUAUAUCAAUUUUAAUAACAUUGACAUGUUUUUUAGUAGGGUCGAGCAAAACCCAAUUAAAACCUUUCAUCACUGCAAAAAUGAAAAUAAUAGAAAUGAAAGACUAGCCAUUGUAUGAGAUUUAUAAUUGUAACUGUCAACGAAAUUGGGAGAAAUUUUUAAAUUUUAUGAAAUUUUAAAAUUAAACUGUCAAUAAUAGAAAAUUGCUUGAGUAACUUGGGAUAAGAGGUUGAACAUUUCUGGAUCACAUUACAUUUAAGGUGGGUCUUUAAGGUUAUACUUUAGUUAUUGAGAACAUUUUCCACAAUUUGCCUUCUUUAUUUGUGGGGUAAGUGGUUGAACACUUCUGGAUCACAUUGCAUUUAGGACGGGUAUCAUUCAUAAACUGACUUUACUAUAAUUAGUCCUUGCUUUACUUUAGGUGGAUUCUUCCAACUAGUCCAAGAAUUAUUGUACAGUUACAAUUAAUCUUUUUAAAUGAGACAAACAUUUCAAAUUUGUUGGUGUAAAAAAUUAACUCAACACCAACUCAAGAUUAAUGAUAAUAAUAUGAUAAAUAAUUUAUUUGUUUAAUAUUCUUAAUUUAACAUAUUGAUGUAAAUUUUAAGACGUGCAUGUCUGGUAGAAUUGUGAUUAUACUUUUUUGAGUAUUGACUUAGUUUUCCACAAUUGUGGGUCUAUAUUUGAGCAAAACAGUUUCAACAUUUCUUCAUCUCGCUUAAUCCAAAUGCAUUUAGAAUUUUCUUAUUUCAUUGUUUCAAAAACAUUAUAAAAAAAACGUGGACAUUGAAUUUGUUGUUUCACAUUCAAUUUUUGGAUAAGUAGAAUUUUCUAACUUAUUUUCCAUCAACUUCACUUCAAUUUUCAAUCACAAUCAAUUGCAUUCAAGAGCACCACAUCUUUUUGGAUGAAACAAACCUCUCAAUUUUAAGAUAAACGGGUCUUUAAGGUUAUUAAUUGAGGACCUUUUCCACAAUUGCCAUCGUUAAGCAUUUUUCAAUCUUGUCAAUUGUUACGAUCUUUUUUAAGCAUUUUUCAUUAAAAUAACGAUUAAUGGAAAAAUAAUAUUCAAGUAAAAGGAUUUCAACAUAUUGCUUUGAAAGGUUUUCUAAAUAGUACAAGGACCUAAAAGAGAACCACUAGACAGAACUAACCAAAUCUAAGAGUUGGAAAUGUUUGGGAACGAAUAGUUUAAAUUGUGAUUAUUUCUUCGGGUUUCCUGUCAAAGGUACCAGCUGAGCAAGAAGGCAGGGUAAUGCGUCAAUGAUACAACCCUGAUGAACAAUGAGCAAUGUCAACCUAAGCAUUAAAAGGGGAUCAUUAUUAAAAAAUAACAUUUUGCAUUCAUGCAAAUAUCUUUCAUAUACAUCUAGUUAAGAGCAUUUGAUUCAUUCUGAUCAUAACAUCCUAAUCACUUGGCACAGAUAUAAGCCCAUAAAAUGGAUUCUACAAGUCAUGUUCCCUAAAGAACGGUGUAGCAGAUCAGUGAAACCACAAAUCUUAUACCCCUAAAGUUGUAGUGGGACGGAUUGAAGUUAUCGUGGCAAAUCUUAUCUCCCUAAAGUUGCAGUGGAGUAGAUUAAAGCCACAAAUCUUAUCUCCCUGAAGUUAUAGUGGAGCAAAUUGAAUAUAGCAAAUCUUAUCUCUCUAAAAUUGCAGUAGAGAAGAUUAAAGCUACAAACCUUAUCUCCCUAAAGUUGCAGUGGAGCAGGUUAAAGAUAACAAAUCUUAUUUCCCUUAAGUUGCAGUGGAGCAGAUUAAAGCGACAAAUCCUAUACCUCUGAAGUUAUAGUAGGUCAGAUUAAAUCAGGUUACAAUUCUUAUCUCCCUGAAGUUGCAGUGGACCAAAUUGAAGAUAACAAAUCUUAUCUCUCUGAAGUUGCAGUAGAGCAGAUUAAAACCAUAAAUCUUAUCUCCCUGAAGUUACAGAAGAGCAGAUUAAAACCACAAAUCUUAUCUCCCCGAAAUUGCAGUGGAGUAGAUUGAAGUUACAAAUCUCAUCUCCCUGAAGUUGCAAUGGAGUUGAUUGAAGAUACAAGUUUCAUCGCCCUAAAGUUAUAGUGGAGCAGAUUAAAGCUACAAGUCUAAUCUCCUCGAAGUUGCAGUGGAGUAGAUUGAAGCAACAAAUCUUAUACCUUUGAAGUUGUAGUGGGUUAGAAUGAAGCUACUUGAAAAGAGGAGCACCAAAGAGGUCGAGAUUCUACAAGACCAGGAAAAAUUAGCCCUUUUUAAAGUCUUUGAUCCAUUCCCGUUGCACGACAAUGAGCAAAGAGAGGCACCUGUAACAGGCCAAUUUAGCCCGAGCUUAAAAAAACCAAACCAAAAAAUAAUAAUAAUAAUAGUCCAAAGUCCAUCAGGCCCAUUUUACAAUUACAAAGCCCAAAUUAAACAAAAAAAAACCCUAGUGGCCCAACAAGCCCAAAACCUAAACAAUUUUCAGAAAAAAAAGAGGGAAUAAAACCCUAGCCACCACUCCCCAUUUCGCCACAUCAACGCCGCACCCUAGUGCUUGCCACCACCAACUGCCCACCAUCGCCACCGUCACUGCCUGUAAGGAAAAAAGGAAGAAAAGAUAGAAACCAAACAAGAGCAGUUGAAAUAGGAGAAAAUAGAUAAAAAAAUAUUUUGUGAAUCGACUAUAAAAGCCAAAGAAAAAAAUGUAUUUAGGGGAUUUUUUUUUAAAUGAGGAGAAUCGAAAAAAAUAAAUCAAAUACAAAAGGUGAUUUCAUUUUUUGUUUAUUUAUUUUCUGAAAGCAAAAAAAUAAAUAAAAACACACACAUAUAUCUAUAUAUAAAGAGGCAAACAGAAAAAAGAAAAAAAAAUGAAGCUUUCUUUUUUACCUUUUUAGGCUCUUAGUCCUCAGAUCUGGGCUUUGGAAGUCAAAAGGCCAAAAAAAGGCACUUUUUUCAUUUUUCAACCAUCAUGGAUAACGGAGCUAUCACCAGCGACCAGCGGUCGAUGCGGCGGAGCUCGGCAGCUCCCUUGGCAGGACAUGGGGCUCCCUUAGAGAAAAAAAAAGAGAGAAUGAAAACUUUUUCUUUUGAAAAUAGUUAAAAGCGAUUUUUUUUCUAAUUUUUUACUUAUAUAAGCCCUCAAAACGGCAUCAUUUUGGGCUUAUGCUUCAGAUGCCAAAACGGCAUCGCUUUGGACCCGAACCGAUCUGACCCGACCCAACCCAACAAGGAUCUGCGUGUUUUUUAAAUGGGGGUAUAAUUGACACCCUAAUUCUUCUGCUUUUUAGCCUUUUUUGAAUUUAGUCCUAGGUUUUUUUCUAUUUUUUUAGAUUGCACCAUUAAUUUCAAAUAUUUUUCAAUUUGGUCCUCUGACCGUUGACCCCUCGGGGAAGGACACGUGUCUAGGAGCUUUGGGAUAAUUUCCCAUUUAGUCCCUAUUUAUUUUAGCACCUUUCAUUUUGGUCCCUAUUCUGUUUUUUAUUUUUUUUACAAUUUAUGCCUUUAAAUUUCAUUUAUAUUUCGAUCUAGCCCUUGUGUGUUUAUUUUAUUACAAUUAGGCCCCUUUAUUUUAUUACGAUUUACCCUUUUAAUUUCAUUUAAGUUAUGAUUAAGUCCUUUAUUUAUUUUAAUUCUUUUAUUUAUUUAUUUACUUAUUUGCUUAUUUAUUAUGCCUUCAUUUUUUUUAUUUAAAAUUGGUUUUUUUAUUUUCUUUUCAUUGAGCAUUAUUUAUUUGUUUUUUAUUAUUUUAUUAUUUAUGUAUUACUUCUUUUUAUAUAUAUUUAAAAAUUAGAUUGUUUAUACUAUUCUAUUUGUGCAAUUUUUUUAUUUAUUAUUUAUUAUUUCUCGUUAUUUUAUUAUUUCUUAUUAUUUUGGAUAUCUUCAUGUCAUGUUUAUAUAUCUUUUAAUCAUGCAUAUUCCAUUUUUUUAUUUAUCUUAAAUUACAUCAUUUAUUUAUUAUUACCAUGAUAUGAUUGUUAAUAUUAAUAUUAAUAUUAAUAUUAUUAUAAUGAUGAUGAUUAUUAUCAUAAUAUUCCUUCAUUUACUUAUUAUUUAUCAUUCUACGUAUAUAGUCAUUUUAAAUUAUUUUGUUAUCACUAUACCAUACAUUAGGUUUAAACAUUUAUUCAUUUGCAUAUCACGCCCGAGUAAAUUAAAUGCAUAUCACCUUAAAUGUUACGUUAGUUUUUUUUGCUCGAUGCAUAAAAAAUGAAAUUUUUGAACCAAGGUAAAUGUUCAUUAUUUUGGAAUUUGAAAAGUCGUGCUCCUAACUUACGAGAUAUGACUUCUUUCUAAAACUGAGAUAGUCGGAUAUCUACUUUAAAAUAAAGAAAAAUAAUAAGAUUUUAGCGUUUGUUAUCAUUUUCGAGGAUUUAAGGUAUUGUGUUCUAACUUACGGGACAUAAUUUCUUCUUCUUGAUUAACUUGAAAUAAGCCCCUUUUUGUGCAAAUUAAUUUAGUUAAGUAAUGUCUUAAUAAGGGAUCAUAUUUUAAGUUCUCUUCAAAUUUUUAAUUUUCGACACUAAAGACAUCAAGUAAUCAAUUAGGUACUAAUUUUGGGCACAACGAGGGUGCUAAUCCUUCCUCGUGCGUAACCAAAUCCCGAACUCAUUUUUUGGACUUUGUAGACCGAAGCACAUUGUUUUUGUGAAUCAAAUAUCUUAUUAAAACGAUCAAAUUACGAGGCGACCCGAUCACAACUCAUGAAAGUGAUUGGUGGCGACUUCCAUUUUCAUUUUAAAAUAAAAAGUUGAUUUCAAAAAAAAAAAGGUCACGACGCAUACCAUAAAUUUAUUUUUCAAAAAGAAUUUUAAAAUAUCUUUAUAUAUAUAUAAGUCCAAAUUGUACUCGAGUAACCUACUGUAUAAAAAAUGUCUUAAAAAAUAUUAUUUUUUCAAUUCCAAAAGAGUUAUUCCAUUUAUAGAACCAUAGAACUUUAAAAAUAUAAGCUCUAUUAAAUAAAAUUAAUAAUAUUUUGAAACAAUAAAUGUUGACUUUAUUUUAAAUUGACAUUAUCUAAUUCUUUUUAAUAUAUAUUGCUAAGCUUUACAUUAAUAUACAUGAUUUAUUUGUUUGUUGUUAUUAUUAUUAUGACUAUUAUUAUUAUUAUUAUUAUUUCUAUGAUUAUAAUAUUAUACUUAUCAGGCUCCAAUCAUUCGAUAAGAAAAAAUAAGUGUUGGGUGUAAUGACAAAGCACGUUACACUCUUAAGGGGAGAUCAGGGUUUGGACAAGGGAAGAAUAUGAUUCGAAUUUUGGAGACGACAUUCUUGAAAUGAGCAACCACGAAUCCAGAUUAUGAACCAUAAAACGAACAUAAAAAGUACCAAAAAAACACGUUUAUUAUCAAAAUAGUAAUCCAUCCCAAGGCAUAAAUUAACAAAAUUCACCAUCCAACCGUGUAGACUAUUUUAUAUAUAUAUAUAUAUAUAUAUAUAUAUAUAUAUACACUAUAUUUGUUCUUCCUGCAAAUGUUUAUUAUAUUUAAAAAUUAGAAUAUAUGGUUAUUGAGCUUUAGUUGAAUUAAUAUUGAUAUUAUUUUCAGUGCAAAAGAACGUCAGUUCAAUCAUGUUUAAAUGCGUUUUAUCCUCCCAUUUAGGAGUUGGAGAGGAUUCUCAAUAGUUAAAUUAUAUCAGUUUUUGUCUAUUUCAAAAUGAUUUAUAAAUAAUAUAAGUAGAAAAUUUAAAGAAAAUACAUAUUCAUAUUCAUCGGCUUUUUCAUUAUUUGAGUUUUUUCCCCACAAGUAAACCGAAAAACUUAAUUUUUUAUUCAAGUUGAUCCGAAUAACUUAAUUAACUCAAAUAACUCGAACUAUUUAAUUCAAAAUUUAAAUUUUUUAUCGAAUUAUUCAAAUUGAAUUGGAUUUUGCUCACCCCUAAAAAUGCUAAUUAAGCAAAGUAUUGAGGGAUUAUUUUUGCUUCCAUUGAGACGAACUUUAUAGUUUUCAAUAGCUAAAGUCUUUGGAAGUAAGGAACUGAUGUAAACAAUAAUUAUUGUUUAUUUACCUUCUAAAAAAAUCUAGAUGAUGCAUGUUUCGGAACAUAGUUUUCAUAUCAUUAAUUAAUUACUAUCUAGUCAAUAAAUUUGUGUUUUAUUUAGGAUUAAUGUGUUUUUCUAAUGAGUGUUUUCAAAAAUAAAAUUCUAACUAAACUAUAUUAAACAUCAAGAGCUCCAACUUGUAUAAAAUCUAAUCUAUUAAUGGAUGUUUCAAACAAUUUUAAAAUAUACAUGUUGUGCAUCUUCUUGACUCUGUCAAGUCUUUCCAAUUUUUUCUUUUCCAAGAUGAUAUAAUAAUCAAAGUUGCAACAUGUAAAUUGUAGUUUUGUGUGGAAAAAAUUUCCUAAAAAAUAAUUGCCAUGGAAAUUUCAUGAGUUCUUCCCUCUUGUUUUAUAUUUCUUUUAACAAUGCAUUUGAAAUUUUCACCCUAUAAUAUGAUUUAAUUGUAUAUGUCAAUUGUCAAGCUUUGAAAAUUUUGCUACUUUUUACAAUCACAACACACAUGGAUUGCCCUAUAAAUAGUAGCCUAAAAUGGAGAUUAUGCUGCACUCAUCCUAUAAAUUUUAUCUAAUAUAUAUUGUCCAAAAUGAAAGCAAUAUUUCUCAUAUUAUGCAUUCUCUUGGCUUCCAUUCUUGCGUUUCCCACUUCCACAAUGGCUCGAGAACUGGCUGAGAAGGGUAAGAACAAUCAUAUUUUGUGACUAAUACCCAUAUAUUUCCUUUAAUUUCUGGUUUAUUUUAUUGUUUGUUAAUUCUGCAGAGGCAAUCCCAUCUCCAACUCAAUGUGCGCUAGAUCCUACUCGGAGCUGUACUCCGAAGACUCCUCCUAACUGCCCAAUUUACAGUCGAAACUGCCAUUAAUAUUAUGUUCUGGAAUAUUAUGUUUAAUAAAUUUGCCAACUUUUGUGUUUUAUUGGCAAAGGAAAUUAGAAUCUAAAGUUUCAUGCAUGGUUUGUGUUUGAUUGAUGUGAUUGUGAUGUUAUUUCUACUGCUUGAGAUAACAAAAUAAUAAAGAAAAGAUUGCAUUUCUCAUAUUUUUUAUAUUUUCUCAAUGCUCCAUAUGAUAAAUUUGGAUGGAUGGCAUGAUAUAAAUAUAAUGAAAAUUUUCUUUUGAAAUCUCUGAGAUGUCUCUAUUUAAAUCAUCAAUAUUUAUAGUCUGACGUUUAUUUUGUUAUGUAAAGACAAGCCAUUGUAUGAAAUUUAUAAUUGAACUGUCAACAAAAUUGGGAGAAAAUUUUAAAUUGUAUGAAAUUUUAAAAAUUAAACUGUCAGUAAUAGGAAAUUGCCCGAGUGACUUGGGAUAAGUGGUUAACCAUAUCUGGAUCACAUUGCAUUUAAGAGGGGUCUUUGGAGUUAUAUGAUACUUUAACAUAGACUUUUCUAUAAUUAGUCACUGCUCUACUUUGGGUGAAUUCUUCCAACUAGCAUGAUAGUUGAUGUUACUCUCCAAGAAUAAUUGUAGCGUCCUCUUCCAACUAGCGUAGAGUUAUCUUUAUUCCUACCCCACGCGGGCAACAAACCACUGAUCAAAUUAUUUUGAAGAUAUCACUUUUUGAAUCCAUGAGUUUUGUUUUCCUUUUUGUAAAACAGAUAUCAAGAGAUACCAAAAAUUAUUUUACUAAGAAAUUUUAAUUCACUCAAAAAGUAAGUGUUUUAUUUUAAGGGAUCACAAUUAAACAUUAAAUUUUUCAUUUUUAAUUUUUUUAUUUUUUUAACAACUACGUAAUUAACGAGUACCAAUUUUUGGUGUUGUAGGGCUGCUAUAACUUUCCCUAUAUGUAAUCGACUCUUGAACCCACUUUUUCCUCUACAAUUCAAUGCAAACCUUAAAUUUAUCUUUUCAAAAGAAUUUUAAAAUCUCUUUUGUACAGCCCAAAUUUUCCCGGGCCUCCAAACCAAACAGUUAACCUAAUUUUGAAGCCCAACUACAAUACCCGGCCCAAGGCCCAAAAUCUAAAACGGCCCAUUGGGGCCCAAAAACUAAACAACAUAGGGAACCCUAGGGUUCCCUGCCCUUGCCUCGCGCCGCUGCUACCCAUGUGCGUCUUCAGCGCGCACCACGCCCGAGGUCUGCCACCGCCAGCUGCGCCUUGCAUCAAAAUGGAAGCUUUCCGUCUCCGUUGACUUCAUCAGGUCCUGCAAACGAAACAAAAAGACGAAAAUAAGGCAGAGACAGAACACAAGAAACAGUAACAGAAGUGAAAUAGAACGGUAUCAUUAUUUUCGGCUAUAAAAAGCCGAAUCAAACAAAUGUAAUCUGGGGGAUUCGAUUGAAAAAAAAACAUUGCCGAAUCAAUAAAAAAUCGAAAAUCUUUGAAGAAAUGUUCUGAUUUCUUUUUUUCAUUCGGUCUCCGAAUUUAUUUAUUUCUUUUUGUGUUCUUUUUCUGUUCUUUUAAAGCAUAUAUAUGUAUAUAAGGUUAUAUAUAUAUAAUAAAAAAGGAAAGGACGAAGUUCUUACCUCGGUGCCGUCGAAGCUCUUCUUCAUUCCGUCCAAAUCGGAGCUGAAGAAGAGAGGCUUCUAGUUUUUGAAGCGGUAGAGACGAAAAGAGGGAGGCUAGGGUUUCAUAUUUUUGCUUUGUUUUCUUAAAGAACGGCAGAUUAGAGUAAUUUGGGAAGUUUUUUUUAUUUUUUUAUUUUUUUAUUUUAUUAUUUUUUUAUUUUUAAAUACGAAACGACGCCGUUUAAUGGCCUAUGCUCGCUCUGUGACCCGACCCAGGGAAGGAUCCGCGCGUUUUGUGUUAUUGGGUAAUUGGCGCGUAAGGUCCCUUUUCUUUCGCGCCGUCGUGCAAUGGGGUCCUUUUUGUUUUUUUAAAUUCAUUCAGCCCGCUUAAUUUUUCUGCUUUUCAUUUUAGCCCGCGCCAAAACGCUGUGCAUAAUAAUGGGAACAUUUUCUCAAUCAGCCCUCUGUUCUUUGGGGCGCAUUGUAAUUUGGUCCCUGGGGAUCUUAUUUUUGUUUAUUUGCGUUUUGAACCCCGAACUUUGUUACAAGAUUUGAUUUAACCUGCUUGUUUUAUUUAUUUUAGUUAUUUUGUAAGCAAAUUAGAUUAUUAUUAUUAUUAUUAUUAUUAGUUGCUCAUUUAUACUUUUUUAAUUUUAGAUCUAAUUAUAUAUAUGUACAUAUAUAUACAUGUACGUGUACAUAUUUUUAUAGCUUAUCUAUAUAUAUGUAUAUAUAUAUAUAUAUAUACAUACAUACUUAUUUUUAUAUUUUAUAAUUUAUAUACACAUCUAUAUAUCUAUAUACAUAUGUUAUUUUCAUAAAUAUAUAUGUAUACCUAUAUAUAUUCUUUAUAUGUUUAAAAUGCAUCCCUUUUUUACAUAUAUAGUUUGUAUAUUUUAUAGCGCAUAUACAUACAUAUUUUUUCAUAUUUUAAAACAUAUAUAGGCAUUUUUUAAUACAUUUGCGUACAUAAAUUUUUUAUUAUUAUAUAUAUAUAUACACAUACUUGUAUAUUAUUUAUAUUUUAUACUUUAUACUUUACAUAUAUAUAUAUAUAUAUUCCUAUAACUUUUUUAUAUUUAUAUGCAUAUAUACAUACUUAUGUUUUUCUUAUAUUUUUUAACUUACAUACAUACCUGUCUAUAUCUAUAUACUUAUUUUUAUAAACACAUACAUAUUUAUCCUUUUUACAUUCUCUUUAUUUAUUUAUUUACGUUUUCAUUGGCAUUUUAAAGGAAUGCUUUAACUUUACUUGCUUAUAUACUUGUUAUUUUGCAUGUUAUUAAUUUGUCUCUUUUAUUCAUUCAUUUUUAUUAUUGUUGCUCGUAUUAUUUUUUAUACUAUCACAUUCAAUAUUGCUUUGUACGCAUAUUAACCUUAUAUUUCAUUUUAACUAUUUCGAGUUAGAUUAAUUUAUCUCGAUGCAUAAGUUUCGAUUUUCAAAUAAGCAAAAUCUCGUGUUUAGAUUCAAGAAGGUCGUACCCUAACUUACUGGGUUUCGAUUUUCACAAUAAAUCUAAAUACAUGAAUCUUUUCAAACUCAAGUUUUAAAUGAUCUCGGGAAUUAAGAAAAGAUCGUGUCCUAACUUACUAGGCACGACCCCUUUUUUAAUCCGAGAUAGCUGAAUAUCUUUUAAAUAAGUGAAUUUUCAGUAUUCAUUCGCGCAUCGGGAAUUCAAGACAUUGUGUCCUAACUUACUGGAUAUAAUUCUCUUUCUCGAUUAACGUGAAAUAUGUCCUUUUCCCAUAAAUUUUCAACAUAUCAAUAAAGGAUCGUAUUCUAAAUUUCUUUAAAGAUUUUAAUCUUCGACACUAAGACAUUAAUUAAUCAACUAGGUACCAAUUUUGGGCGUUAUGAGGGUGCUAAUCCUUCCUCGUACGUAACCGACUCCCGAACCCGUUUUCUGAAUUUCGUGGAUCAAACUUGUUGUUUUAAUAAAAUUAAAUUGUUAAUUAAAAACAACCACUUUUCGAGGUGAUCCGAUCACACCUCAUCAAAAAGGAUCGGUGGCGACUCCAGUUUUCGUUUUCAUUUUUCAAAACCUAAGUCGACCCCGUUUUCAUCAAAAAAUGGUGUCAACAGCUUGGCGACUCCACUGGGGACUAGAUCCAAAAAUAAGAGAGUCAAGCCACGAGUUGAUUAUUUCUUGUCUUUUUGUCGAAAAUUGAUAAUUUGGAUUAAAUUUACGAUCCUUUCAUUGUAUUUCAUUUUUAUAGUUUGUCAUUUCGCUAUAUUUGCUUUAUUUGUUCAACUCUCUCGACAUAGUUUUGCAUAUUGCAUUGCAUGACCGUGGGUCACACCCUUUUAAGUGGGAGUGAGAAACUACGCCUUCGUGAGGUUUUCACCUCUGCACGGGAUAGUGAAUCGCUUUCGGGAUACAUCCGUACCUAUGUCUUCAUGAGAUUUUCAUCUCCGCAUGGCCAUAGGGAAAUGUAUUCCCCUGAACUGAACUUGGUCCAUAUGAGCCUAUAAUGGGUGAGGAUCGAGGAAUCUGCUGGUUCAGGUACCCUUUUUUUAGAACUGAAUCGCAUAUAGAAGCCUUUAGAAACCCAUCCUAGGUAGAGCCACUCCAAACCCCUAGUGGUCACCCGAUUAGGUACUUUUGUUUUCCUUGUUUGCUUCUGUUUUUUACUAACCCAUCUUGUUUUGUCUUGAUUAUGAUUGCAUUCAUUUGCAUCUUAGGAAAGAGAUAUUGAUUCAAAUCCAAUUACUAAAUUAGAAAGCUUGUCAUGGAAUUCGGAUUCCUUGAUAAAGGGGAAAACAAUACGGUUGCUUGAAUAUAUUCUAAGAAACACAAGAAGAGCGAUGGAAGAGUUCGUGACAUUGCUUCGUGGCCUGAGGAUUCAAGGCGAUUGUCUAAGAGCCUUCGAAGUUCCAACCCCUUAAAGAAGCUGACAAGCCUUAUAAAGACGGGUAGAUGGUGGAUCGCGACCAAGAUUAAGAAAAGGAGCUAGCAAUGGCAUCUAUUAGCGAGAUUACCUCAAACAUGCAGAUAAAGAAAAAGAUCGAUAUUGUCUCUUGGAAUAUAAGGGCGAAGCCGUACAUGCCUCUACUUUAUGUAAACGAAUUUGCUUUCUAGAAAAGUUUCCUAAAUGUAAUUGAAUUAGAAUCAACGUCUCUUUAGGCAUUCAUUUCAUGCAUCUACAUAUCAUCAUAUGCAUUAAAGUUUUAAAAAGGGAGCCUAAUUAAUUUAAAAUUAUGACAGAAUCACCCUGGAAACUAACAAAAAUUCGCCAACCGUUUAUCACUAUGGUACCCGUCGCAAGACAAAAGCCAUGGAUCAAAUAUUCGAAAGACUCGAACAACUCCAAAAGAAGAUGCAAGAACAAAUGCAAGAGCGGUUAGAGAAGAUUCAAGAACAUAUGAGGAACGAAAUGACAGAGUCUCAAAAAAGCAUGAUAGCUGAAUUGACGCAGUUGUUGAAAGGGGGAAACGACAAAGGAAAAGACCCCGUGGUUAAUACAGAAGAAGGAAAUAAUGAUAGCCCUCUCUAUCCCCCAGGUUUCAGGAUCGGUGGCGACUCCCGUUUUCGUUUUCAUUUUUCAAAACCUAAGUCGACCCCGUUUUCAUCAAAAAAAUGGUGUCAACAUGUUUAUAAAAGACGAUUUUUUUAGGUGACCAAUCACACUUAACAAAAAAAAUCGAUGGCAACCCCUUCCUAAUAAAUGUAAAAAACUUUUUAAACAAAAUAUAACAGACAUGUCUAUGUUUCCUAGGUUAUCUCAUAUUAAAAUCCAAAGAAAAUAAAAAGAUUCUAACAAUUAUUGCUUUUUAGUGUUGCUUUUGGGAAUUUAAAUGUAUUUAGUCAGAUUCUAAACCUACCCGUAGAUUCUUUCCUAUCCCAAGAUUAUUACGUACAUUGAAAAUCAACAUUCAUUAUAUUACUAAAGUAGUGAUUAUAGUGAGUAAAGUCUGAUUCCAUUCGAAAAAAUGGAAAAGAAAUUCAAAAUUCGAGUUAAUUGAUUUAGUUAUUUGAUUCAACUCGAAUAAGUAAUUGGAGUUUUUGACACCAAUUUUUAGAUAAAAUGGGAUCGACUUGGAUUUUGAAAAUGAAAACGAAAAAAACAGGAGUCGCCACCAAUCCUUUUUUGAUAAGGUGUGAUCAUAUCACCUUGAAAAGUGGUUGUUUUUAAUAAACGAUUUGAUUUUAUUAAAACAACGAUUUUGUUUCACGAAAUUCAAAAAAAUGGGUUCGGAAGUCGGUUACGUACUAGGAAGGAUUAGCACCCUCGUAACGCCCAAAAAUUGGUACCUAGUUGAUUAGUUAAUGCCUUAAUGUCGAAGAUUGAAAACUUUAAAGAGAUUUAGAGUACGAUCCUAAAAAAACUCGAACGACAUGGAUUGAGAUUUAAGAAGAUAUUAGGCUAUUUGGUUCAACGAGAAAUCGAAACCCAGCACGUUAGGGCACGUUUUCUUGAAUUUUCAAAUGCAAAAUAUCGCUUUAUUUUGAAAUUUAAAAGAAUAUUUUAGCUAUUUGGUCGAACGAAAAAUCGAAACCCAGCACGUUAGGGCAAAUUUUCUCAAAUUUCCAAAUGCAAAAUAUUGCCUUAUUUUGAAAUUUUAAAAGGAUAUUUUAGCUAUUUGGUCGAAUGAAAAAUCGAAACCCAGCACGUUAGGGCACGUUUUCUCGAAUUUCUAAACGCAAAAUAUUGCCUUACUUUGAAUUUUUAAAAGGAUAUUUUAGCUAUUUGGUCGAACGAAAAAUCGAAACCCAGCACGUUAGGGCACAUUUUCUCGAAUUUCCAAAUGUAAAAUAUUGCCUUAUUUUGAAAUUUUAAAAGGAUAUUUUAGCUAUUUGGUCAAACAAGAAAUCGAAACCCAAUAAGUUAGGGUGCAAUUUUUCGAAUAUCGAAAUACGAAAUAUAUUGAAUAAAGUAAAAUAUAAUGUCGUGAAAAAUGCGAAAACAAAUUAUAUUAGAUACGCAUAACAAAAAAAUAAUAAAUACGAUGGUGUAAAAAUAAUACGAGCGAUAAUAACGAAAAAAUAAGAUAAAUAAAGAGACAAAUUAAUAGCAUAAAAAAUAAAAAUGAAAUGAAACAUUCUUUUUUUUUUAAAUAAUAAUGAAAGCGUAAAUAAAUAAGUAAAUAAAGAAAAUGAAUAUAUAUAAAAGAAGAAGAUAUAUAAGUAUGUAUAUGUAUAUAUGUAUAUUAAAAUUAUAAAGUAUAUAAAAAAUAUAUAAGUAUGUCUAUAUAUAUAUAUGAAAAUUUAAAAAAUGUGCACGUAUGUAUAUAUAUGACAAAAUGUAAGUAUGUACAUAUACAACAAAAUUUGAAACUAAAAAUGACAUAAAUAAGUAAAUCAUAACAAUAAUAAUAAUAAUGUAAUAUAAUAGUAAUAAUAAUAUUAAAAUAGUUAAUUUAAUGCUAAAAUAACUCUAAUAACACAUAUGGGAUUAAAUAAAAACAGUUUAAUAAUAAUAAUAAUAAUAAUAAUAAUAAUAACAGACCCAGGACUGAAUUGGAAAAUAAAUAAAAUCAAAGGGGAAAAUUUAAAAGAGAAAAAAAAUCUGGACCCGAACAAAACGCGUGCGAAGAAAUGGGGACCGAUUGGGAAAAUACCCCCAGCCUUGCGCGCAGCGUUUUAACGGAUUAAAAAGAAAUAAAUAAAAAGAUAUAGGGCCAAAUUAAAAGAAAAGAAAAAAACAGAAAAGGACCAAAUUGCAACACUUCGCGAAGGAGGAAGGACUGCGCGCAUAAUUAUACCAUUUAGGUAAACAUGCGAAUCAUUUGCCUGGAGCGGGUCGGGUCACGAGUCGGCCUCCCCAAAACGAUGUCGUUUUAUGUCUGGGGAGGCCACCCAAAACGCUGUCGUUUCAGCUUUCCAUUUAAGCCCUCUUUUUAUUUUUUUGUUCAUUUAUUCCCCCAUUAGAAAAAAUCCAUGCCUUCCGGUCGUUGGGCUUCCCACCGCCGUUCACCGUCCGGCGCACCGCCACUAAACCGACGGCCGACGAAGCGUGAUGAAGGGAUUUUAAAGGCCGACUCUAGGCGGGCUAUGAGGUCGGGCUUCGACUGGAGGAGACGAAGAGCCUUGCACCCCAUUUUUAAACCCAAUUCCGAUGACGACGAGAGGACAUCCGUCGACGGAGCUACAGAAAGAUUCAGGUGCGCUCCUUUUCUUUUUUUGUUAUUAUUUCUAUAUUUUUCUUAUUAAAAUGAAGUUGUAAAAAGAAAAAAAAAGAUAACAAAAUAAAAUGAAAUAAACGAAUCGAAAAUAGUAAAGGUUUAACCUUUUUGAACUUCUAUUUUUGCUGUUUUGAUUUCUAAUGUGCGUAAAAAAAUAAAAAGAUGAUGUUCGGGCUCUUAUAGUCAGAUUAAACAACUCUUAGGUUCUAUUUUUUUGUCGUUCUGCCAUUGUUUCUUCCACUGUUGUGUGUGGGUCUUCAUUUUGCAGGCAUCAGACCGUCGGUGGUGGCAAAGGGCCUGCGUGAGGAGGCUGGCGGCACGGGUCAGAGGCAAUGCAGGCAGAGGCCUAGGGCGCGGCGCACAUAAGGCUGGGGAUUAGGGUUUUUUUGCUGAAAUGUUUUAGGUUUUUGGGCUUGUUGGGCUAGGUUUUAAUUUGGGCUAGUUUGGGUUUGAUUUGGGCCAUGUAUCUGGACUUGUUAAUUAUAUUGGUUAUUGGGUUAUUUUUGGUUUGGGCUCGGGCAAAAAUGGCCUAUUACAGUUGCCCCUCUUUGCUCAUUGUCGUGUAAUGAGAAUAAAGCAAAGACUUCAAAAGGGCCAAUUUUGCCCAGUCUUGCCAAGUCUCAACUUGUGUUGGCGCUUCUCUUCUUCUAGUAGCCUCAUUCUAGUCCACUGUGUCUUAUCGCUUUGAUCCACUUCACGGCAUUUUAAAGAGAUGACUUCAAUCUACUCUGCUGCAACUCCAUGGGGAUGAGGUUUGUGGUCUUCAACCUGUUCCACUGCAACUUCAAGGAGAUAAUGUUUGAUAUGAUAAGUUCUAAUUCGACCUACUGCAAUUUCAGAGGUAUAUGAUUCAUCAUUUUAAUCCGCUCUACUGCAACUUUAGGGAGAUAGGAUUAGUAGCUUCAGUCUGCUCCACUGUAACUUCAGGGAGAUAAGACUCGCUAUCUUCAGUCUGCCCAACUGCAACUUCAGGAGGAUAAGACUGGAUAUGAUCUGCUCUACUGCAACUUCAGAGAGAUAAGAUCGGUGGUUUUAAUUCGCUCCACUACAACUUUAGGGAGAUAGGAUUCGUUUCUUUUGCCUGCUCCGCUGCAACUUCAGGGAGAUAAGACUGGUUGCGAUCUACUCUACUGCAACUUCAGAGAGAUAAGAUCUGUGGUUUUAAUCUACUCCAUUGCAACUUCAGGGAGAUAGGAUUAGUUUCUUUUGUCAACUCCACUACUGCUUAGGGAGAUAAGAUUGGAUGUGAUCUGCUCUACUGCAACUUCAGAGAGAUAAGGUUUGUGGUUUUAAUCCGCUCCACUGCAACUUCAGGGAGAUAGGAUUGGCUUCUGUCUGCUCCACUGCAACUUCAGGGAGAUAAGACUGGAUGUGAUCUGCACUACUGCAACUUCAGAGAGAUAAGAUCUGUGGUUUUAAUCCGCUCCACUACAACUUUAGGGAGAUAGGAUUCACCGUCUUUAGUUUAAUUAACUGCAAUGUUGGGGAAGUAAGAUUCACCGUCGUGGCUUUAAUCUUUUUAAUUGUAAUUUCGGGGAAGCAAGAUUCGCCGUUGUAGCUUCAAUCUUUUUAAUUGCAACGUCGGGGAAACAAGAUUCGCCAUUGUAGCUUCAAUCUGUUCCACUGCAACACCAGGGAAGUAAGAUUCACCGUUGUGGCUUCAAUCUUUUUAAUUGCAACGUCGGGGAAACAAGAUUCGCCAUUGUAGCUUCAAUCUGUUCCACUGCAACACCAGGGAAGUAAGAUUCUCCGUUGCGGCUUCAAUCUUUUUUAUUGCAAUGUCGGGGAAACAAGAUUCACCGUUGUAGCUUUAAUCUGUUCCACUGCACCGCUUGGAAAGUAAGAUUCACCGUUGCGGCUUCAAUCUAUUCCACCGUACCUCUAGGAAAGUAAGAUUCGCCGUUGCAGCUUCAAUCUUUUAAAUUGCAAUGCUGGGGAAUCAAGAUUCGUCAUCGUAGCUUUAAUCUACUCUAUUGCACCACUAGGGAAGUAAGAUUCACCGUUGUAGCUUUAAUCUUUUUAAUUACAAUGUCGGGGAAACAAGAUUCACCGUUGUAGCUUCAAUUUGUUCCACUGCACUGCUAGGGAAGUAAGAUUCGCCGUUAUGGCUUUAAUAUUUGCAAUGUCGAGGAAACAAGAUUCGUCGUUGUAGCUUCAAUCUGUUCCACUACAAUGCCAAAUAGAUAGGACUAGUGUCUUCAAUCUGCUUCACUGCCAGUACAGAAAUACAAGAUCUGCUAUCUUCAGUCUACUCUGCUGCAACUUCAGGGAGAUGAGACUUGAUAUGAUGAUUUCAAUCCAUCCCACUGCAACUUCAGGGGUAUGGGUAAUUUCAUUGAUCUGUUCUUCGGGGAACAUGAACUGUAAAAUCCAUUUCAUAGACCUAUUUAUGCCUAGUGUUUAGGAUGUCAUAAUUAGAAUGAAUCAAAUGCUCCUAACUAGAUGUGUAUGUAUGAUAUUUGUAGAAUGUCAUGAGAAUGAUCCCUUUUUAAUGCUUAGGUUGUCAUUACUCGUUGUUCAUCAAGGUUCUAUCACUGAUGCCUUCUUGUUCAGCCGGUAUCUUUGACAAAAAAACCAAAGAAAUAGUCGCAAUUUAGACUAUUCUUUCUCCAAUGCUUCAGGUCCUCAUACUAUUUAGAAACUUUCAGAGUAAUAUGCAGAACUCCUUCUACUUGAAUAUCAUCAAUCCAUUAUCGUUAUUUCAAUGAAAAAUGCUUGAAAAAGAUUAUCAAAAUGGGCAAGAUGAAACUUUGUCGAGAGCAAAGCUUGAAAUGAAUGAAUCAAUCAAGAUAACAAAUUUUGCUAGAAUACAAAAUGAGAAUAAAUUAAUCAAGAUAGCGUAUUUUGUUAAAAAUACAAAAAAUGAAUAAAAUGGAAAUAGGUGCCUCAGAUAUCGUAUCAUGAGCUUUUCUGCCCCAAACUUCUUGAGGACCCUUUUGAACUUGAUAUGUGUUUAGAAGUCCUAGAAGACUUUGUUGAUGCCCCAAGAUGUAGCAUCUCUCCUUCUUAUUAAUUCGGAGAGGACAAGACUACCGCAUGCCCCACCUUCGAUCAAAAUUUGAACUGCCCAUUUCUGGGUUUUCAAUUCAAAACCCCUUUGGUCUCAAGGCGCCCUUUGCGGGUUUUCACCUUAGCCCCUCUUUUUUCUUUUUUAUUCUUCUUUUCUUUUCUUUUUUCUUUUGGUUUCUUUUUUUUCCAGUGAAGCAUUUAUUGCUUGAAUCAGAAUUCUCAAGAUUAGACGGGUUCUUGCCAUCCAUCUUGGUCAAUAUCGACAUUUUUUCAGAUAAGGCCUUCCACAUAAGGUCCUUUCCAAUUUGGCAUCCACUUUCCUCUGAAGUCCUUUUGUAUGGGAAGGAUCUUCUUCGAUAUCAGGUCCCCCUCAUGGAAUUCUCUAGGGUGAACCUUUUUUGGUAAGCUCACAUCAUUCACUUUUGGUACAUUUGACCAUGACAGAUAGCUUUCAACCCUUCCUCUUCGAUCAAAUUUAACUGAUCAUAUCGGGCUUAAAUCCAUUCUGCUUCAUCCAACUUCAACUCUGACAAGACUCGAAGGGAAGAAAUAUCACCUUUGAUGGGUAAGACUGCCUCUAUUCCAAUACCAAUGAGAAAUGAGUUGCCCUGGUAGAGGUUUUUUUUGUUGUUUCUUUUGUUUUUAUUUUUUUUGUUUUGUUUUGUUUUCUGGCCUUCACUGAACCAUUCAUUUUGGGGUGACAUGGUGUUAAUCUUGAACAGACUGCAAACUUCUGAUAUCGUGCUGUUGUUCAAAUUUAGUGCAUUGUCAGAUAUGAUCCUUUUUGGCAUUCCAUAUUGACAUAUGAUUCUUCAAGAAAUUUGCUGAUUGUCAGCUUUGUGAUAUUGGCAUAUGAAACAGCUUCCACCCACCUAGUGAAGUAAUCAAUGACCACAAAGAUGACUUGAUGAUCACCAUGAGCUUUUGGCGAGAUCAGCUCAAUGACCUCCAUGCCCCACAUAGAGAAAGACCAUGGAAAAGUCAUAACAUGAAGAGAUAAAGGAGCCACAUAAAUCUUGUCUCCACAAAUUUGGCACUUAUGGCAUUUCUUGGUAUAACUGAUGCAAUCCUCUUCCAUGCUGGACCAGCAGUACCUAUAUCUCAUGAUUUACUUGGCCAUUGCAAAAUCAACGCAUGUGUUCCUCGACACCUUCAUGGACCUUUUCCAAUAUUUCUUAGUCUCAACAACGUCCACACGCCUUAGCAGCUCAUGCAUAUCUUGAUCAUGCAAAAACAUCUUUAAAUUCUUGAAGUAACUUAAUGACAUCUCGCUUUAUCUCUAUGGUAAUACAGGCUCCGAUCUUCACCUCUUUCUCUUCUCCUAAACUCACAAUUUCCACAAUUUUUUUUGUAAGUUAGGAUAUGUUUCUCGACUUAUUCUACCAUCCUUAACAAUCAGAAGAUAAGCUACAGUCUCGGUCAUCUUCAAAGUCCUGAGGCUCAUCUGGACACAUAUCUUGCUCAAAAGGAGAUUCUGAGUCAAUAGCAUUGUCACUCAUAUCAUUGAUAACUAGAGACCUAUUAUAGGAACAAAAGAAGACUCAAAGAACCAAUGAAUCAAAGGGAAAUUAUUUGUGUGGUAUGAGUAUGAAUGAAAUGAAAGGAACAAAAGAAUGUUUGCCAAAACAAGACACAAAGAUGCAUUUCGUUGAAAUAAAGAAUAGUGGACAUGUGGCUUUUUCACAAAAGGAUUUUCUAUUGCUCCCAGGCUUAGAGCAAUAAGAGCGUUCCAAAUGUUACUCCGAAAUGGUCCCAAAAAUUACAAGAAUCUCCUCCACAGUCCAGUUGUUUAGAACGCCUCUAGGGAUGUAGAAACAAAUUCCUGAUAGUUUUUUUUGUUCCUUUUCUAGGCACAAACAUCUUUCCUUUCCAUACCAUCGAUACUUUCAAAGAAUUCCAAUUCUUUAUCAUCCAUCUGGCUACGCACUAAAGUUCUAAAUACGACGUACUUUUAGAUUUUAGGAAAUUUAGUGUAUGCAAUGAAAUGUAAUGUUGAUGCAUGAAUGCAAAAAAAACGUUGAUUCUUGGUUCAAUUCUAUUAGAACAACUUUAUUAGAAAACAAAUCUCUUCACAUAAAGUGGAUAUAUAUACAGUUUUGCCCUCAUAUGCGGAGACAUUCGAUCCUCUUCUUCAUUCGAGCGUUAAGAUAAAUUUCACGAACUCUUCAAAAGGGAUGUCUCUUCUAUUUUCUUUUUCCUUGAUCUGGGUCGCGACUCGUUGCUCACUCAUCCUCGUGAUGCUCGUUGGCUUUAAAAAAGUUCAAUGGCUCUCGAAUAACCUUUGUCAUCUUGAAUCCUCGGGCAACAAAGCAAAGUCGUGUAAUCCUCCAUUAAACUAUCAUCCUUCUCUUAUCACGUUUUCUUGGACCAUAUUCGGACAACCGUAUUGUCAUCCACUUUAUCAAGAAACCCAUUUUCUUAUGACAAGCUCUCUAUUUAGCAACUGACUGUGAAUCAACACCUCUUUUUUAUUAUGAAAAUGUAAUGCAAUCAUAACCAAAACAAAGAAAACAGGUUAGUACAAAGCAAAAACAAGCAAGAAUAAGUAGAACAUCUAUUCGGGUGACCACUAAGGGUUUGAAGUGGUUCUACCUAGGGUAAGCUCUUAGGUUCACUAUAUACGGUUUGGCUCUAAAGUAAGGGUACUUGAACCGGCAGAUUUCUCGAUCCUCACCCAUUAUAGACUCAUACGGACCAAGUUCGGUUCAGGGGAAUACAUUUCCUUAUGGCUACACGGAGAUGAAAAUCUCCCGAAGACAUAAGUACGGAUGUAUCCUGGAAGCGAUCCACUAUCCUACACGGAGGUGAAAACCUCACGAAGGACUAGUUUUUCACUCCCACUUAGAAGGGUGUGACCCACGGUCAUGUAAUAUAAUGCAGCAGUAUACCAAACUUAAACUACCACAGCAAUCAAAUUAUGAUAAUAAAAAUUGAAAUAAAGACAAAUGAAAUGCAAUGAAAGGAUCAUAAAUUUAAACCAAAUCUUCAAUUUUCGAUGAAAAGGCAAAAAGUAAUCAACUCGUGGCUUGACUUUCGUAAAUCUCGUCCUAGCGGAGUCGCCAAGCUGUUGACACCAUUUUUUUGAUAAAACGGGGUCGACUUGGAUUUUGAAAAUGAAAACGAAAAAAACAGGAGUCGCCACCAAUCCUUUUUUUAUAAGGUGUGAUCGGAUCACCUUGAAAAGUGGUUAUUUUUAAUAAACGAUUUGAUUUUAUUAAAACAACGAUUUUGGUCCACGAAAUUCAGAAAAACGGGUUCGGAAGUCGGUUACGUACGAGGAAGGAUUAGCACACUCGUAACGCCCAAAAAUUGGUACCUAGUUGAUUAGUUAAUGCCUUAAUGUCGAAGAUUGAAAACUUUAAAGAGAUUUAGAGUACGAUCCUAAAAAAACUCGAACGACAUGGAUUGAGAUUUAAGAGGAUAUUAGGCUAUUUGGUUCAACGAGAAAUCGAAACCCAGCACGUCAGGGCACGUUUUCUCGAAUUUUCAAACGCAAAAUAUCGCUUUAUUUUGAAAUUUUAAAAGGAUAUUUUAGCUAUUUGGUCGAACGAAAAAUCAAAACCCAGCACGUUAGGGCACAUUUUCUCGAAUUUCCAAAUGCAAAAUAUUGCCUUAUUUUGAAAUUUUAAAAAUAUAUUUUAGCUAUUUGGUCGAACGAAAAAUCGAAACCCAGCACGUUAGGGCACGUUUUCUUGAAUUUCCAAACGUGAAAUAUUGCCUUAGUUUGAAAUUUUAAAAGGAUAUUUUAACUAUUUGGUCGAAUAAAAAAUCAAAACCCAGCACGUUAGGGCACAUUUUCUCGAAUUUCCAAAUGUAAAAUAUUGCCUUAUUUUGAAAUUUUAAAAGGAUAUUUUAGCUAUUUGGUCAAACGAGAAAUCAAAACCCAGUAAGUUAGGGUGCGAUUUUUCGAAUAUCGAAAUACAAAAUAUAUUGAAUAAAGUAAAAUAUGAUGUCGUGAAAAAUGCGAAAACAAAUUAUAUUGGAUACGCAUAACAAAACAAUAAUAAAUACGAUGGUUAAAAAUAAUAGGAGCGAUAAUAACGAAAAAAUAAGAUAAAUAAAGAGACAAAUUAAUAGCAUAAAAAAUAAAAAUGAAAUGAAACAUUCUUUUUUUUUAAAUAAUAAUGAAAGCGUAAAUAAAUAAGUAAAUAAAGAAAAUGAAUAUAUAUAAAAGAAGAAGAUAUAUAAGUAUGUAUAUGUAUAUAUGUAUAUUAAAAUUAUAAAGUAUAUAAAAAUAUAUAUAAUUAUGUAUAUAUAUAUAUAUAUGAAAAUUUAAAAAAUGUGUACGUAUGUAUAUAUAUGACAAAAUGUAAGUAUGUACAUAUACAACAAAAUUUGAAACUAAAAAUGACAUAAAUAAGUAAAUCAUAACAAUAAUAAUAAUAAUGAAAUAUAAUAGUAAUAAUAAUAUUAAAAUAAUUAAUUCAAUGCUAAAAUAACUCUAAUAACACAUAUGGGAUUCAAUAAAAAAUAGUUUAAAAAUAAUAAUAAAAAUAACAGACCCAGGACUGAAUUGGAAAAUAAAUAAAAUAAAAGGGGAAAAUUUUAAAGAGAAAAAAAAUCUGGACCCGAACAAAACGUGCGCAAAGAAAUGGGGACCGAUUGGGAAAAUACCCCUAGCCUUGCACACAGCGUUUUAACGGAUUAAAAAGAAAUAAGUAAAAAGAUAUAGGGCCAAAUUAAAUGAAAAGAAAAAACAGAAAAGGACCAAAUUGCAACACUUCGCGAAGGAGGAAGGACUGCGCGCAUAAUUAUACCAUUUAGGUAAACACGCGGAUCCUUUGCCUGGAGCGGGUCGGGUUGCGGGUCGGCCUCCCCAAAACGAUGUCGUUUUAUGUCUGUGGAGGCCACCCAAAACGCUGCCGUUUCAGCUCUCCAUUUAAGCCCUCUGUUUAUUUUUUUGUUCAUUUAUUCCCCCCAUUAGAAAAAAAUCCAUGCCUUCCGGCGGUUGGGCUUCUCACCGCCGUUCAUCGUCCGGCGCACCGCCACUAAACCGACGGCCGACAAAGCGUGAUGAAGGGAUUUUAAAGCCCGACUCUAGGCGAGCUAUGAGGUCGGGCUUCGACUGGAGGAGACGAAGAGCCUUGCACCCCAUUUUCAAACCCGAUUUCGAUGACGGCGAGAGGACAUCCGUCGACGGAGCUACAAAAAGAUUCAGGUGCGCUCCUUUUCUUUUUUUGUUAUUAUUUCUAUACUUUUCUUAUUAAAAUGAAGUUGUAAAAAGAAAAAAAGAUAACAAAAUAAAAUGAAAUAAACGAAUCGAAAACAGUAAAUGUUUAACCAUUUUGAACUUUUAUUUUUGCUAUUUUGAUUUCUAAUGUGCGUAAAAAAAUACGAAGAUGAUGUUCGGGCUCUUAUAGCCGGAUUAAACAACUCUUAGGUUCUAUUUUUUUGUCGUUUUGCCAUUGUUUCUUCCACUGUUGCGUGCGGGUCUUCAUUUUGCAGGCGUCAGACCGUCGGCAGUGGCAGAAGGCGUGCGUAAGGAGGCUGGGAGUGCAGGUAGAGGACUAGGGCGCGGCGCACAUAAGGCUGGGUGUAAUACCCAAUUUAUGCCCGGCCCAUUUUGUUAAACCAAAUAAAAAAGAAAAGAAAAACAAAAUAUUUAAGUUUAGCCCAAAUGUCCAUUUACACAGACCAAUUACAAUUACAAUUAAAAAAAAAACUAAAACUAAACCCGAUCCUAAGCAUCAGCCCGAAUUCGACCCAUGCCAAAAACGAAUUCAGAUGCAGAAACCCUAGCCCAGCCUCAACGCAAGCAAAAGUUGGAAGCCCUAAUGGUUGGUGUGCCGCUCCUGCCUUCAGCACGCGUCGAGCCUCCACGCCACGCACGCCCCAACUAGCCUCUGUACUUGCCACGUCCCCUAACACCAUAUGCCGUACCUGCGAACGCAAACAAAACACAGCAGAGAGAACAAAUAUUAUUAUUAUUUACUUUUUAUAUUCGGCUAUAAGAGGAGAUAGAAGAGGAUUGUAAGUUUUUUUUACGGAGAUUUGAAAUAGAAAUCAGAGAAAAAUUUAGAAUACGAAAGGUGAUUCAAACUUUUGUUUUGUUUUUUGGUUUUCGUCUGUUAAUCCCUUUUUUUUUGUGUUUCAGGUGACUGAUUGUUCAGCAAAGGUUAAGGAAAAAACAAUAAAAAGAAAAGAGAGAACGUACCUGGCUCCGACUUGCCUUCUACUUCGUCGUAAUCGGAGCCGGAAGGAGGUUAUAGGCGACACGGCCCACCAACGGAGCUCCGUUCACUCCGUCUGAAAUCGGAGAUGAAUGGGGAUUUCGGGAUUGCGGCGCAUAGGGUAGAAGAAACCAUUUUUUAGGGUUUCUUAGUUUUUUUGAAAAAGAGAUUGAAAAUCUGUUGGUUUUAGGCUUAGUUUAGCCUUUAUUUACUGAAAGAAAUGACGCCGUUUAGGGGUUUAUGGCCAUAACCCGAUGACCCGACCCGAGCGUGGUAAGACCCGCGCGUUUUGGUCUUGAAGGGGACAUUUGCGCCAUCAGUCCCUCUGAUUUGUUUCGUAGUUUCAAUCUGAUCUUUCUUUAUUUUCUAAAUUGGUCCCAUAUGUUCGACUUGAUUAUGCUUUGGUCCCUGUUGAAACAAAGCGUUUUGGAGCUGAGGAUAUUUUCAUCUUUAGCCCCCAUGUUAUUCGCGCGUGCCCUUUUUGGUCCUCAAUUCUGCUUUAUUUUCAUUUUUUCCUUUUCAUUUCGAAUUUAAUACAAUUUUGUCCAUACUUAUUUAAUUUAAUGUACUUGGUUUUUAUGCUGUUUACAUUUUUAUUUUUUUUCUUUUUAUUUUUUUGAUAUAUUUAUUUUAAAAUUUAACUCUUUUUUGUUUAAGUUUAAUAUAUUUUUAAUUUUAUUAAUACUAUUUCAAUAUUAUAAUAUAUUAUUAUUGUGAAUCUAUCAUUAUUAUAUUAUAAAUUUACCAUGUUUUAUUGUUCAAAAUUUAUUAUAUAUCAUUAUUUACAGUUCCACAUUUUUAUAUAUAUUUUCAUGUAAAUCCAAUAUGUUUUAUAUACAUUUCAUAUUUUAUUCUAUAAUAUAUUUCCUCUAAAUUCACUAAUUACAUAUCUUUAGAUUUGUAAAUAAUUUUUAUAAUGCUAUUAUACAAUAAUAUUAUAUGCGUACAUAUUUCAUAUUAAAUUAUUUUCAUUAUCCAUACAUACAUAAUCUAUUAUUAAUUUCAUAUUAUUAUAUAGAUAUUUUAUCCCUUUCAAAUAUUUUCACAUUUUUAAUUUAUUUCAACUUAUUUCAAUAUUGUUACUUUAUUUAAAUUAUUUUAACAUUUUAAUUCAUAUAUUAUACUUAUUUCUUAAAUUGUGUUUAAAUUUGUAUAUUUCAUUAGUGUUUAUGUAAAUUUACUUGGCUUCAAUUAGUCUUCUAUUACUUGCCAAUGUUGGUAUUCGUAUGAUAUAUGGUUGAGAUAAUUAUUGCCAUGCUUCUUUGAAUUUAUUUAUUGAUUAUUGAUUAUUCAUUAAAGUACAUUCUAAUUUACAAAUCACCAUUUAGCGUUGUACAUUACUAUUUCAUUGUUAUUUGUUCAAAAGAUUACGUUCAAUAUCAUUCAAAUACCAAGAGCAUUUUUAUUCAAAAAGUAUUCAAAAAUCUUCAAAAUACUCGAAGUUUGGAAUCCUCGAGAGAAUUGAGCCCUAACGUAUUAGGUUCCAAUUUUCCCCGUCGAAUCUAAAUAAUCAAAAAUUUUCAAACAUACAAAUCUCAAAUAAAAACUCAUUCUUGGGAAUUCGACACGUUGUGUCCUAACGCAUUGGAUAUGACAUGUUAUUUUCUCGAGACGAGGAUUUUAAAAAUAAAGGCAAUGUUCGAUAUUUAGGAAUUUUGUGAAAUCGAACCCUAACUUACUGGGUUUUGAUUUUCUCAUUUGACCCAAAUAAUCUGAUAUCCUUCUCAAAAUGCAUAGGUUUUAAAAGUCAAAGGGUAAACUUAACUUUGAAGAUUUGAAAUAUUGCACUCUAACUUAUUGAGUGUGACAAUUUAUUUCUUUGGAAUAAGUGAACCUUAUCAUCCAAUUAAGUUUAUUCAAGAUAAAAGGAUCGAAUUUAAAAAUCUUUUCAAAAUUUCGACAUUAAGACAUUAAACAAUCAAUUCGGUACCAAUUUUGGGCGUCACGAUGGUGCUAACCCUUCCUCGUGCGUAACCGACUCCCGAACCCAUUUUCUCAAAUUUUGCAGACCAAAAUCAUUUUCAAGGUGAGUCGAUCACACCUCAAUAAAGGAUCGGUGGCGACUCCUAUUUUCCUUUUCAAGUCGAUUCCCGUUUUUUCGAAUUUGAAAAUUGGUUUCGACAGCUUGGGGACUCCACUGGGGACUUUAGAGAGCCAAGCCAUAAAAUUGAUUGUUUUCUGUCUUAUUAUCGAGAUUUGAUUUGAAAAAUUACGACCUGUUCUUUGCACUUGCUUGCAUGAUUAUUGUAAAUUGACUCGUAUAUUUUGGCAUCAUAUUGCAUAAGACUGUUUAGUCUUGUCCUUUUAAUUGGAAGUGAGAAGCUAAUCUUUCGUGAGGUUUUCACCUCCGUGCAGGAUAGUGAAUCACUUUAAGGAUACAUCCGUACCUAUGUCUUCGUGAGAUUUUCAUCUCCAUGUAGCCAUAGGGAAAUGUAUUCCCCUAAACCGAACUCGGUCUGUAUGAGCCUAUAAUGGAUGAGGAUCGAGGAAUCUACUGGUUCGGGUACCUUGACUUUAGAACCAAACCUCAUAUAGUGGACUUAGGAACUCAACCUAGGUAGAGCCACUCCAAAUCCCUAGUGGUUACCUGAUUAGGUACUUUCUGUUUUCCUUAUUUACUUCUGUUUUGUACUAACCCCUUUUAUUGUGUUUUGAUUGUGAUUGCAUUGCAUUUGCAUCUUAGGAAAGAGAUAUUGAUUCAAGUCCAACUACUAAAUUAGAAAGCUUGUCAUGGGAUACAGAUUCCUUGAUAAAGUGGAAAUCAAUACAGCUACCUUAAUAUAUUCUGAAAAACAUAUGGAAGAGUUCGUGACCUUGCUUCGUAGCCAGAGGAUUCAAGGUGAUUGUCUAAGAGCCUUCGACGUUCCAACUAUCUUAAAGAAGCUGACGAGCUUUAUAAAGAUGGGCAGGUGAUGGAUCGCAACUAAGAUCAAGAAAAGGAGCUAGCAGUGGCAUCUAUUGGAAAUUGGUGAGAUUAUCUCAAACAUGCAGAUGAAGAAAAGAUCGAUGUUGUUUCUUGGACUAUGAGGGUGAGGCCGUACAUGUAUCUGUUUUGUGUAAAGGAAUUUGCUUUCUAGAAAAGUUUCCUAAAUGUAAUUGAAUUAGAAUCAACGUCUCUGUAGGCAUGCAUUUCAAACAUCUGCAUCGUAUGCAUUAAAACCCAUUGAAAGAGUCUAAACGAGUAAAUUUGUUUCAGCUAAUCUGGAAAACCAAUCAACCAAACAUCCUUACGGUACUCAUCGCAAAGCCAAAGAAAUGGAUCAAAGAUUAGAGAAAUUGGAGCAAAUGCAAAAAGAAAUACAAGAUCAGCUAUAGAAACAAAUGAAAGAGCAAUUGGAAAAAAUUCAACAGGACAUGACAAAAAGGAUGCGGGAGUCUCAAAAGGACAUGAUAACUGAGCUGACACAAUUACUAAAAGGAAUAAAUAAGGGGAAAGGCCCUAUGGUAAAUGAUGAAGGAGAAGACAAGGAUAGACCUAUCUAUCCUCUAGGCCUUACGCCUUUGCAUGCGUAGAUUCAGACCUAGGUACCUCGGCGCAGAUCCUCUGUUGCAAUUGAGCCUCAGCGGUUUCAAACCGAUGUUUCAAUGCCGAUGAACUUUCAGGCUGGAUCAGGUUCUAAUCCUAGAGGUAACCCAGUGAAUCUUGUUAUUCCUGAUUUCGAUGAAAUGGCUGAAAAAGAGAAGGCAAAGGUCGAACUGUCGAAACAAUGGGAGGAUAGGUGUAAAUGGUUGGAGGAAAAAUUCAAAGCCCUGGAAAGUGCUGACAGUCACCAUAGAAUCGAUGCAAAAGAUCUGAGCUUGGUUCCAGACUUAGUACUCCCUCACAAGUUUAAGAUGCCUGAAUUUGAGAAAUAUAGUGGGACCAAUUGCCCAGAAGCCCAUAUCACCAUGUUCUGUAGGAGAAUCACUGGGUAUAUUAACAAUGAUCAGCUCUUAAUACGUUGUUUUCAGGAUAGCCUCAUUGGAGCAGCAUCGAAAUGGUACAAUCAGUUGAGCCGUACCGAUAUUGGUUCAUAGAGGGACCUAGCACAGGCCUUCAUAAAAUAAUACGGUCAUGUAAUGGAUAUGGUUCCUGACAGAAUCACCUUGCAAAAUUUGGAAAAUAAAUCAAAUGAAAGCUUUAGACAGUAUGCAUAGAGGUGGAGAGAGGUUGCAGUCCAAGUCUAGCCGCCACUCCUAGAGAAAAAAAUUAUGAUGCUCUUUAUCAACACUUUGAAGGCCCCGUUCAUCACUUACAUGUUGGGAAACGCUUCGAAGAGUUUUUCAGAUAUAAUCAUGAAUGGCGAAAUGAUUGAAAAUGCCAUAAAAAUGGAAGAAUAAAUACUAGAGAGAGUAACAAAAAAUCAGUGGCAAGGAGAAAAGGGGAUGACAUGAAUAACAUAAGUUACUCAAGGUCAGUAAGUCAUCCAGGUAAAGGGGUCACUAGUCAACAAGGUUCAUUGAGACAAGAAUCUGGAGUGAAACCAAGUACUGAGAAGCUCCAGUUUACACCAAUUCCGAUGACGUAUAAUGAGCUGUAUCAACGCUUAUUCGAUGUGCGCGUUGUUGCCCCUUUUUACUCAAAACCCCUGCAACCUCCGUACCCCAAGUGGUAUGAUGCAAAUGCACAGUGCAAUUAUCAUGCGAGAAUUGGGGGACAUUCGAUAGAAAAUUACACUGUCUUUAAAAAGCUUAUUGAAAGGCUCAUUAACAUGGAUGUUGUCAAGCUUGAUGACUCUAGUGUAGAAAAUCCGUUACCCAAUCAUAUUUGAUAAUGGAGUGAAUGCAAUGCAUGAAGAAGAGUGGGAAAUGUUACAUCAACGAAAAGCAACUGAAGAAGGGACCUUGUAAAUUUGGGAGUGUUCUAAGCAAUUGGGCUGCGGAAGAAAGCCCUGUAGUUUUUAGAACUUAUUUAGAGCAAUGUUCAGAAAAUUUUUGUUAUUUUUAGCCUAAAAAUGAUAGAAAUUCCUUUGUGAAAUAGGCUAAUGUCUGAACGUCAUUAUUCUAAUAAAAUACAUCUUUGCAUUCAUUUUUGAGCUAAUUCUUUCCUUCUUUUUGAAUAAUUACUCAUUUAUUGUUUUAAAUUAUCUUCCACAUCAUUCUUUCAUUCAUAAUUAUAUGGUACAAAUAAUUAUUCAUGAAUUUAUACAUUCUUUUGUACAUUCUUCGGUACUUAUUAUGGGUUCCCAGAUAUCAAUUACGUGAAUGACUCUGCUACAGACCCAGAUUUUCCUUUUGAACGAGGCAUAUGUUUAGAGGGAUUUCGUGACUUUGAAAAUGACAUGGAUUGUAACCUAUCUUCUGACUUGUUGAGGAUGGUAGAGAGGAAAUUUUACCCUACAAGGAGAUAAUAGAGAUUGCGACCUCAAAGAAACGUGCAUGGCCGGAGAAACAAAGUAGGGCCUCGUCGAGUCACCUCUAGAGUUCAAAGAGGCCUUUGUAUGGUCAUACCAGGAUACGUCCGGGUUAACCGUUGAUAAUGAAAUCUGCACAACAGCACGAUGGCAGAACUUUACAGUAUGAACGAUGCAAUUCUUUGUCGGGGCAAUGCCUUUCUCGUUGGCUCAGCAUAGCUUCGCCCAUUUACAGUCGAGUUUUCAUCUCUUCAAGUUUUGUUGGAUCUUAUCCUGAUGGAAGAGGAAGAUCAAAAGUUUUCAGUCACAGUGUCACCCCAAAAGGCUCUAUGAAGGAAAUCUGAUAUCAAAGAAGAUUCUUAGAAAGGGAUAAUGAGGACUUGCCUAACCCUAUGAGCUCAAAAAAAAAUCAAAAAACAAAGAAGAACAAGAAAAAUCAAAAUCAAGCUCAAAAUGAAAAUGAGAGAAAAAUAAAGAAGAACGAAAAAGAAAAAAUCUAGAUGAAAAAAAUCAAAAUAAAAAUGAGAAAAAGAAAAGAAAAGGAGAGGCUAAGGCGAAAACCCGCAAAGAGCACUUUGUGACCAAAUCUGGUUUUGAGUUGAAAACCUGAAAAGGGCGACUUAAAUUUUGAGCAAAAUAGGGCAUGGACAUCUCCAUCAUUGAAGGCUUUUAAUGGGCAUUGCUUCACUGUUGAGGUCAUUAAUUACUUCAUCAAAGGGAUAGAGGCUGCUUCGUACGCUAAUGUCGUCAUAUGCUUAUUCCAGAGAAGAUGAUAUUGGAAAAUGUAUUGAACUUGAACAAUAGCAUGAUAGUUGAGGCCUGCAAUCAAUUCAGAAGCAGACACCACGUUUCGUCACUAAAUUGCUUAGAGAUGAACAAUGACUGGCAUGAGAAAUUACCAUUUGCCCUCAUUGUUUGUCGAACAUCUGUUCUGGGGCAACACCUCUCCUUGGUUUACAGGAUUGAUGUAGUUUUACCUAUUGAAAUCCCCUCUCUCCGGGUAUUAGAGUUGGAGGGAUCCAAUCACGAUGUGAUCAGUUGGACCUAGGAAAAAGGUUAAAAGCUAUUCAUCAGGGUCGCAUGUACCAAAAACAAAUGAUACGAGCCCAUAAUAAGCAGGGUCGUCUCAAAGAAUUCCAUGAGAGGGCUGGAUGUUGAAAAGAUCCUUCCUCAACAAAAGGAUUAUAGAGGGAAAUGAAUGCCAAAUCGGGAAUGUCCCUAUGUUGUAAAAAAGAAUUUUUUCAGAAGAGCACAGAUUCUGAGUGAGAUUACUAAUCCUAUAAACUCAGAUCCAGUCAAGAAAUACUUCGUUUAAAGAAGAAAAAAGUGACCAAGGUGAAGACUCGCAGAGGGCACUUUGAGUAAAAAAAAAGAACAAAAAAGAGAAGAAGAAUGAAAAUUGAAAAAAUGAAAAAUAAAAAAGUAAAAAUGGAGAGGCUAAUGUGAAAACCUGCAAAGGGUGCCUUGAGACCAAAGGGGAUUUGAGCUGAAACCCGAAAAGGGCGGCUCAAAUAUUGAUUAGAAUGGGGCAUGAAGCGAUUAGAGCAACUCGUAUCUUGAUCAGAUUAGGGCAUGUGGUAAUCUUGUUAUAUCUGAAUCAACAGGAAAUGGUAGGCGACAUCUUGGGGCAUCGACAAAGCACUGUAGAUCUCUCAAACACAUAUCAAACUCAAAAGGUUCAGAAAGUUUGUACAGAGAAGUUCAAGCUGCAAUAUCUAGGGCACCCAAUUCUCAUAUUAUUAUUUGUUGUUCUUGGAAUAUUUUUUUCUUUUCCAAGAUAUACAUUCCCAAUUAAUUCCUUUGUCAUCCUUCUUUACCAUUUUCGAUAAUUCGUUCUUUCGAGCUAUGCUCAGAACCAACUUUAUUCUUAUCCAUUGUUAUGACCUUUUUUGCAAACAUGUUGCGUUGGAAUAAUGAUUAAUGGACUAAUAAAAAUUUCACAAAGGAAGUUUUGCAUAUUACUCUGAAAAGUUUCUAAAUAAUAUAGGAGCCUGAAACAGGACUAUUGUUUAGAGCACACCAAAUUUAAAGAUUGGAAAUUUGAGAAGGAAGAGUCUAAAUUUGGACUUUCUCUUUGGAUUUUGUUGUCAAAUGCAUUGAUUGGCAAGAUGCCAUGUUGGUGACAAAGCUUAAGUAAACAAGCAAGCAAUGAUCACCAGGCAAGAGGAAGAGGUUACCUCAGAGAAAAGAGCCUUCAUCUGCACAUAAGUCUUUGGUACGGCACCUUGUGAAUGGUGCAAGGAACUCAAACGAUUUAGAUUCUAUAUCCUUGAAUUGUGAUAAGAGAUGAUUGAGGAAAAGCCACCUAUUUCUACCCUUGGAUUGCAGUGGGAGAAUGAUGGCACAAAUUGUGCGCCCUAAUGGAUUAAACUUUAAGGUUUACAGUGGAGGCAACCUGGCUAAAUGUUUUUCAGAAAAGCCGGUCAAGCGAGAAGGCGUUGUAACACGUCAGUGUUAAAACCUUGAUAAAUUUCGAGUAAUGACAACCUAAGCGGGAUCAUUCUCAGAAAAAUAAAAUUCUGCAUUCAUGCAAACACUAUUCAUAUGUCUAGUUAGGAGCAUUUGAUUCAAUUUGAUCAUGCCAUCCUAAUCAUUAGGCAUAAUUAGGUUCAUUAUACAGGUCAUGUUCCCCAGAGAACAAAUCUGGGAAAUUACAGAUCUUGUCUCCCUAAGCAAUAGCGGAGCAGAUCGAAGACGGCAAAUCUUAUCUCUCUAAUGUUACAGCGGAGCAGAUUGAAGCUAGUAUUCCUAUCUCCCUGAGAUUAUUGUGGAGCGGAUUAAAAUAAAGGAUCUUAUCUCUCUGAAGUUACAGUAGAAUAGAUCGCAUCAGAUUGAAGCCAGAAAUCUUAUCUCCCUAAGAUUACAGCGGAGCAGAUUGAAGCUAGUAAUCUUGUCUCCCUGAGAUUAAAGUGGAGCGGAUUAAAAUAAAGGAUCUUAUCUCUCUGAAGUUACAGUAGAGUAGAUCGCAUCAGGUUUUAUCUCCUUGAGAUUAUGGUGGAAUAGACCGAAGAAUUACAGAUCUUAUCUCCCAAGUGAUGUAGUGGAACAGAUUAAAGCCACAUCGGUGAAUCUUGCUUCCCCGACAUUGCAGUUAAAAAGAUUAAAGCCACAGCGGCAAAUCUUACUUCUCUAGCGAUGCAGUGGAGCAAAUUAAAGCUACAUCGGUGAAUCUCACUUCUCCGACAUUGCAGAUUAAAGCCACAGCGGCGAAUCCUACUUCCUUGGCGAUGUCGUGGAACAGAUUAAAGCCACAACGGUGAAUCUUGCUUCCCCGACAUUGCAGUUAAAAGGAUUAAAGCUACAACAGCGAAUCUUACCUCCCAAGCAAUGCAGUGGAACAGAUUAAAGCCACAACGGUGAAUCUUGCCUCCAUGACAUUGCAGUUAAAAAGACUAAAGCUACAACGGCGAGUGUUACUUCCCUGGCAAUGCAGUGAAGCAGAUUAAAGCCACAACGGUGAAUCUUGCUUUCCCGACAUUGCAGUUAAAAAGAUCAAAGUCACAAUGACAAAUCUCACUCUCUCAGCCAGUGCAGUAGAGCAGAUUAAAGCCACAACGGUGAAUCUUGCCUUUCCGACAUUACAGCUAAAAGGAUUAAAGUCACAACGACGAAUCUUACCUCCCAGGAGGUGCAGUGGAACGAAUUAAAGCCACAAUAGUGAAUCUGGCCUCCCUGACAUUGCGGUUAAAAAGAUUAAAGCUACAGUAGUGAAUCUUACAUUCCAAGGCAGUGCAGUGAAGCAGAUUAAAGCCACAACGAUGAAUCUUGCUUCCCCGAUAUUUCAGUUAAAAAGAUUAAAGCCACGAUGGCGAAUCUUACUUUCCAAAAGUUACGAGUUACAAAUCCUAUCUCCCUGAUAUUACAGUGGAGUGGAUCGAAGCACUAAUUCCUAUACCUCUGAAGAUGCAGUAGGAUGGAAUGAGGCAACUCGAAGAAGAAGAGCACCAAGGUCUAUCACGACCGGGCAAAAUUGGCCCUUUUUAGUCUUUGUGUCAUUCCUGUUACACAACAAUGAGCAAAGAGGGGCAACUGUAAUACCCAAUUUAUGCCCGGGCCAUUUUGUUAAACCAAAUAAAAAAGAAAAGAAAAGCAAAAUAUUUAAGUUUAGCCCAAAUGUCAAUUUACACAGCCCAAUUACAAUUACAAUUAAAAAAAAACUAAAACUAAACCCGAUCCUAAGCAUCAGCCCGAAUUCGACCCAUGUCGAAAACGAAUUCAAAUGCAAAAACCCUAGCCCAGCCUCAACGCAAGCAAAAGUCGAAAGCCCUAAUGGUUGGUGCGCCGCUCCUGCCUUCAGCACACGUCGAGCCUCCGUGCCACGCACGCCCCAGCUAGCCUCUGUACUUGCCACGUCCCCUAACACCAUACGCCGUACCUGCGAACGCAAACAAAACACAGCAGAGAGAACAAAUAUUAUUAUUUUUAUUUACUUUUUAUAUUCGGCUAUAAGAGGAGAUAAAAGAGGAUUGUAAGUUUUAUUAUGGAGAUUUGAAAUAGAAAUCAGAGAAAAAUUUAGAAUACGAAAGCUGAUUCAAACUUUUGUUUUGUUUUUUGGUUUUCGUCUGUUAAUCCCUUUUUUUGUGUGUUUCGGGUGACUGAUUGCUCAACAAAGGUUAAGGAAAAAAUAAUAAAAAGAAAAGAGAGAACAUACCUGGCUCCGACUUGCCUUCUACUCCGUCGCAAUCGGAGCCGGAAGGAGGUUAAAGGCGAAACGGCGCACCAACGGAGCUCCGUUCACUCCGUCCGAAAUCGAAGAUGAAUGGGGAUUUCAGGAUUGCGGCGCAUAGGGGAGAAGAGACCAUUUUUUAGGGUUUCUUAUUUUUUUUGAAAAAGAGAUUGAAAAUCUGUUGGUUUUAGGCUUAGUUUAGCCUUUAUUUACUGAAAGAAACGACGCCGUUUAGGGGUUUAUGGCCAUAACCCGAUGACCCUACCCGAGCAUGGUAAAACCCGCGCGUUUUGGUCUUGGAGGGGACAUUUGCGCAAUCAGUCCCUCUGAUUUGUUUCGUAGUUUCAAUCUGAUCUUUCUUUAUUUUCUAAAUUGGUCCCAUAUGUUCGACUUGAUUAUGCUUUGGUCCCUGUUGAAACGCAUCGUUUUGGAGCUAAGGAUAUUUUCCUUUUUAGCCCCCAUGUUAUUCGCGCGUGCCCUUUUUGGUCCUCAAUUCUGCUUUAUUUUCAUUUUUUUCCUUUUUAUUUCGAAUUUAAUACAAUUUUGUCCAUACUUAUUUAAUUUAAUGUACUUGGUUUUUUAUGCUGUUUACAUUUUUAUUUUUUUUCUUUUUAUUUUUUUGAUAUAUUUAUUUUAAAAUUUAACUCUUUUUUGUUUAAGUUUAAUAUAUUUUAAUUUUAUUAAUACUAUUUCAAUAUUAUAAUAUAUUAUUAUUUUGAAUCUAUCAUUAGUUUAUUAUAAAUUUNNNNNNNNNNNNNNNNNNNNNNNNNNNNNNNNNNNNNNNNNNNNNNNNNNNNNNNNNNNNNNNNNNNNNNNNNNNNNNNNNNNNNNNNNNNNNNNNNNNNNNNNNNNNNNNNNNNNNNNNNNNNNNNNNNNNNNNNNNNNNNNNNNNNNNNNNNNNNNNNNNNNNNNNNNNNAAUGCUAUUAUAUAAUAAUAUUAUAUGCGUACAUAUUUCAUAUUAAAUUAUUUUCAUUAUCCAUACAUACAUAAUCUAUUAUUAAUUUCAUAUUAUUAUAUAGAUAUUUUAUCCCUUUCAAAUAUUUUCACAUUUUUAAUUUAUUUCAAUAAUUUUAAUUUAUUUAAAUUUAUUUUAACAUUUCAAUUCAUAUAUUAUACUUAUUUCUUAAAUUGUGUUUAAAUUUGUAUAUUUCAUUAGUGUUUUUGUAAAUUUACUUGGCUUCAAUUAGCCUUCUAUUACUUGCCAAUGUUGGUAUUCGUAUGAUAUAUGGUUGAGAUAAUUAUUGCCAUGCUUCUUUGAAUUUAUUUAUUGAUUAUUGAUUAUUCAUUAAUGUACAUUCUAAUUUACGAAUCACCAUUUAGCGUUGUACAUUAUUAUUUCAUUGUUCUUUGUUCAAAAGAUUACGUUCAAUAUCAUUCAAAUACCAAGAGCAUUUUUAUUCAAAAAGUAUUCAAAAAUCUUCAAAAUACUCGAAGUUUGGAAUCCUCGAGAGAAUUGAGCCCUAACGUAUUGGGUUCCAAUUUUCCUCGUUGAAUCUAAAUAAUCAAAAAUUUUCAAACAUACAAAUUUCAAAUAAAAACUCAUCCUCGGGAAUUCGACACGUUGUGUCCUAACGCAUUGGAUAUGACAUGUUAUUUUCUCGAGACGAGGAUUUUAAAAAUAAAGGCAAUGUUCGAUAUUUAGGAAUUUUGUGAAAUCGAACCCUAACUUACUGGGUUUUGAUUUUCUCAUUUGACCCAAAUAAUCCGAUAUCCUUCUCAAAAUGCAUAGGUUUCAAAAGUCAAAGGAUAAACUUAACUUUGAAGAUUUGAAAUAUUGCACUCUAACUUACUGAGUGUGACAAUUUAUUUCUUUGGAAUAAGUGAACCUUAUCAUCCAAUUCAGUUUAUUCAAGAUAAAAUGAUCGAAUUUAAAAAUCUUUUCAAAAUUUCGACAUUAAGACAUUAAACAAUCAAUUCGGUACCAAUUUUGGGCGUCACGAGGGUGCUAACCCUUCCUCGUGCGUAACUGACUCCCGAACCCAUUUUCUCAAAUUUCGCAGACCAAAAUCAUUUUCAAGGUGAGCCGAUCACACCUCAAUAAAGGAUCGGUGGCGACUCCCAUUUUCCUUUUUAAGUCGAUUCCCAUUUUUUCGAAUUUUAAAAUUGGUUUCGACACUGGGGAUUAGGGUUUUUUUGCUAAAAUGUUUUAGGUUUUUGGGCUUGUUGGGCUAGGUUUUAAUUUGGGCUAGUUUGGGUUUGAUUUGGGCAAUGUAUCUGGACUUGUUAGUUAUUUUGGUUAUUGGGUUAUUUUUCGUUUGGGCCCGGGCAAAAAUGGCCUAUUACAGGAGUUUUGAGUUCAAGUUGAGUAGAAUUUUACGAUUCAAAUAAUAGAUUGGUGUAAAUAUCCUUUCGGUCCCUGUCAAUUUUGAAAUUGAGUAAAUUGAUCUCUCUCAACAAAAAUUACAAAAAAAAAAAUCAAAAUAAUUUAUAAAUUAUUGAAAACCAUGUAUAUUGAAAACAAUGUCCAUGUUAAUUGAGUUAAUACUCAAUUGACAAUUAGAAUUUGUAAAUUUAACUUUUAAUAUUUUAGACACAUAUAGUAAAUCUCAAUGUAUAUUUUAGCGUAAUGAAUUUCUAUUUGUUUAAAGAUGCUUACGGCUCUCAACUGAGAUGCCUGAUUUCCCAACAUAUAUUUUACCUUGGUUCCAGCCUUGUAAAAUGCGGCAAAAUUUAACCUUUUGUGACACGUUCGGCAUCUUCUUACGAUACUUUUGAUAAAAUUAUGGCUAUAUAAACCCACCAUUUUCAUGUUCUUUGCACUAAGAAAUAGUAUAAUUACAAGGAUUAGUUAACAAAAGUAUAUGAAUAUGAAGGGUUUUCCCACUAUUUUUCUUUUUAUUUGCUUCGUUUUAGUUUUUACAAAUUGUUUCAUGGUGGAAGCAGAUACAUGCAAACCUAGCGGUAAGCUUAGAGGGAAAAAGCCUCCUCCAGGUAAAUGUAACAAAGGCCAUGAUUCUGAUUGUUGCCAAGAAGGCAAGUUUUAUAACACGUAUACAUGUUCGCCGCCGGUUUCAAGUCAUACCAAGGCAACCCUAACUCUAAACGGAUUCGGUCCGAAGGAGGACGGUGGCGGUCCAUGUGAAUGCGACAACAACUAUCAUAAAGAUUCAGAAUUGAUCGUGGCACUUUUGACGGGAUGGUUCAACAAGAAAAAACGGUGUAUGAAUUAUAUUAACAUUCACGGUAAUAGAAAAACUGUUAAAGCUAAGGUAGUCGAUGAAUGUGACUCCACGGUGGGGUGUGAUGAUGAACACGUUUACCAGCCUCCGUGUGCCAACAACAUCGUUGAUGCCUCAGAUGCAGUUUGGGAUGCCUUGGGAGUGUAUGGAGAUAAACGUGGCGAAAUGGAGAUAUACUGGUCUGAUGCUUGAUUAUAUUUUUCUGCCUCUCUGUAUUUGCCUUUGUUUCAAGCAAGGGUUGUGGUUCUUUACUCUUUAGCUAUAUGAUAUGUUGUCCUUAAUUAUAUCUAAGGCCUGAAAAUAAAGUUUUAAUUUUAACUAUUUGGUCCUUAAUCUAGGACCUUGUCCCCUUGCUUAAAUGGUCUAAUUCUAUUUAUGCGCUAUUAAAAUACAUUACUUUAAUUUAGUUCAUUUUAACACUUGUAUGAAAAUUUUUAUCUUUUGCCCUUUCUAAAAUUUUAAUUAUUCGAUUUAAAUCAUUCUAGGACCAAAUUUUUAAUUUGACCCUUAAAUUUUUAUUAUCAAUCAUAUGCAACAUUAUAUGAAGGCUAUCUACUCAGCAUAUAUCCAAGUUUACAGAUUUUAAUAGAAAAUACUUAACAAUCCUAAUGGUAAGACUAAGUUUUUUAAACUAGAAAAGUAAGAAGACUUAAUUUUUAACUUUUUAAGUACAAGGAUUAAAUUUUAAAUGUUGUCAAAGUACAAGCGCUAACAAAAUAUUUUGAUCUAAUAAAUGUAAAGAACUUUUUAAACAAAAUAAGGUUGAAAUAAUCUAUUUGUCCUUGUACUUUGAUAAAUUUUGAGAUUUAGCCUUUAUAUUUAAAAGGUUAAAAAUUAAGUCUUCUUGUUUUUAUUUAAAAAUCUUCGUCCUAUCGUUAAUAUUGUUUUUUUUUUUGUGUGUGUCAAAAUUUGCCAACUUUACAUAUUAAUUAGGUUUCCUUUAUAUGUCGUGAUAUAUGACUAACACAAAAUAAGCAAGUUGACAAAUUCUGACAAAAAAUAUCAAAGAUGAUAAUAAUUGGAUUAAAAUUUUUAAAUUGAAUUAAAAACCUUUAACGUAUAAGGAAUGGAUAUCAAAUAUUUAUAGGAAUAAAGGGACUAACAACAUAUUUUAACCAUAAAAUAAUAUGAGUGAUUAGAAUGAAUUAAUCUAAAAUUUUAUAGAAAUAAAAGAGACUAACAACAUAGUUAUAACUUUGAGAUCUCCUUCGAUCAUUCUUUUUCUACGUAGAAAAAGAAAAUUAAUUAGCAUCUAAAGUGUCAAUUAAUGAAACCUUCAAAAGAAAUGUGAAAGUGAUUUAUCAAACAAUAAUAUUCUAACUUAUAAUAUAUUUAAUUACAUUUAGUAAUUUAUUUUUACAUUUAGUUAUAACUUAUAAUGUGAGAUAUCUUUUUCUAAACGAGUUUUGUUUUCUUUUUAAAAUAUUUUUAAUAUUUUUGUGGAUAUCAAGAGAAACCAAAAAUUAUUUCACUAAGAAAUUUUAAUUCACUCGAAAAGUUAAUAUUUUAUUUUUGUGGAUAUCAAAAAUUAUUUCACUAAGGAAUUAAUUAGUGUUUUAUUUUAAGGGUUCACAAUUAAACAUUAGAUUUUUCAUUUUUAUAUUUUAAAAUUAUAUGAAAUUUUCUUCACAUUACUCCACAUAAUCCAUUAAAAAAACUUAAAAAAUAUAUUUUAUUAAUUACUAUAUAUUCUUUUAUUUUUAGAAUAAUAAAUUGUUUAAAAUAUGCUAAUAGUCCCUACAAUUUAAAAAUUAAAAGUAAUUGGGAUCUGAGUGCAUCAAAUUCCUCCUUUUAUUAUUAAAUGUUUUAUUUGAGUUACUCUAAUUAUAUAUAUCCAAAUUGUAAUAGAGGGAAGCCCCCAUAAAAGGUGGUUCUAUGGGUAUGAACCUUCAAGCUUUUGUGGAUGAUGUCACUCAAGGUUGUUGCAAGUAAAUUUAAUUUUUUUAAUUAUUUUUUGUUAAAAAAUAUUUUUUUUAUUUUUUUUAUGUGGCAUGCCACAUUAUCAUAUUAUCAUGUGACAACUUUUGGUAAUUUCUGUUUGUAACAUUAGUCAAAUCAAUUAUUAAAUCGUUCAACUCACAAUUUUUAUUACAUGAAGAGGUCAAUUGAUUUUUUUUUUGGAAUCACUGAGUACUCAAUUGGUGCACUUUUUUCAUAAAGGUUAAAUUAAUUUUUUAAUUUGUUACUGUUGAGGGCUAUAGCAAUAAACUAAAAAAAAUUGAGAUAAAAUGAAAAAAAUGUUAGAGCUAAAUUUGUCAUUAUGCCUAAAAUGUAAAACCAAAAUUUUUUGAAAAUGAAAAUAAUGGAAAAUCACAAAUUCUGUCACUUAUGUUUGCUUAAAAUUAUAGUUUUGGUCACCAAUCUUUUGAAAACGCAAGAAAGGAUUAAAUGACAUUGGGAUACCAUCAAACUUGUAUCUUUUUUUAUUCAUCUAAUGCCAUUUCAACAUUUAUAUUUAAAAAAAUUGACAUACCAUUUUGAAUUUGAUCUUUGUCAAGAUGAAAAUAUUAAAAUAAUGUUAAAUUAUUGGAAAGAGAUACAAGUUUCAUGGUAUCUCAAAUUCAUUUAAUCUUUUAUCUCUCUAAGAAAGCUGAUGUAACACAUUAAUGACAUCAUUUCAAACAAAGUUUUAGGUCAAAUUGUUCAUCUAGUCCUUGUAAUUGUUUUCAGGUGAAUUUCAUUAUUAUUCUUUUAUUUUCUUUGGCUUAAAUACACAUUUACCCCUAAUUUUAUCACAUUCUCCUUCAUUGGUAUUUAUGGUUUAGAAAAUUUUACAAAUAUAUUAUUUUUUAAGAAAUUAUAAGAAGAUUACAAAAAUUCCAAAAUAAUAUAAAAAAAAGCUAAGAAAAACCUAGAAAUACAAAAAAAAAAAUCAUGUUUUUACAAAUUGGGAAAUACCUAAAUUUGUUUUCAUCAAUUAAGAAAUUAAAAAAAUUGUUGAGAAAUAUCUUUUUAGAGAUUCUUAGCUUUGAGUCGUAUCAUUAUUUUAUUAAGUUUUGGGUAAUAUUAUUUUUGGGCACCCCUAUUUAAUUGCAAUUUCUUUUAUGGACCCUAUUAUAUUCCAUUUCAUAUAAGUUUUUAUUGUUUCAGUUUGGUGCACCAUUAUUUGUUAUUAUUUGCUCCUUCAACAGUAUCAGUAUAACCAACCUAAGAAAGAUAAACUAACGUAGAAAUAGGAUGAGUGACGGAUCACGUAGUUUGGACCCAUAAUAUUUCCCUUGAUUUGAUUAUAAAACUUUUGACUUAAACAUGCCAAAAAGACAAUUCCAGAGCGUGGAAACCUGGAGGAAGAUCGCUUUUUUCCCCUGCAUAAAAUGAAGAAGACAAAUGAAGAUUAACAAUUUGUGUUGGGAAAUUAACGUAGAGUUCGUGUGAUGUGGGUUAAUGUUCUGGUUUUUCUUCUCACCCAUUUGCUCACAGGCAUGAGUAUAAUCUUUAACCAAGACUAUGUAUGCAUAACAGAGUCUGGUAGUUUCACAACCAACAGUACAUAUGGUAAAAACCUUGACCAUAUUCUCAAUUCUCUCCCAGAUAAUGUCUCUAAAAGUGGUGGUUUCUUUACUGCCACCGCUGGCCAAGACUCCAACAAAGCUUACGCUCUUGGGCUGUGCAGUGGAGACUUAAAUCCACACGAUUGUUAUGGCCUUGUGAAAUCCGCGGUUCCUGAUCUCAGAGAUAAAUGUCCCGAUCAGAAAGAAGCCAUUUCAUGGUCAGGUGAUCCCGCAUGUAUUGUACGCUAUGCAAAUCGCCCCUUUUUUGGAAUCCUGGAGCUAGAGCCUACUACUGCUGGCACUAUCACGCACGACAUCGGCUCCAACUUACGACGAUUUGAUACGAUUUGGGAGAGUUUAACGGACGGUUUGGUGAGAAACGCUUCCAACGGCUCUUCUAGUCGUAAAUAUGCAACUGCCGAAGCAUAUUUUACAGUAUCUCAAAACAUAGAUGCACAAAUGCAGUGCACUCCAGACAUAUCACAGGAGGAAUGUGAUUCCUGCCUACGGGCCGCCAAGAGUUCCUUUAAAGAAUGUUGCCAUGGGAAGCAAGGAGGUUAUGUCCAGAAGCCUAACUGUAUGUUUACAUUCGACUUGAUUCCCACAAGUACACAAGGUUAGUACGCAUCUGAUUAAAGUAAAUGAAAAAUCUACUACUACUCUUAUCUCUUUUUAACAUCCUCUAGUUGUCAAAUAUUAUACUUAUAGAAUGCAAAAUUAAAAAUUUGAAAUAUAGAAACCAAGUAUUCAUCCAAUCUUUAAUAUGGUUUGAGAGCCUUCUUUUCUAUUCCUUCGUACCCUCAUUAUCUCUGAUUGCAUUUGGAUCAAACAAAAAACUGCAGGCUUUCCUUCUCCUUUUCAUUUGUUAGAACAAAAGAAAUGACAAUUCCACAGUUGACUGAUUAAGUGGGUUAGCCAGUCAAUUUCUCUUGUAUUCAUCCAAUGUGGAGAUGGGUUGUCAGCACACUUAGCAUCUAGUCUAUACAAUGUCCUAGGAAAUGAGUUGCAAGUUGUGAUUUGUUGUUUCGUAAGGGUAGUUGAGUAGUUGUGUUUCUUGUUAAUUACAUGUAGUUUCCAAGAUUUUGAUAAGAUCUGUUUAUCUUGGAAAGACCAAAAACCAGAGGAGAACCAGAACAAAUCAAUCUGGGUUCCACUUGGUGAAAGUUUAUCGGCGAUUCUUGGUCUAGCUUUGGUUUCUGCUUGCGGUAUCUUCCUAUGGAAAAGGACAAACAUUCAAGGUAUGCACUAUUAGAUCAUGUUGACAUUUUUCCAAUUUUGGCUAUAAUCUUACGCCAAUCACAUUAUAUCUUAUUACAGGGGAUAAAGAAGAUAGCCAAGAAGUUCAAUUACUUGACUUAGUAAUCGGAAGCAGGAAUCAUAAGAACUCGAGCGAAAAUGUUGAAACAUCUCAAGAGUUUCCUUCAAUUAAAUUGGAUAUUUUACAAGCAGCGACCACUAAUUUUUGUGAUGAAAUUAAGCUCGGUCAAGGUGGAUUUGGCCCUGUGUACAAGGUAAUUAUGAUUAGAAUUUUCUUUAUGAUGAAGCCUACAAAGUAUAUAUGUUAAUAUGUUAAUUUCCAGGGCACACUAGCAGAUGGAAACGAAAUUGCAGUUAAAAGGCUUUCAAGAGCUUCUAGUCAAGGGCUGCUUGAGUUCAAAAAUGAAGUCAUGUUAAUUGCCAAACUACAACAUAGAAAUCUUGUGAGGCUCUUAGGAUGUUGCUUAGAGAAAAAUGAAAAGUUACUUGUAUAUGAAUUCCUGCCCAAUAGAAGUCUUGACCUGUUCCUAUUUGGUUUGAGCCUUAAACCUUUAAAUAACGACAUUUUUCUUUAUACAUAAACAAAAUGAAUUUGAAUAUUUAACUAGUGUUUUUUUUUGGAACGUUUAUUAGAUUUUAGUUUGGCUACACAAUUGUCGGCAAAAGCGAUUCAAUAUUAUUAAUGGAAUUGCCCAAGGUAUCAUGUAUCUGCAUGAGGAUUCUCAUAUUAGGGUUAUCCACAGAGACCUUAAAGCAAGUAAUGUUUUACUUGAUCAUGAGAUGAAUCCGAAAAUUUCAGACAUUGGCAUGGCAAAAUUUUUUUGUAGAGAUCAAAAUGAAGCAAAUACAAAUAGAGUAGUCAGAACAUAGUAAGUCCUAUGGAUUCUUCCCAACUUGUUCUCUCAAAAUGUGUCUUUUGUAAUUUGACAUUUUAUUCUUCAUUGUUUCCAAUUUCAACUUAAUGAGAUAUAUAAAACAUUUAACUUGUUAAAAGGAAAAAAAGAUUUAUCCUCUACUUCAAAGUCAUGCAAGUUAGAAGGAUCCCGUGCAAUUAAUGAUUUAUUGUAUGUUUCCAUGGUUAGUAGUAGGGGUGAGCAAAACUCGAUUCGACUCGAAAAAAUUGCAAAAAAUUCGAAUUUCGAGUUAAACGAAUCGAGUUAUUCGAGUUAAUCGAGUUAUUCGAAUCAACUCGAAUAUUUUUUUCGAAUUUCGAGUUCGAAUCGAGUUGAGUUUUCAAAUUCGAAUAACUCGAAUAAUUCGAAUAAUUCGAAUAUCAAACUAUAAUAUUUUACAUUUUUACCCCAAACUCCCAAACCUUUUUACUUUUCCCUCAAAACUUUUACUCCUUCCCACUUUCCCCCCAAAACUUUUACUCCCCUCCCCUCCCAACCCCCCAAUCUACCCAAAAUCCAUUUCCCACCAAAAUUUUACUCUCCCAUUUAUUUUUUCUCAAAAUUUUACUCCCAAAAACCCUCAAAACCUUUUAUUUUCCCCCAAAAUUUUUACUCCCUCCCACUUUUCCCCUAAAACUUUUGUUCCCUUCCCAUCCCACCUCCCAUCUAUCCCAAACUCUCCCCCCUCCAAAUUUUUUUUAAUAUUUUUUCUCCAAAAUUUUACUCCCCCUAUUUACUUUCCCUCAAACUUUUAUUCCCCAAAACUUUUUAUUUUUCCCCUAAACUUUUACUUCUCACCCUUCACUCUCAAAUAAAAAAUCAAAAUUAUCCAAAAAAAAUCACUAAACUUAAAUAGUAAUAAUUUUAUUUAUAUCUACUAUUUAUAUUAUUAAAUUAAAUUUCACAUUUUAUAUUAUUUAUAUUAUUGAAUUGUUUAGUCAUAUUGAAUAUUUAUAUUAAAAUUGAAUUAUUAAUUAUGCUAUAAAAUAUUCGUGUUAAAAUUUUAUAUUGGUAUCAAUUUCACAUUUUAUUUUUAAAAUAAAUUUUAUUAAAAAAAUCAUAUUUUUACAUUUAAUAUAUUUUUUAAUUCUAAAAUACAUAGUGACAAGAAUCUGAAGAUAAUUGAAACAACUAAGCAAGCAAAGAAGCUAACCAAUAUAUAAAAAAUUAAUAAAUAAAUUAUGAAGUGAUGAAAGUUAAUAAAAAAUUUGAUUAAGGUGGACAAAUUUUAUUACGAUGGGUGACAAUGGUUACAAGGACCCAAAAUUAUUUUUUAAAAUUUAACUCGAACAAAUAUAUUCGAUUCGAUUCGAUUCGAAUUCCAUCUCACUCGACUCGAUUCGAGAAAAAUUCAAAUAAAGUUAGGAUGAUAAAAUGAGAUUCGAAAACUCGAUUAACUCGAAAAUUUUCGAUUCGAUUCGAUUCGAUUCGAUCGAAUGCUCACCCCUAGUUAGUAGUUAACAAAACUAAGAUGGGUUGUUAUUGAAAAACCUUACCAAAAUCUUCACAUUUCAAACUUGGAAGAUUGUGCGUCGUCAUUUUCCUCCACAACCUCUCUUUUUCUUUCUUCUUAUUUUAAAAGUUUAUAAUUUGGUAUUAUUUUGUUUUUGUUAAUGCAGUUUUCAAAAAUUAUGGAAAUGAAGCAUUUAUCUUCAGUUGGAGUCAACCCUAAUUAAACUAUACCACCGUUUUCCUUUCAAAUGGAACUCAAGAGUGUGAGUUUUUAAGUGUUUUCUAAUGUUUAGAGUGACGGUUCUCUCUGUUGUUGAGAGCAGUUUUACCACAAUCGACUCCGAUCUUGAAUAAGGGUUAUUCCUAAGGCAAAGUGUUUAGAGUGUGAGUUUUUAAGUGUUUUCUAAUGUCUCAUGCUAGUUUCAAUUUCUAGUGCAUGAUUAUAUGUAGAUUAUUCCUAAGGCAUUGUCGGUGAAAACAAUAAAUUGAGGGAGAUUAACUUGAAUAAGGGUUGAGAAUUUUGCUUAAGGACAAACAAAUGCUUAAGUGUGGGGAUAUUUGAUAAGUGCUAAAACUGAUAUGUUUUAACAUCAUUCUUAAUGUGUUUUUGGUUGAUUAUUCGAUGUUAAUUAUGCUCCUAAUCCUUACAAUUCAUGUUUUUAUGCUUAAUAGAACAUUUGGGAGUAAAAUGAGAGAAAAAUGAACGAAAACCUGAAAAUGGGGGCAAAGUAUAGGACACGGGCUGACCUAUUCCACAUGAUGGUAGGUUGUGUCGAUUUCGUAGAUUUGCACUCUGAACUGUAAAAAAAUACAAAUUUUAGAUUUUUUUCGAGCAUUUUAAUACGUAUAUAUGAAAAAAAUAAGAAGAUAGGAGAGAACCUUCCUAGAAUAUUUAAGAAAACAACUCCAAAGACACUAUUGAAGUCGACUCUGAAGCAAAUUUUCAUCAAGAUUGAAGAUUCCCAGUUGAUUUCUUAAGAGAUUAUCAUGAGUUUCUUUAUUUCUUUCGGUUAUACUGCCCUUUGGAUGUUUGUAUUUUUAAGCAUGAACUAAUUUUCUAAAUACCUAAGAGAGAUGAACCCUAUGAUAGAUUGUGACACCCCAAACCCAACCGGGAUAGACCAGCCCGAAUUCGAAGCAUUACAUUAGCCACCUAAGUGACUCUCCAGCUAACGACCACCCAAGACACACCUCGACCUUAUAAAACCUCAAUCUUAUCUAAUUACUAGUUAUUUAUUAAUGCAUAAGUGAAUUAUGAGCCAAUUUUAAACUUUUCCUAGGUAAUUUAACCUAAGGGCAAUUUUGUCAUUUUACCACCUAAUGUAAAACUAACCCGAUUUUAGAUCUAAGUGUUUACCAACCUUCUUUUAGUCAAUUUAUACAAGCCUAAAAUUUUCAGCUUAAUUUGAGUCCGUUUACUAUGUCUAAUUCAAGUUUUAUUAUUAAGGACUAAAUUGUAACUUAAAACAAAUUAAAAUACCAAUUUAAAGAGACAAAAAUUCAAAACCCCAAAACUCACACGGGCGUGUGGAGACUAGAGCUAUCACACACGGGCGUGUGGGAUUGAAAAAUAUUAAAUAAAUUAAUCCACUCAAAUUUCCAACAACCAUGCUAUACUAUCAAACAAAAAAACGCUUGAAGUUUUGAAUAGGGGCGAAUCUAAAAAAAAAUUAGAAGAAUUAGAAAUAAAUUAUAAAAUUUUGAGAAGUUAAAAUAUAAUUUUAUCAUGUAUUAAUUUAUUAUUUUUUAAAGGGUCCUAAUAUAAUUUUUUUUCCCAUUUUGGUUAGGCCAAUACCCCUGCCUGCGUCUUUAAAUUUGCUCCAACCCUAAACCCAAUAUUCGAUUUGGAUUAACAACAAUAUAUAGGUUAGUAUUUGUGGGAGUUUGACGAAUAAAAAUUUCUUUUUUAGAGGUUUAAAUUAUCAAUUUUUGAAAGAUUAAAAUAAAUUUGUAUUUUUUUAUUAACAAAAUAUAAAAGAAAAAAAAAACAUGUUUAGCCAAGCCAAGAGACCUUUGGAUCAUACGGGUGAUUUUGAGAUGUUAAUGGUUAUUUUGGUGGAGAGGGUAAAAAAGAAACAAAUAAUUCAUUAUAUAUAAUAUAAUUAUGAAAUUCAAGCCAUAUAUUGUAUGUUUCAUACAUAAAAAUUUCAUGGGAGGUCCAAAGGUAAUUAAAUGACUUGUAGGCUUGCUGAAUUUCUUUGAAAGGCCCAAAGGCAAUUUGACAUUCACAAAAUAAUCUGUAAAUACUGUAAAGACAAAUCAAAUCCACAGUAACAUUAGAGUUGAUUAAGCUAAGCAUUGACAAAUAUUACUUUGAUUUUGCAUGCAAUAUUGGCAAAACCCCCUCUUACAUUAGAAAAACAACAUAAUCCAUGAAACAUUGAUAGCCCAAUACAAAUUUCAUCGAGAAAAAAGUCUCUUUGUUUUGUAGAACAUGAUAGUAAAGAUGUGGAGUUUCGUUCUUCUUAUUGGCCUCCUUUAGUGUUCCUUGAUCAACAACCACUAGCUAAAAACACAAUUAGAUUAAAUUAUCAAUGAUACUUUUAACUAUGACAAUAUUAAAUACAAAACACUCUAAAUAACUCUAAAUAAAUGGAAAGCAGCAAAUUACUUGACGAGACAAUCUAGCUCAAUUAAGACCAUUGUGUUAUACUUCUCUGAAUUGAAAAUUUUAGAAGGAAAUAAAGAGAGAGACAUAGAAAAUACUUGAAAACAGAUAAAACUUAUAUGUCAUUUAAAAAAAAAAUUUCUAUUUAACCCAUUUAAAAUUUUUAAGAUUUUUAAAAUUUUAAAAUGAUAAAGGUAAAAUUGUACUUUGGCACCCAAAAAUGAUAAAACUUUGAUUUAAUUCUUUAGAAAUUAUAAAAAUAUAUGCUAUUAAAAUGGUGAAAUUAUAUUUUUACUAUAGUAAAAAAUUACAAUUUAAUUUCACCCCUAAAAGGAUUUUCUGGCUUCGCCCCUAAUAAAAUCUUUGGCAAAGAUUAAAAUAAAAUUAUACCGUGAAUGGAAAAAGAAACUAAGAAAAUCCAAUCUAACAAAGAAAAUAACUUGUUGUCCAAAAGCUACCAUAAACCGUAAUUCAUGGGAAGGCUUGUUGCUUAUUUUAUUGGUUUCCAUUUUGAUUUUGCAAAAGAAGUUUGAAUUUUGAAGAGAGCCUACUACGUGAGAGCAAAAGAAAAAUAUAGUUUAUAUGAUUAAAAUUCUAGAAUAGAUUAAAAAUGUUGAAUUAAAGAUAAAAUUAAGUGUGAAUUAAUAACCACAAGUGUACUCUUUACUCACCAUCUCUGUUAAAAAUGUUGGAUGCUGUUUAGCAACCUUUGUUUGAUUUUCUUCAGCUCAACCACAACAUCUUUCAUAUCUUUUCUUUCUUCUGGUAACUCAGCUGAACAAUUCAAAGCCAACUCCAUGAUAGAUGAAAUACAAUUUGCUUUAACAACAAUGUACUCAUCCUCUCUUCUUAAUAAAUCAACAUCUGCAAUUUCUAUCGCUCCUUUAGGCAAUGAUCUUUCCAUCCAAUGCCUCAUAGUCUCUUCUUCAACAAAAACAUUAUCAGUUGGCUUUUUCUUUGUGAAAGUUUCUAUAAGGACAAUCCCAUAACUAUAGACGUCAGAUUUUAUAGAAACAAUUUCUGCUGAUCCAAAUUCUGCAUUUCAAGUAUAAUUAGAACAUCAUUCAUCCUCAAUUAUUUUUAAAAUGCUUAUUCAAAUAUAUAUCCACAUCCACAUGAAACAAAAAUAUAAAAUGNNNNNNNNNNNNNNNNNNNNNNNNNNNNNNNNNNNNNNNNNNNNNNNNNNNNNNNNNNNNNNNNNNNNNNNNNNNNNNNNNNNNNNNNNNNNNNNNNNNNGGUUUGCUUCAUUACUUCACCUUCCCCCAACAAUUUGGCAACGCCAAAAUCUCCAACAUGUGCAACCAUGUCUUCAUCUAGUAAAAUAUUGCUUGGUUUUAUGUCGCAAUGAGUUAUAGGUGUUGGAUGUCCAUUGUGGAGGUGUUCUAUAGCUAGCGCAACAUCUAUCAUUAUGUCGACCCUUUGUAUGAUAUCAAGGAAACAAUUUUCAGAAUGUAACCAUUUCUCAAGGUUUCCAUUAGACAUGUAAUCAAGCACCAAGGCUUUGAAGUCAACACUUGAGCAGCAAGUAAUGACCUUCACAAUAUUACGAUGAACUAUAUUACGCAUAGCAUCACAUUCAAUGUCAAAACUCCUAAAUGCUCCCUCUGUUUGCAAAUUGAAAACUUUUAUUGCAACUUCCAUUCCAUCUGAAAGCCUCCCUUUAUAUACAUAUCCAAAACUCCCUGAACCAAGCAUAUUGCUUUCCUCAAAUCCAUUAGUUGCUCGGGAAAGUUCAUCAUGUGAAAUUCUUUUCAAAGACAACAAAUCAUCUUUAAUUGGUAGAGUUGUACUCCUUCUUUGGCAUCUUCUAUACAUNNNNNNNNNNNNNNNNNNNNNNNNNNNNNNNNNNNNNNNNNNNNNNNNNNNNNNNNNNNNNNNNNNNNNNNNNNNNNNNNNNNNNNNNNNNNNNNNNNNNAUUUGGGAGUUUUUGUGGAUGUCGUUUUUGCAAGGUGGGACUAGCAAUCUAGGUGGACCACAAAGUGCAUAAUUCUUCAUGAAUGAUGUGCUAGAAAAGUUUGAAAAACAUCCUUUGCUGGGAAUUUCCCCUUCAAGUCUAUUGAAAGACACAUUAAAAUACUUUAGAUAUAAAAGCUUUUCCAAAGAUUUGGGAAUGACUCCAGAGAGAUUGUUAUUGCAUAAAUCCAAGAAUUCCAAACUAAUCAACCCAUCAAAUGAUUCAGGGAUAUGACCAUGUAGUAUAUUAUUUGAUAAAUCUAAUGAAACCAAAGUUUGAAGACCCCCAAAUGUGGAUAAGACAUCGCCCGUGAGAAGAUUCCUUGAUAAAUUUAGUUUCAGUAGACUCCUAAGAUUUCCAACAUCAAUAGCAUGUGAAUUGUGAAGAUGGUUUAAUGAUAAAUCUAUUUUUAAGAUAUCUUUGAGAUUCCACAAAGUUGAGGGUAUUGCAGAACUCAAUUUGUUGGAAGCAAAGUAAAGAUAUCCUAAAGAAGUAAUAUUACCCAAACAAGAGGGUAUGGAUCCAUGCAGCUUAUUCAACCCUAAAAACAAGUUGUAUAAUCUCUCCAAAUCACAAAGGCUUUCUGAGAUGGGCCCUCCUAAUUUAUUAGAGGAAAGACCUAGACUUUGGAGAUUCCGCAGUCCUCCUAUUGAUUUUGGAAUGAAUCCACUUAAUUUAUUAUAGCCAUGUUCUAAAACCAACAUGUUGCUUAAGUUACCUAUUUCCAUAGGAAUAGUGCCUUGAAGCUCACACUCUUCGGCAUAAAAGUAUUGAAGGGAUUUUGAAAGGUUCCCAAUAUAAGUAGGAAGAACGCCACUCAAUGGAUUUUCUGAAACUCCUAUGGUUUUCAAAUUCUUACAAUUCGUCAAAGAAGAAAGAAAGCUCCACUCAUGAUCAGUAGCAGAUCCUGUGAUCAAAUUAUUGUUUACGAUUCGGAACCAUUCAAGCUGUCUUAAGUUGCCAAGCGUUUUAGGGAUUGGGCCAGAGAAUAAGUUAUCUCCCAAGUCUAGUUUCUUAAGCAUGGAAGCAUUGGAGAUAGAGUUGGGAAUGUUUCCGCUAAGUUUAUUUCCCCCAAAAAAAAGAAACUCAAGCUUUGGAGCAUUGGUGAUGGGUGGUAAAUUACCUGUAAAAUAGCAUCUUUUAGUAUACAUAUUCAUUGAAUACCAAAUUCACAAAAUAUAUAAUACAUUAAAAUAAAAACUGUAAAACUUUAAAUCAAUUAAGAAUAGAAUUUUGGCAUGGAAAAAUGUGAUGAAAUCAAUUAGAAAGUUGAGACAUAAUAAGAAGUUUUGAGUAGUAAUUACUCAUGAUUUCUAUAGACAAAACAUAUAAUAGACUGAUAAUUUUUUUAAAAUAUUGUAAAACCUGAAAUAAAAUAAAAAAUAAAAGUUUGGCACGAGAAUGUAGCAUCUAAUCAUUCUUAAAAAUAAGACUAACACUGAAUAAUAAUUAGUUAUGAUUUGAGAAAAAAAUUUUAAAGAUGUAUGAUUUUUAUCUAUUGGGUUAAUUAUUUAUUUUAAUUAAAUUACAGUGUAAAAUUUAAAGAUUAUUAUUUGCUCAAAAUUUUUGUAUUUUUCGUAUAUUUGAAAUUUAAUCUUUAUAUUUUUUAUUUUCUGUGAUUUAGUCUCUUUACUUUUUGAAUUGAAAAUUUUAAGUUUAUUUAUUAACACUGUUAAAAGGUUUUUGUGUUAGUAUGGCAUUUUAAAAAAUAAAAUAAACUUGAUAUCUAUGUUUUUAAUUAUUCCAAAUACUGUUUUACUAUUCCAAGAUAAAUUAUUUGUGUCUAGACCAAUAUCUUAAGAACUAUUGUUGCAUGUUUAAUUAUUCUAAAGAAUUGUUGAUUGAGACUUAGUUGAAGUGCACUAUUUUCCUAUUUAUGAAUUGGGGAGUUGGUAAAGUACUAAAUUUUGAUAUAUUUUAAAAUAUUAAAAAUUUAUUAAAAUAUUUUUUUAUAAAAAUUGAUUCUACCACAUUAUACAAUUUUAAUAUCAAAUUUUUAAUUUUUUUAAAAUAUUAGCGACUACCACAUUAUACAAUUUUAAUAUCAAAUUUUUAAUUUUUUUAAAAUAUUAGCGAAUAUAUACUUUAUUUCAAGUUACACAAUUUUUACUAGUUUUUAACUUUUUUUUUAAAUUUUUAUCCUCUUUUAUAAUUUCUAAUAAUUUUUUAUAAUUUUUUACAAUAUUUACAAUUUCUAACAAUUUGUAAUAAUUUUAUUAUUUAUUACAAAUUUAAAAAUUAACAAGUUUUUAUUUUUAAAACAAUUAUAUAUUUAUAAUGUAGUUAUUUUUUUAUAAUUUUUUUUGAAAUUUUAAAGAUUUUUUUGGUUUUUUUUCUAGAUGAUGAUGCCAUCAUGAUGACAUCAUAUGCCACAUGGCAAUUUAUAAUUAGUUAAAUAUCUCAAUCUAUUUUUUAACGUCCAAUGGACUAAAACAAGAACACCUGAUAAUGUUAGAGACUACACUGGGAAUGUUUGAUAAUAUCAGGUACUAAAGUGGGCAAAAAAAUUAAGGACUAUAUUAAAAAUAUAUCUANNNNNNNNNNNNNNNNNNNNNNNNNNNNNNNNNNNNNNNNNNNNNNNNNNNNNNNNNNNNNNNNNNNNNNNNNNNNNNNNNNNNNNNNNNNNNNNNNNNNNNNNNNNNNNNNNNNNNNNNNNNNNNNNNNNNNNNNNNNNNNNNNNNNNNNNNNNNNNNNNNNNNNNNNNNNNNNNNNNNNNNNNNNNNNNNNNNNNNNNNNNNNNNNNNNNNNNNNNNNNNNNNNNNNNNNNNNNNNNNNNNNNNNNNNNNNNNNNNNNNNNNNNNNNNNNNNNNNNNNNNNNNNNNNNNNNNNNNNNNNNNNNNNNNNNNNNNNNNNNNNNNNNNNNNNNNNNNNNNNNNNNNNNNNNNNNNNNNNNNNNNNNNNNNNNNNNNNNNNNNNNNNNNNNNNNNNNNNNNNNNNNNNNNNNNNNNNNNNNNNNNNNNNNNNNNNNNNNNNNNNNNNNNNNNNNNNNNNNNNNNNNNNNNNNNNNNNNNNNNNNNNNNNNNNNNNNNNNNNNNNNNNNNNNNNNNNNNUACAAUUAUUUAUGAUGAUGUUGUUGUCAAUUCCUAAGUUAGUGUCGAGUUAAUUUGUGACAUCAUAAAUUUAAGUGAUAAAUUUAAGGUUUUAUGUAUUGAUGCGGAUUCAAAUAUCACCAUAAUUUUUUUUAAAUAAAAAACUAAAGUACCCUCAAAUAUUAUAACUUAUAUUAAAUAUGAAAGGGUAUUUUUGUAAUUUCUCUAACAAGUUGGUGCCCGGUUGACUCAUGACACCAACUCAAUCAAAAGCUUCAAUAAUAAUAUAGAUAUUCACGUUAAAAAAAAGUACUUUAGUUCCAAAUAAUUAUAUAACAAGUAAAUUUAUAAUUGAUGAAUAAAUUUAUAAAAAUAUAUUUAUAUGAUCUAAUACAUUAUAUUUAUAUUAAUUAUAUAUCAUCUACAAACUUUGAAGAUCAAUUCAUUAAGUAUCAAGAAAGGAAAAAAAUGAAAUUGAAUUAACACUAAAUCAAUUUUUAGAUUUUGUACAGAUGAUUUAAUGAUGAUAAAAAAAUUAUUAGCACUAUUUUUGAAUUAACAAAAAAUUAGUGAUAUAUUUUAAUUAUAUUUAUUAAUUAUUAUUUUUAAUAAUGUUUUUUUUAAUUAUAUAAAGUAAAAUUACAUUGUAUAGUAAAUAUGGUACAUAUACUUUAAAUAUAACUAGAAAAUUUAUUAUAUAAAUUAAUAUAUUUUAAUUAUAUUCAACCAUUUGAAUAACAAAUAAAAAAAUAAUUAGAAUAAUUUAUUUUUUAAAGUUUAAUGGAAAUUAAAAAACUAAAAAUUAAUCAAUUCAUAUAAAUUUUGUUNNNNNNNNNNNNNNNNNNNNNNNNNNNNNNNNNNNNNNNNNNNNNNNNNNNNNNNNNNNNNNNNNNNNNNNNNNNNNNNNNNNNNNNNNNNNNNNNNNNNAUCAGAUGAAAAUGAUAAAAGUAUAUGACAUAAAUAGAAGAAACAAAUUCAACACCAUGUUUUUGGAGUUUGGAAAAUAUUAAAGUGAAAAACAUACCUUCUAAUUUGUUGUCAUAUAGACCUAUUUUUUCGAGCGUAGUUGAAUUAAAAAUACUAGUCGAAAAUUGAAGUGAAAAACAUACCUUCUAAACUGUUCAACUAAAAAUACUUUAAGCAUUUUUUUUAGUAAAGCCCUUCAAGCUUAUUUUUUAGUAAAGCCCUUCAAGCUUGGGAAGAUGUUGACACAUAUCAUUAGGCAAAGACUAAUAGCCUUCAAAGAAGAAAUCUUGAAGAUGGAAGAUGGAACCUGACCAGAUAAUUGAUUGAAUCCUAAGCUCAAGAUCUCUAGAUUAGACAUGUUAACAAGUGUUUCAGGGAUUGUGCCUGUAAAUUAAGUUAUUAUUUUUCAUUUUCAGCCUUCGAACUCUCUGUAAGUUCCCAAGCCAUGAUGGAAUUUCCUGAUUAAGACGGUUGUAGCAUAAUUGAAGGAUCCUCAAACGAUGCAAUUGGCCCAAUUCUUUAGGGAGAUGGCCAUAGAAAUGGUUGCUACUCAAGUCGAGAGAGAGUAGAAAUGAAAGAUUUCCAAGGUGUGGAGGGAUAGUACCCCUAAGAUUCAUGCUUGUAAGAUUCAAAGCUGUAACUCUUUUAUGGAGGAUGCCACAAGAAAC
Molecule: long non-coding RNA, 126851 nt
Filed under: Gossypium raimondii (Peruvian cotton)
Lineage: Eukaryota; Viridiplantae; Streptophyta; Magnoliopsida; Malvales; Malvaceae
Description: long non-coding RNA (GRAI_LNC007577)
Source: RNAcentral